RNAcentral lists this long non-coding RNA (92739 nucleotides) under Populus trichocarpa (black cottonwood). RNAcentral describes it as "long non-coding RNA (PTRI_LNC004369)". The stretch from base 7545 to 7708 matches the Rfam family "MIR480 microRNA precursor family". Lineage: Eukaryota; Viridiplantae; Streptophyta; Magnoliopsida; Malpighiales; Salicaceae. The record is from RNAcentral.
UACAGCUACUUGUCUUGUGUAUUGACUGACUAAUUGUAGUUAGCAUGGCACGUCAGGCAGACCGUCUUGCUAAGAUUGGGCUGGAGGGCUUUGCAGCCAUAGAUGAGGCCAAGAGGCGGCCACCAGUUAUGAAGGUUCCCUAUGCUCAUCCCACAUAUUACUAUGCAAACCAAAUUCCUGCAACAGCAGUUAUCGACAGCAACGAGGCAGCUCGACGCUACAAGGGGAGGGUUUAUAUCGAUUAUCCAAAGGGGAAACCAGUUCCAUUUUAAAGACCCAGUGAUUAAUCACUUUGCUUUCUUGUAUGCAUAAUCUCCUCCACUUGUGUUACCUUUAGUCCUGUACGAUAUUCUCCCUCUGCUAAACGUAGACGAGGAGCUUCUCUUACUUCUUCAAAUAAAAUUUCUGUGAUUUAUAUAUCAUAAUUUUCUAUUUGGCUGGUCAAGUAUGUAUUGUCAUAAUUAUCUUUCUGACUUCCUAAUUAUCACCUGAUUCACCUCUUACUUAGCAUGGAAUUGAAAGAUACACAAGUAAUUUUCUGUUGAAAUGCUUUGAAGCUCUUCAAGCUGUGAUUUCACCGACUUAUUUCGGAACUGUACAGAGCUCAAUGAUGAGCCGUGGGAAGCGUCUCUGAUUAUUGCACUGUAAGCACGAGUGUACGUAUGAAUAUAAACAGCAGAUCUGCUCCGUUAUUGCCAUAUGCUUAAAUAGAUCGCAGGAUCCGCAAACCACAGGUGAUGACAAGCUUCUUAAUAACUAUUAGAAAAUAAUAUAAAUCAUAUCUUGGACCCUCAUCUAACAACUUAAAUUUUUGGGUUGAGAUGGUUUUUUGAUAUGGUAUCAAAGCCUUGAUAACCAAGUAGUCAUAAGUUCAAAUCUCAUCAUUCUUAUUUAUUUAAUAAAAAUUAAGCACAGGGUAAAGUGGGUCUGUGCAAGUUUCAAACCUAAAAGGCUUUCACUCGAGGAGAUGUGUUAAAGAAUAAUAUAAAUCAUAUCUUAAGACCUCACCUAAUAAAUUAAAUUUUUGAAUUAAGAUGGUUCUUUACAAUAACUUCUAUUCUGACUUCAAUAGUGGAUUUAAGGAUAGAAAACCUGUAGGUUUGUGGUCAAGGAGGUUGGCUCUCUUCCUUAUAUUUUUUAUUUCAAACUUUAAUAACAAUACUCAUAUAAAUUUAUUUUUUCUGAAUGAAACUUGUUAAUACAAGAGUGUUAUUUUGAUGAAAAAGAAAAAUCUUAUUUUUAUCCCAUCACACCCCACCUAAGAAAUUAUGUAAUUAGUUAUUUCUAUAAGCUGUUCCAGAGAAUAUAGUCUUAAAUCAUUAUAUUUUACGACUCAUGAUUGUUUUUUUAAUAUAGCUGGGCUAAGAAAGAAAAAUAAACGGAGUUCUAUCUGCAUUUACAAUAGAAUUUUACAAUAGUGAACAAUAUAUCUAGGAAUAUCAGCGAUGAUGACCAUAGAUGGAUCAUGUGUGAAUUCUUAGCAAAUCAUUACUUGUAUAACCAAAAUUUCCUUCACAGCUCUUUUACUAAGCUGAUUGUCGAUGAAAAGUAAAGGAAAAGCAUGAUUCCCAAUCCGAGCUAUGUGAGCAAGUGUAUCUAGUAAAAAUAUCUCAUCUCCCAAGAAAACGAGAUUAGUAAGCCUCCCUUUAAAGCUUUGCUUUGCACACCUUUUCUUGAUCUUUCCCAAUCCUUCAUUAUAAAUGGGACCCAUCAAAAACAUGAGAUGUGCUUUAACCUCCUCCAUAUUUCAUCUUAGCCUAGAAGGAUAAACAAGAAUAUUAUUGCUUCUGAAACAUAACGAUUGCAAGCAUCGCCUUUCGGUGAACUUUUGAUGACAUGAAACUGCCACAAAUUGGGUCCUAUUCCGAGUGAGUUUUCUUUUUCUGCUCUGUUAUCGCAUAUAUACAACUGAAAUCUUUAAGUCCUCUUCAGGGUACCCCUGAAAGAAAAUGGUCUAUCAUGGAAAGUCCUGAGGAAUCUGAGGCAUAUAAUAUGAGAUAUAUAUCGUCCCAAGAUCAUAAAAAUGAUAAAUCUUAAUCUUAUCAGGUGUAGCCAUGAAAUGGGAUCAGAACCUAUUUUCCUAAUUUUAUUAACUAAAGGGAAAGCCACAACCAAGUCUCUGUACUAUAUGAUUGUCCAUUAAUACAGAAUCUAGCACAUCCUUGAGUAGCUAAAGAAAGCUAGAAUAAAGUACCUCUAGCAACAUCUUCACUGUUUAUUUUCUAAUAGUUUUGUUUUGUUAAAUCGCACUUGAAAAUACAGAACCUGUUCUUGAUAUUUCAUGGACAAUAUUUACUCUAGUUGUGCAAGUAACGUAUACACAAAUACCUGUAAUAUUGCAUCAAAAUUCAAACUAACAACAGUAUGUGUAUACUUGUGGAUAUGGAAUCAGCCAGAAGUGGAGAACCCCAUAAAUCUUGAAAACCUCUGUUGAUUGUGAUGGGUCCAAAAAGCAGAAAGCAAGUUACAAGCUGCCUGCUUUCUGCUAAUAUAUAUAAUGCUGCAUAUAUGACCUAUUUUGUACCAAGGCAAACCAUACAGUUUUAAUUGUUCUUUGAGUUAUAGUGUUAAUUUCACAUAUGGCACGUCAGGUAGAUCGUCUCACAAGGAUUGGAAUGGAAGGCUUUGCUCUGAUUGAGAAUAGUUAUGGCUGGCCUGGAAGGUCUGGAAGACUCCCCUCAACUCAGGUACAGCAAAAUCAUCAUCACUAUCAUCAUCAUCAUCAUCAUCGUCAAUACCAAGAUCAGCAAACAUUGGUUUAUCAGGGAACUCAAAUUACCACGGUGAGGAUGCCUGUGAUCAUUAGCAAUGAGGUAGUUCAAUACUAUGGUAACAUGGUGAAGAAGCCUGUUAUUCCUAGCAAUGAGGCAGCUCAAUAUCAAGGGGGUGUGGUGAAAGAGCCUGUUAUCACUAGCGAUGAGGCAGCUCAAUAGGAUGGUAGAAAGAAACGAUUUCGUUUAGAUUAUUAGGUUUCAUGAAUUUACUGAACAUGCUUAAUGUCAUGUAUGAGUAAUCUGAGUCACUUGGUUCUUAAAUCUCCUGGUUUCUUACUCAUAGAUAAAGCAACUUGGUCUGCUAAAGAACCUUGUAAAUUUUAUCUUUAGAGCUCCUGUUGUCACGCAGUUUUCUUAUCUAUAACGUAAUCAGCUUUACUGUAACUCUUUAUGUCUCUCUCUCUCUCUCUAUUUUUGUGUGUGGGUUGUGAUGAUCUUUCUUACUUCUGAUAAGCCAAAUGAUUCUCAAAGCACACCUUGGAAAACAACAGCUAAGGCAAGGCGAAAUGAAAGCUAAAGCUAGGAAUUAAAGAACAAAACAACAUAGAAUAUGAAGGAAAAAAUGAAUAAAAAAACGAAACAACAGAAUUAAAAAAAUAAAAAAUUAAAACAAAAGGAAAUUAGCCAAAAACAAUUGGAAGAAAAUUACUAUGGUAGGAGUUUAUGUUAAAAGAAAGAUAGGUGUUGUAUAAUAUCAAAAAUAGUAAUGCAAAGUCAAAACUCAAUAAGAAGAAGAAGAUUGAGAGAAACGUAUACUUUUAUUAAGUGUUUCUCUCUAAACUCUUUUAGUUAUUCUCUCUGCUUUUAUUCUUUUUAAAAAUGCUAAAUUACAAGUCUUUUAUAGGUAUAAAGUCCUAGAUAAUCAAGGAAUUAAACUAAUACAAGGAAAUUCUAAUAUGAACAAAAAUUGUAUUCUGCCUACUAGCUAAAUCAGUCGACUAGUUCCCAACCAGUGGAUCGGUUCCUCUAUUCUUCAUAAAAACAAGAAAUCGAGUUCAAUUUUCAAAACCCCUUUCUAAACUUGAUUUCUUCAUAACUCGCACAAAUCUCUUAUUUUGGUAAAAACAUCAUAUUCAACUGGUUUUGUGAAAAUAUCUGCAACUUGCUCUUGUGUCUUUACAUACUUGGCUUCAACUUCUUUGUUUGUAAUGCAAUCUCUUAGGUAAUGAAAUCUUGUGUCAAUGUACUUAUUUCUGUCAUGAAAAACUUGAGUUUUAGCUAAGGCAAUAGCUAAUGAGUUGUCCACAUAAAUCUAUGUAGACUUCUCUUAUGGGAUCCGUAAUACUUUCAGUAAUCUUAUUAGCUAUAUGGAAUGACAAACACAUGAUGUAGUAGUUAUAUAUUUAGUUUCACAUGUUGAUAAAGUGACUAUAGAUUGCUUUUUUAAACACCAUGUGAAUGUUGUGUCUUCCAUGUAGAAAACAAAACCAAUAGUGCUCUUUUUAUCAUCCAUAUCUCUAGCUCAAUCACUAUCAUUGCAACCCACAAUAUCAAAGCUAUUAGAAUAUCCAUAAAACAAGCCAAAAUCAACAGUACCUUUGAUAUACCGAAGAACUCACUUCAAAGCUUUGAAGUGUGUCAUAGUUGGUGUAUCCAUAGACCUACUCCCAAGUUCUACUCCAAAAAGAACAUAUGAACAAGUGCAUGUCAAAUAUCUCAAACUCCCAACUAGGCUUUUGAAUGUUGUAGAGUUUAUCUUCUCCUCUUCAUCAUUCUCUAUUAUCUUCACUCCACACUCAACUAGAAUAUUCUUUUUCGCACAAUCUUUCAUCUUGAACUUCUUGAGAAUCUCUUGGCUUACAAAGAUUCCAUCUUCUCCUUGUUUGAUCUCAAUCCCUAAGUAAUAUGUCAUAAGACCAAUGUCUAUCAUUUCAAACGCCUUGAUCAUUGUUUGCUUGAAGUCUUCAAACAUCUUUGGAUUAUUUCCUAUAAAGAUUAAGUCAUCCACAUACAAACAUAUAAUAAGAGUAUCACCACUCUCUUUGAUCUUUACAUAGAUAGCAUAUUCAUAGGAACAUUUAACAAAUGCAUUCUUUAAGAAAAAGCCAUCAAAGUGACUAUAGCAAGCCCUUGGGGUUUGCUUCAAUCCAUAUAAGACUUUGUUCAACUUUAGUACCUUGUCUUUAUGUCCCUUCACUUCAUAACUCAUAAGUUGCUUAAUGUAGACCUUCUUCUCAAGAAAACCAUUAAGAAAGGCUGAUUUGACAUCCAUUUGAUAGAUUCUCCAUCUAUAUUGGGUAGCUUUGGCAACGAUUAAUUGAACGGUCUCCAAUCUAGCAACGAGAGCUAAAACCUCAUCAUAGUCAAUCUCAUACUUUUAGCUUUCGCCUUUUUUCCACUAACCUUUCUUUGUACCUCUCCAUUUCUCCUUCGGCAUUCUUCUUUUCUUUAUAGAUCCACUUGACACCUAUUAGCUUCUUUCCAUUUGGUCUACGAACCAAUUUCUAUGUGUCAUUCUUCUUAAUUGAUGCAAGCUUCUCAUCCAUAGCGAUUCUUCAUUUUUCAUCCUUUAUUACUUCUUCAAACAUUAUAGGAUCACUUGUAGCAAGGUGAUAAUAUAGUGUUACAUCAUCAUCAAUAGGAGUAGUUACCUCAUAUAGCUCAUCAAGGCUCCACAUUCUUUUUGGUGGACUUGAUGGGUUGCCACUACUUGAACUUUCAUUAGAAAAAAAAAAAGAAAAGAGAUAAAGGUAAAGAUGACACCAUUGGUGAUUAUGGAGGUGUAGUUUGUUCUUGAUGAUCUUCAUAUCUCUCCUUCCCUUUAUCAGAACAGACAAGGCUUCAUCUUCUUCUUUCUUCUUCUUUUAUCUUCUCUCACAGGGCCAUUUCUUUUUCUUUCUCUUCUCUUCUCUCUAUCUCUCCUUCUUAGCUAAAAACAAGCAUUCUAUUAUCUUCUCAUCCUCAAGUACGUUGUCUUUUUUCAUUUUCUUUGGGUUUAAUAACAAUCUAUUUUCUUUUGUUUUGUUUUUCUUUUUUUUUUCCUUUUAAUUAUCAGUCGAAAUUAAGCAUACCAUUAAGGUUGGAAUUUUUCAUUCUUUUCUCUUCCCCUUUUUAUGUUUUUUGCAAUAUUUUUGUUUUUUGUCAUUAUUUUUGUUCAAUUUUGUGUUCUUAAUAAUUUUAUGAAUUAAUAAAUGUGUUGAAUUUUAGUUGUUAUUGAAAUAUUGCAUUAUUUUGUUGAAUUUUAGCUAUUUUUUUUUCAAAUUUGUUGUUCAAUUUUAAUUAAAUGUGUAGGAUUAAUUUUAAUUAUUAUUUUGUAUUUAUUCCAUAUAGAAUAAUUUUUUGUAAAUUUAGGAUUAAAAAUAUUAUAACUUAGAAAUAAUUGUGUUGAAUUUUAGUUGUUAUUAUAAUAUUUUUUGCAUUAUUUUGUUGAAUUUUAGUUGUUUUUCUUUUCAAUUUUGUUGUUCAAUUUCAAUUAAAUGUGUAGGAUUAAUUUUAAUUUUUGUAAAUUUGAAAUAUUUUUUUUUAAAUUUAGGAUUAAAAAUAUUAUCAUGUAGAAAAUGAAAAUUUUCUAUGAAAUUUAAUUAUGCUAAAUUGUUAGAAGAAAUUGAAUAAAAAUACCAGGCCUAGUGGAAGAAAUAUGUUGUGUAUUUGUAGGUUUAAAACUUUUGGGUAGUCUUCUGUGUAGGGGAGGUGCUGCCAAUUGUUUUUAAAAAAAAUACGAAUCAUUUAAUUUUUUUUAUUCAUUAAUUUGUGUAGAUGCCUAUAGAAAAGUCUAAUGCACGUCAUGAGGACAAGAUUGCUGCUAGUUCUUCUAGUAGCGAUGCUGACGACCACGAGUCAUUAGGUGCCAAUAAAAAAUAGGAACUUGAGGCACAUGCAUCAACUCACGACGCGGGCUUGUCGAGUGCAAUGUUGCAACGUCGAGGGGGGGUCCCUUCACAAUGGGAUCCAUUUACUUGCAAGUAUGAGGCCUAGUGGAAGGACGACCUUUCAAUGUAAGUUUUGCUUUCGCAAUGACAUGUUUAAUAAAUUUUCAAAAAAUAAUUUCAUUUAAUGAAUGCAAUUUCAGGUUUAUAAAUAUUGAGGCUGCGAGAACAAUAACAUCGAUCUAAAAUCAUCGAUAGAAAUUUCAUUGUUUUAAUGGAGCUAGGUUUCCAAACAUCCUGAAUGGAAACUGCAGCUCAUUGCAUGAUUUUCAAGGUUCAAGGUUGGUAGUAACUUAAAUAUUUUUUUAUGUUAAUUUGGUUAGUUUAUUGAAAUUAUUGAAUUUUUUCUGAGAGAGUUGGAAAAGCAUUACUGCAAAUAUCACUUCUACUAUUAACUCAUCGACGAAAUUACAGAUGGUAUUCUAUCGGUGAUAUGUUAUAUUUAUCGAUGGAUAUACCGAUGCACAAAUAAAAACACUGAUGACAUUGCAUACAGUAUUCCUGUUUGUGAUAUGUUAAAUUUACCAAUGGAGAUACUGACGGAAUAAAACAGAUAAUUUUUUUUUGGCGUGCUUUGUUUGUCUAUAAAUUCAUUGGUAUAUUUAUUACCGAUGGACUCACCAACAAACCAUAAAUUAUUGGCGAGAGUUUUUUCGAUGGACUGUCUCCAUCCGUGAGCCCGUUGACAAUAUACAUACCAAUGGACUGUGAGUGUGAAUACUGACAAAAAUUUCUGUUAGUAAAAUUGUUAAAUCUAGUAGUGAUUGCAUGAUCCACCGCUAGAAGUGAUGAGUACAAGUUAUGACCAUUUUAAGUUGUUGUUUCUGGUCUGACAUGACUAGACCUUCUCUUGGACCUAGACUUGUCCUACUAGUCUAUAAAUAUAUAUGUUAGAACAUCCAUAUAAUCUGUCUAGAGCAGAUACUCAUCUAAUUGUGGCAGACCCACAUAUGAUAGCUCAGAAUCACCUGUUAUUGCAAGCCCAACUACAUCAUUAAUGGUUUCUCAAGGUAAGUCAUGAGGAAUUUGAAGCAUAUAAAAUGAUAUAACUUGUCCCAAUAUCAUAAAAAUGUUAAAAAAAUGUGAGUAUAUGAACCCAUGAAGCGGGAUCAGAAUCUAUUUUCCUAUUGUUAUUAACAAAACGGAAAGCCAUAACUAACUGUUUGUACUAUAAUAUUGGGAGUGAGAGGUACAAUGUCCAGAAUGCUUCUAAGGAUAACCAUAUGUCCAUAUCCAUAAGAUCUCAAUCGAUUGCCCCUUACUACAGAAUCUAGCACAUCCUUAAGUAAAUAAAGAAAGCUAGAAUAAAGUGCCUUCACUGAUUAUUUAGCAUUACUGAGCAGGCCAAGUCUUCACUGCUUAUUUCCUAAUAAUUCCUUAUUGUGGAAUUGCACUUACAAAUAAAGAACUUGUUAUUGAUAUUUUCGUACAGAAUUUCUCUCUCGAUUAGUCGGUCAAUAAUGUAACUUCGUUUAUUCGGAUUUGAGGCCGGCCAUGAGAUGGAGAGGUUGUGUCACAUUAAUUAUGUCAUGUUAUAUGGAAUCAGAUUCACCAUUAUUAAACUAAAGCGUCUCAUCGAUUCUACGAAACUUGUCGAAAGGAAUCAUUUGUUCAAUAAUUGAAUGCGAUUUUUAUCGGGUUCACCUGACGAUCCAACCUCCAUCCACAAAUCCGGAUCGAAUUCCGAAUGGGUCAAAAUAUCGUCCCCGUAUCUCUCCCUCAACCGAUUAUUAUAGGUCUCCUGAAAAUAAAAAAAGUAAUCAUCAUAUUCAAUUCAAUAAACAUAAUAACUUACAAAAUAAAAUGGUUGAACAAACAUACCAUGAAAUGUUGAGCACGGUUAUCAACGAACUGUUGCGCCCCCUUUUGGCGGUCUUGACUCCGCACGUGCGUCUCCACAAACAGCUCCAUCGGGCUUGGCUCACGUCCAAGAGACGUAGCCUAUAAUGAAAAAAGAUUUAUUAACAACUUAAUUUAACGAUAUAUUUCAUUUAAAUUAAUCUUACCAUCCGUUUCGCAUGUGUAGCAAACGGAACGGAGCCGCCAGUGUGCGUUGUUACUGAGCCAUGAAUUGGCCGAUUCCGGUUGCCAACACCGGACUGUGAGCGUCGUGUAAACCGCUCAGACAUCACGUGCUCAAGAUAGUGCGGCCAUAUAUCUUUUGGGAUGUAUAUCGGUUUGAAAUUCCUCCAAACCGUAACAUCGUUCCAGCCUUGGAAACCCCUAUCUCUAGCGGUUUUUUUUGCCCUUUUUUGUGCUUCAUACCAAAAAUCACGCAACCAAAAAUUACAUUUCGAAAGAUAAAUUUUUGUCUAAAAAACAUCUUGUAUUGUUUUCGAUGUUACCUAGUUGCCGCGUGAUUUUCCCACACCCUCCUCGCAACAGUGUUAUGCUCACUGUCCCAGCAGAAUUUGUCCUGUGUAUAAAUAAUUAAUUUUAAAUAAAAAUAAUAAUUUAUUUACAAUUAUAUUAAUAAUUUAUUAGAAAUAAGCUGAAAAUUAUAAAUUAACACCAACCUCAAAUUUGUCAAACCAUGCAUUGAUUUGAGGCAUCCAUUCAGGAUGCUUGGAUAUCUGACUCCAUUGAAACAAUGGAAUCUUCAUCGACGAUUUAAACGCCGAUGAUAUUACUCGGGCAGCCUCAAUGUUUGUGAACCUGAAAAUAAAUGAAAUAAAUUCAAUAGUGAUUACUUCAUAAGUUAUGUUGUAAUUUUUUUUAAAAAAAAAAACUAAAACCUUAACAAACUUACAUUGAAAGGUCGUCCUUCCACUGUGCCUCGUACUUGCGGGUAAAUUGAUUCCGCUGCGAAGGCACGCCGCCUCUGCCCUGUGAAGUAGCGCUGGAAGAGGCAGCAUUGGUUGACGACGCAGGUGGUGUAGGUGCCUCUUCUUGAGAGGCACCUAAGGAAAUAUCAUCCUCGCUGCUAGACGAACUAGUUGCGACCAUACGUGAGCGACCAGCUUUGGUUUUCAUUCUACGCACCUACACAAUUUUAUACAAAUAAUUAUAUAAUUAAAUUCAAAUGUUAAAAAAAAAUUCGACAGCAUCUCCCCUAUACUGGAUACUACCCAAAUCUACAAACCUGCACAUAUUAACAAUAGCCACAACCAAUUGACCCAAUCUAUACUAACUAUUCCAACAUAUUCAAUUACUAAUCCUAAGGUAAUUCAACAUUAAGAAUUACAAUUCAACAAAUUAUUCAAUAAUUAUGCCAAUACAACAAUAAAAUAUAUUCAAUAAAUAAAUAAAAACUCUAGACUAACAAUUAAAAUUAAUGGAAAAAAUUAAACAUAAAUCAUGCAAUAAUAGAGUAAAAUUAACAAUUAUUUCAAAAUAUUCAAUUACUAAUACUAAGGUAAAUUCAACAUUAACAAUUACAAUUCAAAAAAUUAUUCAAUAAUUAUGCCAAUACAACAAAACAAUAAAUUCAAAAAAAACUCUAGACUAACAAUCAAAAUAAAUGGAAAAACUUAAACACAAAUUAACUAAUAAUAAUUAUGCCAACACAACAAUAAAAAAUAUUCAAAAAAUUCAAAAAAAAAACUAUAGACUUUAGGAAUCAAAUAUGCUUACUUUAAUAAUGUGUUGAAUUCAAUACUUUAUCUACAUUACAAAAAAUACACCAAAACAAAAAACAUAACAAAAAAAAAUAGCAAAAAAAAAACCCCUAAAGUAAAAUGAAAUAGAAGACACACAUACCUUUUAAACUGAUGAAGAUUCACAAGAAAACUUGCUAGAGAUGGUAGGUGAAAGCUUUGAAGAAUGGAGAGGAAAAAAAUCGAAAUUUAAGGUGAAAAACGGAGGAGAAGAAAAAAUGAACUGAAGGGGCGGUCGCUGGAACUUAUAUGGCAGUUUUACCGACGGAUUCACCGAGGGAUAUAAAAUUAAUUAUUAUUUUAAUUUAUUCUGUCAGUGAAGUGUCAAAAAUCCGUCGGUAAUUUUUAAAUUUCGCACCAAAAUUUUUAAUGACCCUCCAUAUUUUUCGUGGUCUGUCGGUAAUUUCGUCGGCAAGAUGACGCGGUCAGAGAUGCAUUUAAUGCACAAUCUUUUGGAAUUCGCACAGUCCGUCGGCAAUUUUGUCGGUAAAAUUGACCUGCCGACAACUUACCGACGGACUUAUAUCCGUCGGUAUUGUCGUCAGUGAUUGUGGCAUUUCAAGUAAUUAUUUUCGAACUCUCUGUGAAAUGCCGACGGACUUAUUCUGUUAGUAUGGACGUCGGUGAUUGUGGCAUUUCAAGUAAUUAUUUCAAGUAAUAAAUAUUUCAUGUUACAAAAUAUAUCAUUCAUAAUCUAAAUUACAUGAAAAAAGGGGUUUUACACAGGGCUUCAUUUUGAUAGUUAGUCAGAAUUUUCUUCUUCUUUGUCCUCAAUUGAAUAGUCAUCACCUUUAUCGCAAUCUUCAAUAUGGAUAUCAUCUUCUUCAUCGACAUUUGCUUGUCCGCUAGAGCUCAAAACAGCAUUCAACUCCUCUACGUGAACAUCAACAAGACUAUCAUCGAAAACAUGAAAAUUUGAAUUUUCUUCCAAUUCAAUCGAAUGAGCAACUCAAUAUGGUUCAACCACCUCACUAACUUGAAAGACUUCAUCUCGCACACUUGUGUCUUCGUUCUCAUCCUGAACAACCUCGACACGACCCCGGGGUUUUGUUUUUAAAACGGACAACCAAUCCACUCUUGAUCGAUCCUUUCUAAAUGAAGGGGUGUAUGUGUAAUAAACUUGUUGACAUUGCUUUGCGAAAACAAAGACAUCGUUUUUGUUGCGGAGUCUAGCUUUUGAGUUGAUUUCGACCAGACCAUAGUGCGGAUCAACUCUGAUUCCUCUGUCAGUCGUGUCAUACCAAUAACAUUUGAAUAAAAACACUUUAUUCUACUCGUUAUGAUAUUGCAGUUCGACGACCUCUUCUAAUCUACCAUAGUAGUCAACUUCUAACUCACUACUAGUGGAUCCCUUAACACAAACACCGCUGUUGUAUGUCUUUCUUCCUUGCCCGUAUUCUUCAGUAUGGAAAACAUAUCCAUUGACAAAAUACCCGUUGUAGCACUUACAUUUUCUUUCAGGCCCCAGGCUUAGUGAAGACAAUGACUUAGGCGCACUCCUUCCCAUUUGAUAAACCUUGUAUGUAAUGUACAUCAAUAAAUAGUAAAUGAACGAGAAUCUCAUAAUGACAUGCAUACGUACAGUAAUUUUGCAAGUUAGAAUGAGUUUGUGAUAGUGCUUACAUGUGUUCUAGACCACGUGACAAAGUGUUCAUCUUGUAAUUGAAAGAUCUGGGAUUCGGUCAGCUAUGAGUUAUUGGAGAGCAAAUAUUGUCGAUGUUGCCUGCAAGUGAUAAUGAGUGUAUGAUAUUAUAAUAAAUAAUUAAUAGUAUAUUACUAACAAAGUUUAAUUACUAUACACAUAUAUAUAUAUAAACCUUACUGAAUAAAAGGUCUCAGCUCAUCACAGUUAAAUAUAACAUAUUUGUGUGCUUAUUUGAACUCUAUUUCCGACAAAUAUCUUCCUCUUACGCCAUUUUUAGGUGUGGGUCGUCCAGUGUUAGAGAAUAUUGACAAGUUUCCACUGGAAGGCACUUCACCGCCAUCAUCAUACCGUGGAACGCGAUUGAUUCUCAUUCUUAGAUGAGGUUCGAAAUAGUACGAUAUAAAUGUUGAGAUCUCCUCAACAAUAUAGGCCUCACAUAUCGAAGCCUCAACGUGCGCCUUGUUCUUAACCUUUUUCUUGAGAUUAAACAAGUACCUGCAUUGAAUUAAUCAAGUAUUUUCAAUUAAGAAAAACAUAGAAAAUACUUUUAUAUAUGAAUUACAUUGCAACUGUAAUAUCUAACAGUUCGAAUGGGUACAUCCAUCUAUAUUGGACCGGUCCUCCAGCUUUUGCCUAGAACGGUAGAUGUAUAGGGAGAUGCUCCAUUGAGUCAAAAAAUGAUGGAGGGAAUAUCAUCUCAAGUUUGCAUAGUGUCUCAACGAUAUUCGUUUGAAGCCUCUCAAUGUGCUCAACAUUCAACUUGCUGGAGCAUAUAUCUCUGAAGAAAUGACUGAUCUCCGUAAGUGCAUCUCAUAUUCCCUUUGGCAACAAAUCACGAAAAGCUAAUGGGAUGAGUGUUUGCAUAAACACGUGGCAGUCAUGACUCUUCAUUCCAUACAAUCUGCAGUCCUCUAUAUUAACCAGCCUUGAUAUGUUUGAUGCAUGUCCAUCUAGAAAACGUAGACUCUUAAGCCAUUUAUAGACUAGCAGUUGUGCGUUUUUCUCUAACACGAAGCUUGCUCUUGGUUUUGCGACCUGUGACUCAUCAUAAAACAACUCCAUAUUUUUACGGUUACAGUAUAAAGCUAUAUCCAAUCUAGCCUUGAUGUUGUCCUUUGUCUUCCCCUUCACAUCCAUGACGGUGUUGAAAAUGUUCUCAAACACGUUCUUUUCGAUGUGCAUGACGUCAAGGUUAUUGCGGAGCAUAUUGGUCUUCCAAUAAGCAAGCUCCCAAAAGAUACUUCGCUUUACCCAAUUAUGGGUCAAACCAAAACCAGGAAACUUUUGCUUACCUGAUUGAAGGCCAAACACAAUGUCACCGUACUCUGAUACAACAUCAUGCAAUUCUUCACCAGAAAGACGCGGGGAUGCAACAUCUUUUUCAACUCUGCCAACAAAGAAAUCUUUUCUGUUCUUUCUAUACCUGUGAUUAAGUGGCAAGAAACGACGGUGACAGUAAAAAAAAGAAGCUUUACCUCCGUUUGCUAGCGUGAAUGCCUUGUUGUUUUCCAUGCAGUAUGGACAUGCGAGUUUCUCAUGCGUGCUCCAACCAGAAAGCAUUCUAUAAGCUGGAAAAUCAUUGAUAGUCCACAUCAAAGCAGCCCUCAUAAGGAAAUUUUGUUUCCUCGAUAUAUCAUAAGUCAGAGCUCUGGAGGACCACAACUGCGCCAACUCAUCAAUCAACGAUCGAAGACAAACAUCUAUAUUCCGCCCUGGGCUGCUUGGACCGGGUAUGACAGUAGAUAAAAACAUGAACUCCGGCCUCAUACACAUUCCCGGUGGCAAGUUAUAAACUGUGAGUAUGACCGGCCAACAAGAAUAAGGAGCAGCAAAUGACCCAAAUGGGUUGAAUCCGUCUGUACACAACCGAAGACGCACAUUCCUUGAUUCAGCUGAAAAGUGAGGAUGAAGACUGUUAAAGCAUUUCCAUGCUUCGCCAUCAGAAGGAUGCACCAUCACUCUAUCAACCGCAUUAUGUGCUUGGUGCCAUGUCAUGUGCUCAGCAGUCCUUGGUGACAUGAAUAACCUCUACAGUCUAGGUGUGAUCGGGAAGUAUCUAAGUUUUUUAUAUGCCACUAGAGUCUUUCCCCUGCCAGUUCUCGGUUUGUAACGGGAAUGCCCGCAUGUCAUGCACUCUGUCCUCUCAGCAUUUUCAAGGUAGUAUAACAUGCAGAAGUUAGGGCACAUGUCAAUUUUCUGGUAUCCUAAACCGAGGGGUUUCAUCAUGGACUUCGCAGCAUAGAAGUUCUCUUUCAGCCUGUCCCCUUCAAGUAAAAUUCUUCUCACCCAUUCAAUAAUGUUGUCAUACCCGACCUCACUCAACCCGUGAUCUGACUUGAUGGUGAACACCUGUGCUAGGGCCGAUAAUUUACUGUGGUUCGUGCAGCCAUCCCAUAAUGGUUCAUCAGAAUCUUUCAACAAAUCAAAAAACCUAGCUGCAUCUGCAUUAGGUUCUUCUUCUACGAUUCGACAUUGACUGACAUUACCUUGAUUCAUUCUCAUUGCAUCCAUAACUAUAUUUAUGUAAGGAUUAGUGUUGUCAUUUGCCGCUUCAUGCACGUUGCUAGCACUAGAAGUAGACCCAACCACCGUUUCUCCCAUUCUCCUCUUACUAACAAAUACUUCUCCAUGUGCAUACCAACACUGGUAAUUCUCCAUAAACCCUUUGUGUAGAAGAUGCAUCAUUACAACAUCUGGAUGCAGAUAUUUUUUAUUUUGACACUUCCUGCAUGGACACCUAAUACCGCCUCUAGUAAAAUUUAUCGGAAUAGAUGUUGCGAAAUUAAUAAAACCUUGAACCCCGUUACAAUAAUCAAUCCUCCGCAAUCCUUGGGGUGAAUCUCAAUACAUCCAUGAACGAUCAUCCAUGACUUAUAUCGAACCUCUAUAAAAUUAUGAUGACAUCAUGUAUUAAUUAACUAAGUUAGGUAAAUAAACUUGUAAAAAUAUUACUUUACCUCGAGAUUAUCCAACAAACCAAUCACAACUUCUCAUAAAUAUUAAAUAUUCAUUAUCAUUUAUCAACGUCCAUACAAAUUAAUAUAUAUAAAUUUACAGAAAUUACCACUCUGCAAUACCAUUAAUAAAACUUUAAACAGACCCAUUAAGCAAGCUAUUAAUUAUUUCAAAACAACACAUGUAAUUCAGUAAUUCCAUAAAGUUUUAACAAUUUACAAACAAAUACAAUCUUACAAAAUCUAAAACAAACCAUAACAGGUAUAGAAUUAUACAUUCAUAUACUACAAGUUUGUUUGAGAAAUAACAAUAAAACAUGUACAUCUACUAACAAAAUACAUAUACUAAAAAAACAAUAAAAUUGACAUUUAAAUGUUAAAAUUUAAAAAGAUAGAAUUACUUACAAAAAUUGAUAAAAUCCGUCGGUAAAUCAGAAUAUGGAUGUUGUGACCACAAAACUUUCAAGAAAUAUAACUUGUUGUGCUGAGAUGAGGGAGAUUUUUGUUUGGGGGGGGGAGGGGGGCUGGUUGUUUGCAGAUGGGGAGAGUUGGGAUUAGGAAGAAGAAGGAGAAAUAGGGGAGGAGAGGGUCGGUAGAGAGGGCAUUUAUUAACUUUUUCCGACGGUUUCACCGAUGAAAUUAUCAAUUGAUGAGUCCGCCAGCUAUUCUGACGGAAAAAUCGACACGUCACCGUAUGGAUCUUCCAUUUCGAAUCCCUCGGUGAUUCCGUCGGUAUUUCAAGCAGUGAACCGGUCACGUCACCGUACGGAUCUGCCAUUUCGAAUCCCUCGGUGAUUUCGUCAGCAUUUUAAACGGCGAACCGGUCACGUCACUGUGUGGGGUUGUCGUUUUGAAUCCGUCGGUAAAAAUAACCCCGCCAAAACCUCUACGUUUGCGACCCGCCUUUUUUUUUAAAUUCAAAACGUUUUCCGUCCGUAAUUCAGUCGGUAACUACCGACGGACACUUGUUGUCGGUAGUUACCGACUGAAUUACGGACGGAAAGGUUUUUGUCGGUAAUUUCGACCUCAAAUUACUGACAGAAAUAUUCCGUCGGUAAAUCCGUUGCUAUUGAGUGAAUUUCUAGUUGUGAAAGGGGCGCAUACGUACCACCCAUCUGUGAUCUCAAUCCAUGGCCAUUCUACGGGUUCAUCAUAAUCCGCAUAGAGUCGUUCAUAUUCUUCAAUGAGAUGGGUCGUAUGUUGUUCCAAGGUCGCGAACUCCUGAGACUGGGUGGUCAAUAUCGAUUGCAAGCUCCCAACGGUUGAGACACUACGGGCCACCUACAAGUUGGUCGUGGAGUUGGAGAGUUUGUACACCUGAUUUCUAUCGGGUCCACCAGAUGAUCCUGCCUCCAUCCACAAAUCCAGAUCGAAAUCCAAGUGGGUCGAAGGAUCGUUCCCGUAUCUCUCCCUCAAUCGGCUGUUAUAUGUCUCCUGAAAAUAAAAAAACUGAAAUCAUCAAAUUUAAUUCAAGUAAAUAAUAAUUUACAAAAGAAAAUGGUUGAACGAACAUACCAUAAAGUGUUGAGCGUAGUAGUCAACGAACUGUUGCACCUCUUUUUGGCAGUCUUCACUCUACACGUGCGUCUCCACAAAAAGCUCCAUUGGGCUUGGCUCACGUCCAAGAGCUGUAGUCUGUAAGAAAAAAAUGUUGCAAGUAAAAUAAAUUUAUAAAUAACAACAAAUUAAUUAAAGAUAAAUGUGAUUAAAAUUAAUUUUUUUGUUAUUUUUUAGGCUUUGUUUGGAAAAACAAAACCUAAUUUUUUUGUAAUAAAACUGUCGAAACAAGCAUAAUGGGGUGUUUGCCAAACACACCCUUAAACCAAAAAACCCUUUUAGCAAAAAUAUUGCAAGCUAAACAGGGUCUUAACCCUUUGACCCAUUCUUGACCCAUCUGGGUUGACCUGAUCGAGUUGACCUGACUGGGAUGACCCAAAAUCUUUGGUUUCAACCAUAAAUCGAACCAAAGAUCCUGGUUUGACCCGAAAACAACUCAAAAAGAAAACAAAAGCCAAAAAACAGAUUAAACACCAAAAAACAUGAAAAAACUCGAAAAUAACAAAUCAAAUGCAAAAAAAAAUGAAGAACACGAAUAACAUGAAAAACAUUAAAACUCAAAUUCUAGCAACAUGAAUUCUAAUCUAGACCAUAUUUCAGGAAAUAAAAAGCACAUAAAGGAUGGAAAUCAAUCAUUGAACAAUAAUUAAGCAUCAAGCAUCGAUGAUUAUCAACCAAUAAUCAUGAUUGAGUCAAAAUAGGUUUUGGUUCAAAACCAAAAUCCUAUGAUUAAAACCCCCAUAAAACUUGUUAUUGAUACAAAUGAACUCUAGACUACUAAUUAAUCAAGUCCAAUGAAGUGUUUAAUGCAAUGGACCAAAACUGGUCCAAAACAUAGAUAUAAGCCAAUGUUUUUCCCAAGAACAUAGAACACUGCCUUAGAAAACCCGGCUAUUGUCAAGCCACCAAAACUGGCAUUUUCGACCACUAAAACAUGCUUUCUUCGUUUCAAAAAGUCACACUACCAUAACCAAACAUGUUUGAAUAAAAAAACUAACAAAUAACAUUAAAAUCAUGCAAGAGGUUCCAAACUUCAAAACUACAAACUUAAAAUAGCCUAUAUAUUUAUGCAAUUUGGAUUCAAUUUUUUUUCCUAAACCUUCAAUAAGACCCAACCAAAACCUAGAAACUAAGAACAUGCAUCAGCCAACAUAAAAAAACAUCAUAACCUUGCUACCACAUCUAGUAGAUUUCAAAAGUACUUUAUUUCAUCAAAACUCAUCCAACAAACAUCACCUAAGUAUUCAGAGACAUUAACAAACAACUCAAAUCAAGAUUUAAACAAUAAAACAACUUUUUUAUGUAUUAAUCAAAAUCAAAACUAAAGAACAUCAUAACAGUAAAGCAAGUUUGAAAACAUCAUUAAACAUGUAAAACAAGUGACUCGACUAACUCGGAAGGAAGUUAAGUUUGAAUGGUCAAAAGAGUGUGAAACAAGUUUUCAAGAGUUAAAAUCCAGGCUAACUUCAACCCAGUAUUGGCUUUACCAAAAGGACAUGAGGGAUUUGUUAUGUAUAGGGAUGCUUCCAAUAAGGGUUUGAGUUGUGUAUUUAUGCAGCACGGAAGGGUAAUUGCUUAUGCAUCUAGAUAGUUGAAACCACAUGAGAUAAACUAUCAUGUACAUGAUUUGGAGCUGGCAGCUGUGGUGUUUGCUUUGAGGAUAUGGAGACAUUAUUUGUACGCGAUAUAGGAGAUGGAUGGAGCUAAUCAAAGAUUAUUACAGAUCACAAAAGUUUAAAAUAUUUGAUGUCAUAAAAAGAAUUGAAUAUGUGAUAUAGGAGAUGGAUGGAGCUAAUCAAAGAUUAUAAUUGUAUUAUUGACUAUCACCCGGGGAAAGCAAAUGUGGUGGUAGAUGCUCUAAGUCGGAAGAAUAAAGCUUUUAUUAGUGGUUUACUAGUGCUAAGUGAGCUAAAUGUGCAUUUGGAUGUGACUUCAGGAGGAAUAUUACUGGCAACAUUAGUGCUAUAAUCAGAUAUGAGAGAAAAGAUUCGAAAAGCUCAAGGUGAAGAUCCUGAAGUGAUAAAAGAAAUGAACAAUGUAAAAGUAGGCCAAGACUCUUUAUUUCGAGUGUCAAAAGAUGGGCUAGUUAUGGGAAACAUAAUAUAUUUACCUGAUGAUAAGGUUUUAAAAAGUGAAGUCUUAAAAGAAGCUCAUGAGUCUAAAUUGACGAUCCAUCUAGGGAGCACGAAAAUGUAUAGAGAUUUGAAGGAGAGUUACUGGUGGCCAAAAAUGAAAAGGGAGAUAACAUAAUACGUGGCCAAAUGUGCCAUAUAUCUACAGGUGAAUGUAGAGCAUCAAUGGCCGAUUGGAGAAUUACAAUCUCUUUCGAUUCCAGAAUGGAAAUGGGAGAAUAUCACUAUGAAUUUUGUAUCUAGCUGGUAAGGACUUGAUGCCAUAUGGGUGAUCGUGGAUAGACUGACAAAGUCUUCUUUGUUUUUGCCUAUGAAGAUAGGGGAUUCGGUUGAAUAACUAGCUCAAUUAUAUAUUAAAGAGGUGGUGAGAUUGCAUGGUGUACCAGUUUCUAUAGUUUUUGAUAGGGAUCCUUGGUUUACAUCAAGGUUAUGGCCGAGUAUACAAUGGGCUUUGGGUACCAUAUUGAAUUUAAGAAUGACUUUUCAUCCACAGACUGAUGGGCAAUCUGAAAAGACAAUUUAGAUUUUGGAAGAUUUGUUAUAGCUUGUAUUCUAGAGUUUGGAGGUCAAUGGGAGGAUCAUUUGCCAUUAGUAGAAUUUACUUAUAAUAAUAGUUAUCAAUCUACUAUUGGCAUGAAACCAUAUGAAGCAUUGUAUGAAAGGUGAUGUCGAACUACAGUACGUUGGGAUGAAGUUCGGGAAAGAAAAUUAUUGGGAUCUGAACUGGUGCAGAUCAUGGUUGAUAAGGUGAAGGGGAUAAAGUAAAGGAUGAAAGAAGCUCAAGACCGGUAAAAGAGUUGUGCUGAUAAUUGACGGAGACCUCUAGAGUUUCAAAUUGGAGAUAUGGUAUUUUUAAAAGUUGCACCAUGGAAGCAUGUGAUUCGGUUUGGAAUGAAAGGCAAAUUAGCACCCAGGUAUAUCGGGCCAUAUAAAAUUAUAGAAAGAAUUGGGAUGGUUGCCUAUCGAAUAAUCCAAUCCUUAGAUUGAGCUGAAAUUUUACGAGGGACUUUAAAAUAUAUUGAAUAAAAUUUGGUUAAAAUUUUAGGAUGAACAGAGCUCGGUGUUGCUUAAAAAAAAUUAGGACCUUCAAAUAGAAGCAAAAUGACUCAUUAAGGGUAAAAUGAUUAUUUGCCAUUAAAAAUAAAACAAAUCAGCUCUCCUUUCCUUUUAUAUGCUGCCGACUGGGCAGAAGCAGAGUGGGAAAAGAAGAAAAGAAAAAAAGCGAGUGAGAAAGAGAGAAAAGUAAGGAAAAAAUAAGAAAAGUGAGAGAAUAAUCUUGUAAACUUACAAAGUCCAACUUAUAAAACACUAAUCUAAGGAAGAAUCAAGUGAAGGAAGGAGGAUUUGAGAGAGAGAAUUUGGCUAACCUUGGGAGAGAAGAGAAAUUGGAAGAAAGUCAAUUAGUAAGUAUGAGAAGUUUGGAUUUAAUGUUUGAUUUAGAUGUUUUUAAGCUAACUCGAUUAAGUUAGGAAGUAAUUUCAUGGAAUUUUACUUUAAUUUCCCUUAAAUCCUUGAUUCUUGAACUUAGGAUUCUUAUGGGAAUUUGGGGGAAUUAGAAAGGGAAGGAAAAAUGAUGAAGUAAGUGGAAUAGCAUGAAAACAAGUUGAAAUAACAAGUAAAUGAAGAAAAAUUUGGGGGAGGAAAAAGAAGAUGACAUUUGGCCAAAUGAAGGAAAAGUGGAGGAAUGAGUUUUGAUGUUAAUGUUUAGGAAACUAUGUUUAAUCAUGAUAUUUGAAAUAUACAAGAAAGACUAAAUGAAGAAAUAACAUUAAAGUUGAGAAAAAUAAGUAAAUUCAAUUUAAAAGAGAAUUGAACUAGUUAAAAAGAAAGUAUGAAGACAAGAUGUUUAGAUUGUGUUUGAAUAUAGUUCUUACAUAUGUUUAGAUAAAAUAAAUAAUAUGAUGUGAAGGCAUAAAGAAUAGAAGGAUUAUUUGAUGGAAGAAUUAUGAACAUAAAGUAAGAAAAGAAGUCAAAAAGGUCAUUCUCAGUCUUCACACUUCAUGCACAAGGAAAUAAUAUGUUUAAUUCGUCAAUCGACUCAUAGCCAACACUGUAACAAAUGUUUGGGAUGAAGGGAAAAGUAUAGAUUUUUCUCAUUAGAGAAAGAAACUGCAUAAAAUGUGAAUGCUGUAAUUAUUUUCAAAGAACUUAACCAUAAAUCCACCCUUCUUGCAAGGAACAAAGCCUUCUUCCCUAUAUUUUCAAAGAAUGCUAUAAUUAUUAUGGUGAAUCAUGCAAGCAUAUCCCACUACCAGAAAAUUGAUAAAUACAAACGGAAAUACCGAGGGAAUAUUUCCGUCGGUAAAUUUCCGAGGGAUUUUACCGACGGAAAUAUUCCCUCGGUAUAUACCGAGGGAAUUACCGUGGGAAAAAAAAUUAAAACAAAGCAAAAAAAAAAUGAUGACGUGUCAUUUUUACCAACGGAAUUACCAACAGAAUUACCGACGGAAUAAAUUCCGUCGGUGAUUCCGUUGGAAAAUUUGUUGGUAAAUUGUGAACACUGUUCAUCAUGUUAAUUACAAAGGGAAUCACCGACGGAAUAUUCCGUCGGUAUUUUCCAGAGGGAAAAGUCGUCGGUGUUAUUUGGCGGUUUUCUGAAAAAAUUCAAUUAAUUUAAAAUUUUCAUUUAAAUAUUACAGACGGAAUCACCGACGGAUUGAAAAAUCAUCGGUAAUUUUUUGGCGGUUUCUGAAAAAAUUUUACGAAAUUGAAAAUUUAAAUUAAAUAUUACCGAUGGAAUUACCGACGGAAUAAUUAAAAAAUAUUAAUAUUUAAUUAUCCGUCGGUAAAUCCGUCGGUAAAGCGUCCCAAUAAAAAGCCUGAAUGCCCUUAUUUCACAAGAGACAGACCCGUUUCUUAUUAUUAUUCUUCUUCUUGUUCUUCUACUUCUUCUUCUUCUUCUUCUUCUUCUUCACUAUAUGUAAAAAACAUCAUUAAGGUAUGUCUUCUUCUUCUUCUUCACUUUAUGUAAAAAACAUCAUUUCUUAUCUAUUUCUUUCUCUUCUUUUCUCUCCUCAUCUCCUUCUCUUUUCCUCCAUGCUUGGAUAUGUCUUUUUCUUCUUUCUUCUUUUAUCCUCUUAGUUUUUUUUUAAUUAAUAUGCUUAAUGAAAUUUUUUUUCUCUCCUUAGCUUCACUUGCAACUACAUUAAGGUAAGAUUUUUCUUUUUUCUUCUUUUUUCAUGAUUUGUUUCACUAUAUUUGUUCUUUAUUUUAUUUUUAAUUGUUUUUGUUCUUAAUAAUUGUAUAAAUGUUGUUGUGAGAUGUUUUUUUCAUAUGAGAUCAAUUUUUAGUAGAUUUAUUUAUAGGAUUUUUAAAUUUUUAGCAAUUGCAACUUCAUUUUUUUCAUAUGAAUUUUUUUAGUUGAAUUUAUUUUUUUAUUUUAUUUAUUUGUUGCAAAUUUGUUUGAAUUGAUUUUCUUAUUCUUUUUUCCAAGCAUUUUGAGUAUAUAUUAUACAGUGUUAAUUUAUGUCAAUUUAAUUAUUUUAUAAUUUUAUAAAAUGAAUUUUUUUAAAAUGUUUUUCAAUAAUUACCGACGGAAUUACCGACGGAAGUUCCGUCGGUAAUUCCGUCGGUACAUCCCUCGGUAAUUCUGUUGGUAAUAAAAAAAUUAUUACCGACGCGUCUGUUCCGUCAGUAAAUCCAUCGGUAAUUCUAUUACCAACAGAUUUACCGACGAACGAUUCACCGACGAAUCAUUUCCGUCUUUGAUUCCGUCGGUAAUAUAAUUACCGAUGAAAUAUGUGUCUUACACCGACGGAAAAAUUCCGUCGGUAAAACUGUUAAAUCUUGUAGUGUCCAGAAUGAUUUGAUAUUUCUUAAUUGAAUUUUGGAAAAGUCGUGAUACUUGGUAAAGCCUUUGGAUAGUUUCUCUGAGAUGUGAUGGAAUUAACAACAUAUUGAGAAUAAUAAAAAAGAAAAAGCAACUGAAUCAAUGAUCAAAAGUUGUGAAAAUUAUAUCUUUCUUUGAAGAUUUUGAUUUUGACCACAGUGAACCUAUAAGCUUAGAUAGAGAGGGCUUCUAUGAUUUCUAUAUAUACGGACUAGCUUGGCUUCAAACCAUAUGUACAAGUCAAGCUCAAACUCAGAACCUACUUAAACUGUUUCUUCUUCUUAUUUUUUAGUGUCAUUUUGCAAAUGGCUCGCCAAGCAGAUCGCCUUUACAAGAUUGGGUUAAAAGGGUUUGCACUAAUAGACGAGUGGUACGGGUGCCCUAGGAGGUCUUCAACUCCUCAAGAGCACCAUCAGCAACGAUAUGAUUAUGGUGGAAUCCAAGUUCCCAUGAUGAAAAUGGAUGUUAUCAACAACAAGGAGGCAGCUAAACAUUAUGGUGGGGUGGUGAUUAUGGAUUAUCGAAAGAAAAAAUUACUCUAUUGAGCUCUUUAGUGAUAAUGUAUUGGGCCUUGCUUUGCUUGGUUAAGUUAAUUACCAAGCAUAAUUAAGUCGUUUUUAACUUUAUUGUUUUCUUCUUCUUUUUCCUAUGUUUGUGUGUGUGUAUGCCAAUUGUUUUAGAGUCAGCUACUCCAAAACAUGAAAAAGUAUGAGUGCCUUAAAGUGAAUUGUUGCACCUCUUAUUUCUCUAUGAUUACGAUUGUUGGGUUUCUUGAAAUACAUGACAUAGUGAAAAUAGUUUUUUCAAGUCUCAUGUAUCUCAUUAAACAACAUAAACUUAUUUAAGAUUUGUGCGAAAAUUGUAUGAAGAUAGUUCUUCCUCCUAGAAUUUGAUCAACACUUGAAGGCUGCAUUCUCGUAAAUCAAGUCCUUACUUGAUUUUUCUAAAUCUAGAAUUUUAAUCUCAUGUGCUAAUUAUAUUAUAGUUUUCANNNNNNNNNNNNNNNNNNNNNNNNNNNNNNNNNNNNNNNNNNNNNNNNNNNNNNNNNNNNNNNNNNNNNNNNNNNNNNNNNNNNNNNNNNNNNNNNNNNNAAAAAUGUAUUAUUCUGUAUUUGUAAUCUUAGUUUGUUUACUUGCAAUUGUUAUGAAUUAUGUGUGUUAAUGGGAAAGAAAUGAGCAUGCGAAAUGUGAGGCAUGUACCAUGAAUGAUGUGUUGUCAAGGUUCUACAUGAUUAUGAUAUGAUUGAGAAAUGAGUAUAACUAUACAGGAUGAUUGUCGAUAACUUGGGACCUCCAGGUAUAAAGGAAACUCUGCCGAAAUUUCAGUGGAAAUUUUGGCAACUCUCGGAUAAGUUCGGUGGAUGAAAAAAAAAAAUACCCAUUUUUUUAAAAGUUAAGGCUCAAAGUACUUUGAUGAAUGUACUAAAUUACAGGGUGUUACAAUUUCUGUAUCGGAUUCUUCAAGGAUAGUUUAAAUGUCUCAAAAGUUUAAAAUUUAAAAUAAAUUUAAAAAAAAUAAUUAGGAUUGCUGUUUUGGAUUUUUCAAGGAUAGUUAAAAGUCUUAAAAUUAUAACAUUCAAAAGAAUUUAAACAAAGGAAUUAGGAUUUCUGUUUUGGAUUCUUCAAGGAUAGUUUAAANNNNNNNNNNNNNNNNNNNNNNNNNNNNNNNNNNNNNNNNNNNNNNNNNNNNNNNNNNNNNNNNNNNNNNNNNNNNNNNNNNNNNNNNNNNNNNNNNNNNUCGCCGCGUCGCCGCGCACCCCGCUAUAAUUAUUAUGGUGAAUCAUGCAUGCAUAUCCAGAAUGAUUUGAUAUUUCUUAAUUGAAUUUUGGAAAAGUCGUGAUACUUGGUAAAGCCUUUGGAUAGUUUCUCUGAGAUGUGAUGGAAUUAACAACAUAUUGAGAAUAAUAAAAAAGAAAAAGCAACGGAAUCAAUGAUCAAAAGUUGUGAAAAUUAUAUCUUUCUUUGAAGAUUUUGAUUUUGACCACAGUGAACCUAUAAGCUUAGAUAGAGAGGGCUUCUAUGAUUUCUAUAUAUACGGACUAGCUUGGCUUCAAACCAUAUGUACAAGUCAAGCUCAAACUCAGAACCUACUUAAACUGUUUCUUCUUCUUAUUUUUUAGUGUCAUUUUGCAAAUGGCUCGCCAAGCAGAUCGCCUUUACAAGAUUGGGUUGGAAGGGUUUGCACUAAUAGACGAGUGGUACGGGUACCCUAGGAGGUCUUCAACUCCUCAAGAGCACCAUCAGCAACGAUAUGAUUAUGGUGGAAUCCAAGUUCCCAUGAUGAAAAUGGAUGUUAUCAACAACAAGGAGGCAGCUAAACAUUAUGGUGGGGUGGUGAUUAUGGAUUAUCGAAAGAAAAAAUUACUCUAUUGAGCUCUUUAGUGAUAAUGUAUUGGGCCUUGCUUUGCUUGGUUAAGUUAAUUACCAAGCAUAAUUAAGUCAUUUUUAACUUUAUUGUUUUCUUCUUUUUUUUCCUAUGUUUGUGUGUGUAUGCCAAUUGUUUUAGAGUCAGCUACUCCAAAACAUGAAAAAGUACGAGUGCCUUAAAGUGAUUUGCUGCACCUCUUAUUUCUCUAUGAUUACGUUCUUGGGUUUCUUGAAAUACAUGACAUAGUGAAAAUAGUUUUUUCAAGUCUCAUGGAUCUCAUUAAACAACAUAAACUUAUUUAGGAUUUGUGCGAAAAUUGUAUGAAGAUAGUUCUUCCUCCUAGAAUUUGAUCAACACUUGAAGGCUGCAUUUUCGUAAAUCAAGUCCUUACUUGAUUUUUCUAAAUCUAGAAUUUUAAUCUCAUGUGCUAAUUAUAUUAUAGUUUUCAAUUUCUAAAACUUAUUUACAAUCAAUUUGUUAUUAUCUACUUUUGACUCCACAAAAAAUCAAGAAAAGAAAGAGAAAAUAGAAAGAGAAAAUCCAAAAUACAAGAAGAUAUACAUGAAAAAAAAACAUAAAAGAUUACUUAAGUUGAUGGUGAAGGACCAAAUUACAUGUGGAAAAGUUGAAGGACCAAAAUAUACAAAACUACUAUAAUUAACAACUCAAUUCCAAUUGACAAAGGGCCCCAUUGGUGAAAAUAUUUCUAUUAGGGUAAAGAAAUACAAAUUUGGAUAGGUAAGGACUUAAUGAGAAUUUUGGAAGGCUUAAUUAAUUUUAUUGAGGACUUGAUUACUGGGAAAAUCAGUUUUUAGAGUCAAUUUGGGUGUUAAUUGAAAUAAAUUAAAGUCCAUAGACUUAAUUGGUUUUUUAGGAGGUUUAAUUGGAUGAAUCAAGGGCUUAAUUGUAAGAAUAUUGAAGUUUGGUAGGUAAUUAGGGACUUGAUUGAAGAAAUCUAAAACCAAGGACCAAACUGAAAAAAGGCGCAUGACUGUAGAGACUAAAUUUGACCAAAUUAGGGGCCAAAUUGAAGAAAAUUGAAAGUUUAAUGGUCAAUUAAGGGUCCGAGUGCACAAAUUAGAAACUAAGGACCAAGAUUAAAAUGGCGCUGAACUUUGAGGUUGAUGAUUGAGCUGGACAAGGGUGAAAUUACAUGAAAUUAAGAGUUUGAAGGACAAUUAUAGGUGCAAUUAAAACAAAUUUGAAGAAUAGGGACUAAAGUGAAAAUUUUCAAAUCCCAAAUAAAAAACCCUAAUUUCUAGGGUUUAACCUAGAUGAUGCGUCGUUCGACCAUUGUUUAGUUUUUUGUUGGCAAUUUUGGUUGAUCGAGUAGGCACCUUCAAACGAAUGAAUGUGGCGUUUCCAACCACUUCUAGGGUUGUAACCACCACCAUUUAAUUGAGAAACACCCCAUCUACAAAGAUCAACUACGACCAUCAAGCACUUAUAUCCCAUUUUCUUUAUCGAACUCAACAACAUCUUUUCCUAGUUAGCCAUUACUACAUUUUCAAAUUCUCGGAUAAUCGAGUUGUCGCCUUCAACAAGUGAAUAUGGGGCUACAGACAUCCAAAUUGAACAAGAAUGGACCAAAUCGAAAGGUGUGAUUCUCCUUUAUAAAGUUUAGGUGGUCUCCAAUAACAUUUACGUUGGAGUUGCUCUGGCGUGGCCUCAAAAUUGGUCAACUUAGUCAGUCUUGACUAAGAUACCUAUUUGUACAAAGUCAUUCAACUUUUUCGUGUGUUCACACUUAAAAAAUUUUAGAGGGUUCUUAUCAAGGGUCAUAAAUCUCAUCCAUAAUCAGAAGGUGAGGGAUGCAUGCCUUUGUCUCCAAGAAAAAAAAAACCUCCUAGGUAAUUUUGUUAGAAAACCAUUGUCCCAAAACCAUUGAAAGACAAAGGUUCUGAUUGUUAACAUUUGUCCAGAACUCUCUCAUUUUGAUCAAAGAACUAAGCUUUGAUCGAUCUAUAUUUGAAUCCAUUAAACACCCUAGCAAAACCCUAUAAAUACCCCCUGAAAAAUAAAAAUAAAAAGAGAGAGAGGAAAAACAUGGAAGAAACACACUAUGAAAAGAUCCUGGUGUGAAGGUUCAAGAGCCUAACAUAGAGGGUCUAACAAGCUUUAGAAAAAAUAUAGUGAAAGGGAAAGAGGUAAAUAAAAGAGAAGGAAAAUAGUUCAUAGCUAGCAAGCUUGGAUAAGGUAUAAAUAUGUAGAAAUUCAAGCGUGGAGUCCAUGUGGCCUUCCUUUUCAUGCUUUCUUAAUGUUUAAACCUCUUUUGAUGUUGUUUGAGCUUGUCUUGCAUUUUUUGGUUUGAUUUUGGUGCUGGAAUAAUUUGAUGUAUUUUCAGCAGAGUUUGUUUUAUUAGAUUUCAUUAUGAUAAUUUGUUUUAGUUUUGGUUAAUAAUUUGUUAUUGAGGUUUGCACUAAAGACAUGAUUCUUGGUUUUCACACUUGUUUGAUUAUGUGAUUUUAGCCUAAUAGCAUGAUGAUGAUGUAUUUGAGAUAUUUUGAUUGGUGUUUGAAUCUAUUUUGUAAUUAAACAAUGAGUUGUUUUUGUUUGUGGGUUAAAUAUUUUGGAAGCAUGUUGAUUAAUUUGAUGAUUUUAGUGCAAGUUCAUGGUUUAUACAAGUAUGUUUUGGCAUAUAGAUGUUAAAAAUAUCAAGUUUUGAAUCCAAAUAGCAUGAAUAUGCUUGUUGAUUAUCUUUAGUAGUUUUGAACUUUGGAACUUAAUGCAUGUUAUUGAUGACUUUAUUUUAUUUGUUAGUUCUUUGAAUUCAACAAUGCUUAAUAUUGAUAAUAUGGUUUGCAAGGACCAAAAGAAACAUGUUUUAGAAGCCUUAGAGGCUAGUUUUGGGUUUAAUAGUAGGUUGGGAACUUUUAGGUUGCUGGGUUUGGUUUUUUCAUGUUCUUGGAAAGAAAAUUGCCUUAGCACUAUGAUUUAGAUCAAUUUUGGUCCCUUUGUUUACACUAAACCAUUCAGGGGACUUAACUAGUAGAUAAUAUAGGGUUUAUUUGCAUUAAUAACAAGUGUAUGGGUUUUUAAUCCUAAGAUUUUGGUUUUUAACCGAAACCCAUUUUCACAAAAUCACGUUAAUUCUUUGAUAAUCGAAGUAAUGGAUGCUAGAUUAUGGAUCCUUGCAUGAUUUCAAAUAAAACCUUGCCCUUGAUUGCAUGAAAACUUGACUGGAUUAAGAUUUGUGUUUGUUGGUUUGUUGAUGAAUGCUCUUUGUGUUCUUCACGAUUUGAGUGUUUGAUCUAUUUUUCUGCAAAUUUUUUUUUAUGUUUUGUGUUAAUUUUCAACUUUGAUUUUGUUUCAGGUUAAACCUUUGUUUGAGUUUACUUUUCAGAUCAAACCUUGUUUUUUGGUUCAGUUCAUGGUUAAACUAGUGUCUUUGGGUCGACCCGUUUGGUUUUGUUUUAGGUCAAGUACUUAAGGCUUUGUUUGUUUGAACAACCUUUUGUGAAGGAUUUUUUUGGCCCAAGAGAAUGUUUGGCAAACACACACUUAAGUGCAUUUUGGUAAUUUCUAGGGAAAGAAAAGAUGGUUUUGCCAAACAUUGGCUUAUAGAAAUAAACUAGCUAUGUGACCCGCGCUCCACCGCGGGUUAAAUAAUCAAAAAAAUUUAAAAGAGCUCCUAAACAAAAUAAAAGAGAUGAUGUUUUAUCCAGGUUAUAAAAAGGUCCAAAGAUGUUGGGUCUUGGUGGCAGAAGGAUCCAAUUGGGUGUUGGGCCAUGGUGGAGGCAAGGCCCACAACUGUUGGGUCUUGGUGGGAGGACCCAACACGCAAUUGGGUCCUACACCGUCAAGACCCAACAUCCACAUGGGUCCUGCACCUGGCAGGACCUAGAAGGAUGUGGGUCCUGCACCCGGCAGGACCCAACAUGCAAUUGGGUCUUGCACUGUGCAGGACUCGAAGCUAAUUUCGGUCCUGCACCUUGCACGACCCAAAGUUAUUGUGGGUCCUGCGCUAUACUCAAUUGGGUUGGGUCCUGCAUCCUGUAGGACUUAAAGUGCAGGAUCCAACACCCAAUUGGUCCUGCACAUGUCAGGACCUAACACAUAAUAUAUAUAUAUAUAUAUAUAUAUAUAUAUAUAUAUAUAUAUAUAUAUAUAUAUAUAUAUAUAAUUCAAAACUACUGCAUAAAAAUCUAAAGACAAUAAAAUAUUGAUAUAACUUUGAAUCUCAUACACUAAUGUUAUAAAAUUAAAAUAUCUUGUAUUACCUAAAAUAAAAUCUCUUAUAUAAUACUAAAGAUUUAUAAAGUAUAUGAUGUAAAUAAAAAAUUUCUUGAGAUUUCUAUCAACUUUAAUAUGAAAAUAUUAGAGAAUAGAAUUAAAAAUUUUCAACUUUUUUCAAAGUAUUUUUAAAACUAUGAGUCAGGUGCCCUUGUCAACUCUUAGUUUUUUAGGUCUAGAAGGGAAUGUCAGAUCCAUGUUAAUAAUAAUAAUAAUUCAUUUAAUUAUAAUUAAAAUGAAGAAGAAGAAGAUACAAAAAGGAAAUUAAUACAGGUUUGUAAGCCAUGUAAAACACAAUUACUCAAGAUAUUUCAUGGUUUGCAUGCCUCUAGUUUGCGUGCGUGGUUAGGUUUCCCAUCUAUUUUAUGAAUUCACGCAAACCUAUUAUGAUAAUAUUUACAUACCAAGCACUAGAAACUAUAGAAGAAAAAAGAAAAUCUGACAAUAAGAAAAAUAUAUUGGUCUCAUAAUAUCUAUUUAGCCUUACACUUCUGGAAAAAGAUUAAUUUUCCAUCAGCACCAUGGACAUCUGGAAAUUUUUAUUUUUUGAUUUACUUUAAAUUAGUAUUUUUUUGACAUUUUUGUAUUAUUUUUAAAAGAUUGUUUCCAAAAUAUAUAUUUAGAUUGUGUCUUGAAAAUUUUUAAUUUUUUUCUUGACUUUAAAUUUUGAAGACACAAUCUCAACAUAAUUUUUUAAAAGAAAAUAUUUAAAAAAUAAUAGAAAAACAAAGAAAAAAGUAAUUUAAAGUAAAGGAAAAAAAUAAAAAUAUUUCAAGACACAAUUUCAAUAUUUUUUUUCAAACAUAGUAUUUAAAAAACAAUAGCAAAAUAUAAAAAAAAUCAAUUUGAAUUAAAGGAAAAAAUUAAAAAUUUUCAAAUUUCUUGGCUCUUGCUUCACAGUCAGACACAAUCUCAAAAAAAUAAUUUAAAAUCUUUAUUUAAAAAAUAAUAGAAAAACAUAGAAAAAAAAAUUUAAGUAAAGAAAAAAAUUAAAAAUUUUCAAGACACAAUCUCAAUGUAUAUUUUGAAAAAAAAUAUUUUCAAAAUAAUACAAAAAUAUAUAUAAAAAAUUAAUUUAAAGUAAAUUAAAAAUUUUCAAAUUUCUUGGGUCUGGCUUGUCAAAAGUUAUUUCAAAAAUUACAAAUUCAAAAAAUUAAUGUUGUUGGGUCUUUUGGUAGAGAAGGCAACGCCCCCAGCUCUUGGAUCCUAACUCUAAAGGGUUGAGGAGAACCCAAUGUCAUUGGGUCCUGGUGUUAGCAAUACCCAAUAACCCACAGUCAACCACUAUGUUGGGUCUCCCAGUAGCUCUGGGAAGACAAGGCAAAGCCUCCAUCCGUAAAUUUUGACCAAAACCAUAGCAGGGUAUGACCCCCAAGGUGUAUGGCUGCUAGGUCUGGCUGUGUAACCACACCCAAUAUCCUUAGGUAUGGUUGUGCAGCUAAACCCAACACCUUUGGAGGGUGUUAGGUCCUGCACCGUGCAUGACCAAAAUAGCUAUGAUAUAAGUAAUCCAUCCUAGGGACAUCGGCAUAGGAAGAUUGAAAAAAAAACAAAACAAAACAAUUGAUUUCCUUUGGUAAAUGGAUUGGAAAUCCAUGUUAUCACGAAUGUGAGAAUUCAAUCACCCAUACCUCUCUAUAUCUCUACACAUCGUAAAUAUAUAUAUCUUUUUCACUACAAUAUAACACCACCAUUGAAUAUUAAUGCAAGACCAUUGAUCAAUAAGGAUGACUGGCUUCCAGACCCAAUAACCAUACCCAAUUAAAUUUCUUUGUCGUUGUCUUCUCUGAUUUAAAUUUAUUUUUCAAAAUAAAUUGAUGAGAUUUUUUUUAUAUUGUAUAAAAGUUGAGUGAUAAUAUUUUUUUCCCAUUUCAGGUUGGGUUAAAUUUCCUAAUUAAAUCAUGUUUGAUUUUGCGUUUUGAAAAUUCCUUGAAAUUUUUUUGAUAAUUUUUAAGUUUUUUUUCUUUGCUUGAAAUUAAUAUUUUUGUUAUGUUUUUGUAUUAUUUUUUAAAAAAAUAUGUUGAGAUUAUGUCUGGCUGCGACGCUAGACAAAAGAAAUUUUAAAAUUUUUAAUUUUUUUCUUUACUUCAAAAUAUUACUUUCACCAUGUUUUUGUAUAUUUUUUAAAUAUUUUUUUUUUAAAAAAAACAUAUAUUGAGAUUGUGUCUAGUUGAGAGGCAAGACUCAAGAAAUUAAAAACAUUUUCAUUUUUUUAUUUACUUCAAAUUAAUUUUUGUUUAAUAUUUUUUUCUUCAUUUCAAAUUAUUUAGAUAGUGUUUGAUUUUGCAUUUCAAAAAUUGUUUGAAUUUUUUUUGACAAUUUUAAAGCUUUUUUCUUUACUUCAAAUUAAUUUUUUUUUAUGUUUUUGUAUUUUUUUUUUAAAUGUUGGCAUUGUGUUUGUCUGCGAUGCUAGACCCAAUAAAUUUUUAAAUUUUAAUUUUUUUCUUUCCUUCAAAAUAAUAUUUUUUUUUCAUGUUUUUAUAUAUUUUUUAAAAAUAUUGAGAUUUUCUCUGGCUCGUUUUGUGGGGCCUCUAAACCCAAGGAGGGUUAGAACAGACCUCGACGGCUGGGUCUGCACCCAGCGCGUGUGUAAUAGUCCGAACUGUACGACUCGAUCAAUGUUAAAAGAUUCCAACAUAUACUCUUUAUUUGAGGGUAAUGUUUUUUUUUUAUUUCCAAAAAUUCGACAGAGUUUUGUUUGCAUUUAGAACAUCCCAAGUUAUCGACUACUAUCAAUUUACUCAAUCAACCCAUUAUCACAAGGUCCCUUAAUUCCGGACCUUAUAUCAAACCUCAUAAUUCCACACCUCAUACAAUCCACACAAUAUAUAUAUAUAUCCUACGAGUAAGUUCAAUAUGAACAUAGUCCAACACAUCGUAUCAUAAAAUUUAAAGGAAAAGCAAUACUAUCAUGCAAAGAAAGUAUUUACAGUUAAUUACAAGAUAACUAAAAUACUACAUGCUAAGCUAAACCUUUAUAAAUACAUCAAGGUUUGCACAAAAGUAUACUACAUAAACACGUUAAUUCCCUUUUGUUUUAAGUUAAAUAUUUACAUAAGCUUCACAAGGUAGAGUCCUAAACUAAUGAUCUUCCUGGAUGUUUGAUGGACCUGUUACAUAAAUAAACAUACCAUUAUGUUGAUAAAGAAUAUAUGUAUGCUCAUGCAAUGAAUACGAAUGAAGUAUUAACUUUCUAUCGAAUCCAUGAGAAUUCUAACAAAUAACUUAUAUUUUGCUUGUAAAUCUUUUAAACCCAAUUAACACUCAUUUGUAUAUUCUUAAUUGAAUAAUCUUAUUUACUUGCAUAAACUGGGUGACCUUGCAAGGUUUAAUCUUGUAAUUCAUUUCCCGGCAAUCCUAUCAUGGAUGCCAUUAGCCGAAGCUAAUUAUGUAAAUCAUUUCCCGGCAAUCCUAUAACGGAUGCCAUUAGCCGAAGCUAAUCUUGUAAAUACACUAGGCUUUAUUUACAUUGAACACGAUAUUUAUUAUAAUUGCAUUCACCAGAAGGAUUCUAAAUUGUAUAAGUGCAAAUAGGAGGGAAAAUCAUGCACCUGCUUCGUCUGUCUCGCGACCUCCCCUAACAAAAGAUCCAAUCCUAGUUGCUCCUCCUGAAUCACAAGGAAGUUUUUUUUUUUUGGUUAUGAUUCCUUCAAGCCGAUAUUAUAGAGAAUUCAUAUUCAUCCAUUACUCAUAUGUUACUUUCUAUGCAUGUUCAUUUCCUCAUAAUAACAUACAUACAUAUAUCAUGUAUAUUUUCAGAGUUAGUAUCUCAAUAUACAAGUGUUCGUAUGACUCAAUUCUUUUAUAUUCUUAUUUAUAGUAUUCACGUCAAAGUCGUCUGACUUUGAACUGUUACUGUUUGACUUUGAACUGUUACUGUCCAAUUUCCAACUGUUACUGUUUGACUUGGAACUGUUACUGUCUAAACACUCAUCAGAUUUUUAACUAUAUCUAAAGUUCUAAAACUCCAUUUUAAGUGAGAUUGAUCUCGCUAGAAAGCUAAGACACGAGGCUACUAGUUCUCUGAGGAAGGAGAACCUAGUUUUGCCUCCAAGAUAGUCAAAAUUGUUCAUUUACUAAUUAGUCCUACUACCCUACAUAAUUAGUUACGACUCAAUCUCAGUUGGUAACCCAUAACUGGAGUUCUACAUCUCCAAAUUGAGCAAGACCAGUUUCUUUGGUUAGCUAACAUUCAAAUCUACAAUUUCUAUGAGGAACCCGAUCCUAAUCCCCUCAUCCUCCUACCCGAAAUCUCAUCAAAAGUUAGGAGACAAGUCUGUCUAGAUUCGUCUCCCCCUCCCCUUCACACAAUACUUUCAUAAACUACAUACCACACACAUGAAUUAACUUAAUCUCAACAAUAAGUACUUUUUCCCCAAUUUAUGUCUAAGAACCCUAACCUAUGAUUCAAUAUCAAGGCAUCAAUUCUUUAUCGAAUUUAAAAAUGAAUUUUUUUAAGAUCAUGUUUAGAAUACCUUACCCGGUACAAAUUAAGAUUUUGAUCUUCAACCAGUUGAAGAUUUUCAACUCCCUCCUUUCUUUUCUUCUUGUUCAAUUUCUUGGUAAUUUUUUGCUCUCAAGUGUUUAUCCCAUCUAUAAGCUCUUAAUCUUGGAUGGGUUCUUGAAAUUUUAGUGUUUCUCUCUUGAUUUCUCAAGAAUGGGUAUAAACUCCCUAUCUUCUCUUCUUAUGGUUCCUACAGAUUUUUUUGGUGAGGAGAGAGUAUUUAUACUCUAUAUUUUCCCUUAUUUGCAUUUAGGCCCUCCUUUUCCUUUAAGUGUAUUAUUCUCUUCAAUUAAAUCCAACCCUCAACAGUACCGGGUUUAUUAUAAUAUCGCGAAUUAUUUCGCUCGGAAAUUUAUAUUCAAAAAUUUCAGAAUUUCUGUUUUUAUUUAACCAUAUGCAUGAAUUUCAUCACUUUUAUUUAUUUAUUAUUUUUCCCGGGGUUUACAGCGCGGGUCCAGAGGCCAGGAGCGCGGGGUUGCAGACCCUGCCUCGCGGGUAUGCAGACCCCAGGGUCACAAGGCUGCACACUCGCUUGCACUGGGGAUGCAGCCAGGCGCGCGGGUCUGCCUUACCACCUAAGGCAUGGCAGGCCCCGUGCUAGGUGUCUGCAUGCUAGGGCCUUGGCCAGCCCUAGUGCUAGGUGGCAGCAACCUAGAGCGCGAGCAGGCGCACGUGGCCUACCCCACUCCCAAGCCUGACAGCCUAAGCGCCAAGUGUCCCCAGCCUUAGGGGUUGUGCGUCCAGCCAGACACUUGGGGCCCACACUAAUAUUUUUUUCAAAAAAUAUUUUUUAACAAUAAUAGUAAUAAUGAUAAUGAUAUUUGUUAUUAUAUUUUUUUUUUUGCAAUUUCCUUCCAUUUUUAAUAUUAAUACAAGUAAUAAUAUUUAGUAAUAAUAUUUUUUUUAACAUUCAAUGAAAUUAAAAAUAUAAAUAUUUAGAAUAAAAAUAAAAAUAUUUAGACUACAAAUAAAAAUAUUUAUCACAUUAAUAAUAAUAUGAAACUUGUUUGACCAAAGUUGAUAAAAUAAUAUUUUUUUUAAAAAAAAUUAUUAACAAUAAUAAUAACGAUAAUUGUUGUUAUAUUAUUUUUUUCAAUUUUCUUCUAUCCUUAACAUUAAUACUUUUAAUUACAAUAAAGAUAAUAAUAUUUAGAAUACAAAUAAUAAUAUUUAUCAUAUUAAUAAAAAUAUCUACAGUAAUAAAUUUUUUUAUGAUAAUUAACCAUGAGACAAUAAUAAUAAUGAUAAUUGCUAUUGUAUUUUUUCCCCUGCAGGGUCUGUCGAUCCAGCCGUGCGAGCCUCUAAACCCAAGGGCGGUUAGAACAGACAUCGGCGGUCGGGUCUGCACCCAGUGUGCGGGUCAGGAGGCUAGGAGCGCGGGGUGCAAACUCUACCUCGCUUGUCUGCAGACCCCAGGGUUGCGGGGCUGCAGCAAACCCCGCGCCAGGUGUCUGCAUGCUAGGGCCUCGGCCAGCCCUAGCACCAGGUGGCAGCAGCCUAGGGCGCGCGCAAGAGCGCGUGGCCAACCCAACGCCCAUGCCUGUCAACCCAAGCGCUAGGUAUUCGUAGCCUCAGGGGGUGUGCGUCCACCCAGGCACUUGAGGCGUGCAAUAAGAUUUUUUGAAAAAAAAGUUUUUUAAAGAAUAAUAAUAAUGAUAAUUGUUAUAAUAUUUUUUUUUCCAAUUUUCGUCUAUUCAUAAUAUUAAUACAUUUAAUUAAAAUAAUAAUAAUAAUAAUAAUAGUUAGAAAAAUAAUAAUAUUUAUCACAUUAAUAAUAAUAUGAAACUUGCUUGACCAAAGUUGAUACAAUAUUAAUAAUAAUAUGAAACUUGCUUGACCAAAGUUGAUACAUUAUUAAUAAUAAUAUUUAUCACAUAUUUUAUCAAAUUAUUUACAAAUAAUAAUAUAUUUUUAUGUUUGAAAAUCCAUUUUUUAUAUACUCACAUCAAAAUAUUCAUUCGUGUAAAAAGGAAAUAAUAAUAUUAAUUUUUCUUUUCUUUUCUCUUAUUUUCGAUAUGAAUACUUUUUUAUAUAUAUUUUUGAUAUUUCUCUUCUUGAAUUUGCUUAUUAAAGCAUGUUUGUUUUUGCGUUUAAAAAAUGCUUUGAAAACAUUUUUAAAAUUUUUAAUUGUUUUGUUUACUUCAAAUUAAUAUUUUUGAUGUUGUAUUUUUUUUUGGUCUAGGUCCAUGACUGCGUUUUUAUUAUAAUUCUAAUUAUAAAAUAAUAAUAUUUAUAAUAAAAAUAAUUAUAUUUAGAAAGCUAAGACCCAAUUCUCUUGGGUCGUGACGCAGGACCCAUUACCCUUGGAUCCUGCCGUGGGACCUAAAGGAAUUGGGUCCUGACGCAUGACCCAAUCCUCUUAGGUCCUUGGGUCCGGCGGCAGGACCCAAGAGAAUUAUAAUAAAAAUAAUAAUAUUUAUAAUACAAAUAAUAAUAUGUUUAAUGUCAAUAACAUUAAUUAUAAUAAACAUAACAAUAUUUAUAAUACAAAUAAGAAUAUCUUGAAUUUCAAUAACAUUAAUUAUAAUACAAAUAAUAAUAUUUUUCAUUUAUUAAUUAUUAUAUGAAUAAUAUUAAUUAUAAUAAAAUACAAAUAUUUAUAAUACAAAUAAUUUUAAUUUUAACGUUAUUAUUAUUAUUAUUAUUAUUUAUAAUACAACUAAGAAUAUUUUUUAAUAACAUUAAUUAUAAUACAAAAGUAUUAAUAUUAAAAAUAUUAUUAUUUGUAUUAUACAUAUUAUUAUUUUUAUUAUAAUUAAUAUUAUUCAUAUAAUAAUUAAUAAAUUUUGGAAAUUUAUUAUUAUUAUUAUUAUGAUUAAUAAAUUUUAAAAAUACUAUUAUUACUAUUGAAGAAAAACCAUUAUUUUUUUAAAGAUUUAAAAAUAUAAUUCAAAGUAUUCAUAUAAAAAAUAUAAUUAUUUGUAUUAUAAAUAUAAUUAUUUUUCUUAUAAUUCAAAGUAUUCAUAUCAAAAAAAUUAUUAUUUGUGUUAUAAAUAUAUUAUUUUAAUUAUAAUUCUAAGUAUUAAUAUAAAAAUAUUAUAAUUUGUGUUAUAAAUAUUCUUGAGUUUGUUAAUAUAAUUAUUUGUGUUAUAAAUAUUAUUAUAACAAAUAAUCAAAUGCCAAGCGCCCUAGGGCUGCAUCCAAGCAUGCGUGUCCGGUCAUAGCGCUCAAGGCUCGUCACACCCUUCGCCAGGUGUGUGCAUGCUGAGGCCUCGGCCAGCUAUAGCGCCAAGUGUUUGCUGCCUAGGGCCGCGACUAGGGGCGCGUGGCUGGCCCCAAAGCCCUGGCUUGGCUACCCAAGCACAAGGUGUCGACAGUCUAAUCUAAUUAAAUGUCGCCUCUGCCGCUGCAUCACUCCCAUCUUAAUGACAAAAGUCAAAUGAGCCACCCCAGUCGCAAUUCUUGACUAAAAACACAGGUAAGGAACGCCCCCCAAGGUGCUAUAGUGUCAUCCACAGUUCAUUGUAUCUUGGGCCACAGUGCAUGUACAGUAGAAAAUCCUAAUACGUGUUAAGACAUAGCAAAGCAACUAUGUAAGUUUUAAUACAUAGCAAAACAACUGUGCAAAUCCACAAUUAAUUGUCUCUUGGUCCACAGUGCAUGCAUGUACAGUAAGUCCACAAUGAAUUAUCUCUCAGUCCACAAUGUAUUCAUGUAUAGUAGAAAACCACGUGUUUUAGAGUUUUGUUAAUAAUAAAAAAAAACAAAAAUAAUUUUGGUUUGUUGUAUACGUCUCAAUCUUUACAUAACAUUGCAAUUUAUUAAUAAAAAGGAGGGGAAAAUGUUUUUAGCAUUGUUUUUUUUUUUCAUUUUGUAAUUUACAAUAAGUUGGCCAAUAUUUGGCCAAUAUUUCAAUAACUCUAAAAAUUUUAAUUCCUAAAAAUUAAAGGUCAACAUUAUGGUAUAAAUGUUAGACCUACCAGUAGGCUAGUAUUUAAGUACCAGAAGUUAACUAGAAAAUUUUCAGAAUUAUUUUGGAUAUUCAUCAUUUUUAAUUGUGAGUAUUUUUUCAUCACAAUAUAUGAGUUGUGGAAAACAUUUUCACCUUUCAGGAUAGGUGACUCCUGUCAAAGCACCUACAUGAAUUUUUUUUAUAAGAAUUUACCUAAACAUACGAGUCCAUAAUAAAUUUGAAAUGUCAUAUUUAUUUAUGGGCGUAAUUCCUUUUUCUGAGCCAUAAAUGGGCUACCGGUUAGGAACCCAUCAACACGUUUAAACCACAUCAUGACAACACAAUACAACUUUACUCAAGUAAGGAUGUUAAUGCCUUUUUCUAGCCAAUACUGGUCCCUUACCCUGAAAUUUCAGAUAAGAUCAGUUACUUGGGUCUUCUAAUGACUUUGAAAUCACAAAACUAGGUGCGGACUCCUUAAUCCCGAUGCUGCAACACCGCGCGCACAUAGGCGACACAAUUCAUGCUUGAUUAAUCAUCCAUGUGAAUUAUUAGGUUUCGAAUAUGUUGGCACAAAUAUAAAUCAUAAUCUUAUUCAAAACAAGAUUAAAUAAAUUAAGCAAUUUAAGUUACUAUCAAUCCAACAAAUUGAUAGAUUUAUAUUUAAAUAUCAAAUGCAAGAUACCAUGAUCUCUUAAAUCUUGUCCCAGUAUAAAAAAAAUGUGAGUAUAUGAACCCAUGAAGUGGUAUCAGAAUCUAUUUUCCUAUUAUUAUUAACUAAACGGAAAGCCAUAUCUUACUGCUUAUACUAUAAUAUUGGGAUUGAGUGGUACAAUGUCCAGAAUGCUUCUAAGGAUAACCAUAUGUCCAUAUCCAUAAGAUCUCAAUGGAUUGACCCUUACUACAGAAUCUAGCACAUCCUUAAGCUAGAAUAAAGUGCCUUCACUGAUUAAUCUAGCAUAUAUAUCUAAUUAUUUGAAAAUCUUUUCAAAUUUCAUUCCACCUUAUAUAAAGAUUUAAUACUUAAUAUUAUUUGAGAAUACAUAUAGAUUGCAAGCAUCGGCUUUUAGUGUACUUUUGAUGACAUGAAACUACCACAAAAUGGGUCCUAUCCGAGAGAGUGUUCUCUUUCUGUUCUGUUAUCACAUAGAACUGAAAUCUGUUCAGAGUACCCCUCCAAGAAAAUUGAUGCGGGCAGAAAGACAAUAAUAAAUACAGAAAAAACACAAGAAUUUUAAUGAGCGAAAUGGGCUGUUGAUGUGAACAUUAAGUUCACAGGUUUUAUUUUCUCUUAAAUAACAAUCAUCACUACAAGAUUUCACAGUUUUACUGACGGACCAAUUCCGUCGAUGUGUGAUUAGAAGUUCGUCGGUGAUUUUUUUACCGACGUCAUCACCGACGGAUUACGUCCGUCCGUCGGCAUUCCCUUCGUCGGUGAUUCCCCCUUCCAUCGCUAUAUCGAUUGGAAAAACAAAAAAAUCAUUUGCCGAUGGUUUUACAGAUGGAAUUUGCGCGCCAAAAAAAAAGAUUCCCGCUUGAAAUAUACCGACGGAUUUUUAUUCUGUCGGUGAUAUUGUAAUUGACCGACGGAAACUAUCCGUCGGUAAAUACGUCGGUGAGUGUAUGAAAUACCGAACGAAUAUAUUUGUCUGUAAAUUCGUCGGUACUGGUGGCAGUUACUGUUAAAUGCCGACGGAUUAAUUCCAUCGGUAAUUCUGUCAGUGAGUGUUUAAAAUACCGACCGAAUUAAUCCGUCGGUAAAAUCCUUGGUAAUAGUUUUUUUCUUAAUUUUUUUUAAAAAAACUAUUUAGGAUAUAUAAUAUAAAACUAUUUAAAUUAAUUGUAAUACAAACCAAUUAUGCAAAAAAAAAUUAUAUUAAACAUAAAAAAAACAAAGUUAAAUAAUAUUCAUUACAAACUGAAUAUGUUUCAAGAAAAAUAUUAAAUGAAGUUUUAAAGGUAAAUAAUGUUGAUUACAAAUUAAUAUAAAGGUGGAGCUGGAGGAGGAGGAGGAGGAGAUCCUGGAGGAGGCUGGUGAUUAUACGGCCAAAAAAGAUUAGGCGCACAUGUUCCACUAUUUGUCAUGUUCAUUAGCAUUUCGCGAAGUUGUUCAUAAGCCGCUUUUUGUUGUUCAUGAGCCGCUUCAUACUCCGUUUUUUGUUGUGCUUGAGACGCUUUGAGUUGCUCAGACUACGCUCUUUGUUCCGCUCUUUGUUGUGCAUGAGACGCUUUGAGUUGUGCGUACUCCGCUUUUAGGUGAUCGUAUUUCUCGGUGAGCUGAGCUGUGUGUUGCUGCAAGGCCACGAACUCCUUAGAUUGGGAGCUCGAUAUUGAUUGGGAGCUCCCAACGGUUGAAACACUACGGGUCGACCGCAAGUUGUCGGCCGUAGUGUUGGAGAGCCCGUAAACCCGAUUUUUAUCGGGUCCACUUGACAAGCCAACCUCCAUCCACAAAUCCGGAUCGAAUUUCGAAUGGGUCAAAAUAUUGUCCCCGUAUCUCUCCCUCAACCGAUUAUUAUAGGUCUCCUGAAAAUAAAAAUAAAAAAGUAAUCAUCAUAUUCAAUACAAUAAACAUAAUAACUUACAUAAUAACUUACAAAAUAAAAUGGUUGAACAAACAUACCACGAAAUGCUGAGCACGGUUAUCAACGAACUGUUGCGCCCCCUUCUGGCAGUCUUGACUCUGCACGUGCGUCUCCACAAACAGCUCCAUCGGGCUCAGCUUACGUCCAAGAGACGCAGCCUAUAAUGAAAAAAGAUAUAUUAACAACAACUGAAUUUAACGAUAUAUUUCAUUUAAAUUAAUCUUACCAUCCGUUUCGCAUGUGCAGCAAACGGAACGGAGCCGUCAGUGUGCGUUGUCACCCCGCCAUGAAUUGGCCGAUUCCGGUUGCCAGCACCGGACUGUGAGUGUCGUGUGAACCGUUCAGACGUCACGUGCUCAAGAUAGUGCGGCCAUAUAUCUUCCGGGAUGUAUAUCGGUUUGAAAUCCCUCCAAACCGCAACAUCGUUCCAGCCUUGGAAACCCCUAUCCCUCGCGGUUUUUUUUGCCUUUUUUUGUGCUUCAUACCAAAAAUCACGCAACCUACUUCACGCAACCAAAAAUUACAUUUCGAAACAUAAAUUUUUGGCUAAAAAAAAUCCUGUAUUGUUUUCGAUCUUACCUAGUUGCCGCGUGAUUUUCCCACACCCUCCUCACAACAGUGUUAUGCUCACUGUCCCAGCAGAAUUUGUGCUGUGUAUAAAUAAACAAGCUUAAAUAAAAAUAAUAAUUUAUUUACAAUUAUAUUAAUAAGCUGAAAAUUAUAAAUUAAUACCAACCUCAAACCUGUUAAACCAUGCAUUGAUUUGAGGCAUCCAUUCAGGAUGCUUGGAUAUCUGACUCCAUUGAAACAAUGGAAUCUCCAUCGACGAUUUAAACGCCGAUGAUAUUACUCGGGCGGCUUCAAUGUUUGUGAACCUGAAAAUAAAUGAAAUAAAUUCAAUAGUGAUUACUUCAUAAAUUAUGUUGUAAUUUUUUUAAAAAAAAACUAAAACCUUAACAAACUUACAUUGAAAGGUCGUCCUUCCAUUGUGCCUCGUACUUGCGGGUAAAUUGAUUCCGCUGCGAAGGCACGCCGUCUCUGCGCUAUGAAGUACCGCUAGAAGAGGCAGCAUCGGUUGACGGCGCAGGUGGUGUAGGUGCCUCUUCUUGAGAGGCACCUAAGGAAAUAUCAUCAUCGCUGCUAGACGAACUAGCUGUGACCGUACUUGAGCGACCAGCUCUGGUUUUCGUUCUACGCAUCUACACAAUUUGAUACAAAUAAUUAUAUAAUUAAAUUCAAAUGUAAAAAAAAAAUUUGACAGCACCUCCCCUAUACCGGAUACUACCCAAAUCCACAAACAUGCACAUAUUAACAAUAGCCACAACCAAUUUACCCAAUCUAUACUAAUUAUUCCAACAUAUUCAAUUACUAAUCCUAAGGUAAAUUCAACAUUAAGAAUUACAAUUCAAGUAAUUAUUCAAUAAUUAUACCAAUAUAACAAAACAAUAAAUUAAAAAAAAAACUCUAGAAUAACAAUCAAAAUAAAUGGAAAAAAUUAAACACAAAGCAUGCAAUAAUAGAGUAAAACUAAUAAUUAUUCCAACAUAUUCAAUUACUAAUUCUAAAAUAAAUUCAACAUUAAGAAUUACAAUUCAACAAAUUAUUCAAUAAUUAUGCCAAUACAACAAAACAAUAAAUUAAAAAAAAACUCUAGAAUAACAAUCAAAAUAAAUGGAAAAAAUUAAACACAAAUCAUGCAAUAAUAAAGUAAAAUUAAUAAUUAUUCCAACAUAUUCAAUUACUAAUUCUAUGGUAAAUUCAACAUUAACAAUAAAUAUUCAACAAAUUAACUAAUAAUAAUUAUGCCAAUACAACAAUAAAAAAUAUUCAGUAAAUUUAAAAAAAAAACUAUAGACUUUAGCAAUGAAUUAUGCAAAAAAAACUAUAGACUUUAUCUACAUUACAAAAAAUACACCAAAAAAAAAAACUAACCAAAAAAAUAGCAAAAAAAAACCAUUAGAAGAAACACUAACCUUUUAAACUGAUGGAGAUUCACGAUAAAAAAAGCUUGAGAUCGCCUGAAGAACGGAGAGAAGAACGGAGAGGAAAAGAAUGGUGAAAAACUGAGGAGAAGAGAAAAUGAACUGAAGAGGCGGUCGGGGGAGUUUAAAUGCCAAUUUUACCGACGGAUUCACCGACGUCUAUAAAAUUAAUUAUUAUUUUAAUUUAUUCCGUCGGUGAGGUGUUAAAAAUCCGUCGGUAAAUUUUGAAUUUCGCACCAAAUUUUUUAAUGGCCCUCUAUAUUUUUCGCAGUCCGUGGCAAAUCCGUCGGCAAUCUGACGCGGUCAGAGAUGCAUUUAAUGCACAACCCUUUGAUAUUCGCGCAGUCCGUCGGGAAUUGUGUCGGUAAAAUUGACAACGUACCGACGACUAUAUAUUCGUCGGUGUGGUCGUCGAUGAUAUGGUGGCAUUACCAGUAAUUAUUUUCGAACUCUCUGUGAAAUGCCGACGGAAUUAAGUCCGUCGGUGUGGUCGUCGGUGAUGUGGUGGCAUUUCAAGUAAUUAUUUCCUGUCACAAAAUAUAUCAUCCAUGAUCAAUAAUUAUUUCAAGUAAUUAUUUCGUAAUUGUGGCAUUUCAACUAAUUAUUUCAAGUAAUAAAUAUUUUGUGUUUCAAAAUAUAUCAUCCAUAAUCUAAAUUACAUGAAAAAAAGGGUUUUACAUAGGGCUUCAUUUUGGUAGUUAGUCAGAAUUUUCUUCUUCUUCGUCAUCAAUUGAAUUGUCAUCACCUUCAUCGCAAUCUUCAACAUGAAUAUCAUCUUCUUCAUCGACAUUUGCUUGUCCGCUAGAGCUCAAAACAAAAUUCAACUCCUCUGCAUCAACAUCAACAUGACUAUCAUCGAAAACACGAAAAUUUGAAUUUUCUUCCAAUUCAAUCGAAGGAGUAACUCGAUAUGGUUCAACCACCUCACUAACUUGAAAGACUUCAUCUCGCACACUUGUGUCUUCAUUCUCAUCCUGAACAACCUCGACACGACCCCGGGGUUUUGUUUUUAAAACGGACAACCAAUCCACUCUUGAUCGAUCCUUUCUAAAUGAAGGGGUGUAUGUGUAAUAAACUUGUUGACAUUGCUUUGCGAAAACAAAGACAUCGUUUAUGUUGCGGAGUCUAGCUUUUGAGUUGAUUUCGACCAGACCAUAGUGCGGAUCAACUCUGAUUCCUCUGUCAGUCGUGUCAUACCAAUAGCAUUUGAAUAAAAACACUAUAUUCUGCUCGUCAUGAUAUUGUAGUUCGACGACCUCUUCUAAUCUACCAUAGUAGUCAACUUCUAACUCACUACUAGUGGAUCCCUUAACACAAACACCGCUGUUGUAUGUCUUUCUUCCUUGCCCGUAUUCUUCAGUAUGGAAAACAUAUCCAUUGACAAAAUACCCGUUGUAGCACUUACAUUUUCUUUCAAGCCCCAGGCUUAGUGAAGACAAUGACUUAGGUGCACUCCUUCCCAUUUGAUAAACCUUGUAUGUAAUGUACAUCAAUAAAUAGUAAAUGAACGAGAAUCUCGUAAUGACAUGCAUACGUACAGUAAUUUUGCAAGUUAGAAUGAGUUUGUGAUAGUGCUUACAUGUGUUCUGAACCACGUGGCAAACUGCUCAUCUUGUAAUUGAAAGAUCUGGGAUUCGGUCAGCUGUGAGUUAUUGGAGAGCAAAUAUUGACGAUGUUGCCUGCAAGUGAUAAUGAGUGUAUGAUAUUACAAUAUAUAAUUAACAGUAUAUUACUAACAAAGUUUAAUUAGUAUAAACUUACUGAAUAAAAGGUCUCAGCUCAUCACACUUAAAUAGAACAUAGUUGUGUGCUUGUUUGAACUCUAUUUCCGACAAAUAUCUUCCUCUUACGGCAUUUUUAUGUGUGGGUCAUCCAGUAUUGGAGAAUAUUGACAAGUUCCCACUGGAUGGCACUUCACCGCCAUCAUCAUGCCGUGGACCGCGAUUGAUUCUCGUUCUCAGAUGAGGUUCGAAAUAGUACGAGAUAAAUGUUGAGAUCUCCUCAACAAUAUAGGCCUCACAUAUCGAAGCCUCAACAUGCGCCUUGUUCUUAACCUUUUUCUUGAGAUUAAACAAGUACCUGCAUUGAAAUAUUAAUCAAGUAUUUUCAAUUAAGAAAAACAUAUAAAAUACUUUUAUAUAUGAAUUACAUUGCAACUGUAAUAUCUAACCGUUCGAAUGGGUACAUCCAUCUAUAUUGGAUCGGACCUCCAGCUUUUGCCUCGAACGGUAGAUGUAUAGGGAGAUGCUCCAUUGAGUCAAAAAAUGAUGGAGGGAAUAUCAUCUCAAGUUUGCAUAGUGUCUCGACGAUAUUCGUUUGAAGCCUCUCAAUGUGAUCAACAUUCAACUUGCUGGAGCAUAUAUCUCUGAAGAAAUGACUAAUCUCCGUGAGUGCAUCCCAUAUUCCCUUUGGCAACAAAUCACGAAAAGCUAAUGGGAUGAGUGUUUGCAUAAACACGUGGCAGUCAUGACUCUUCAUUCCAUACAAUCUGCAGUCCUCUAUAUUAACCAGCCUUGAUAUGUUCGAUGCAUGUCCAUCCGGAAAACGCAGACUCUUAAGUCAUUUGUAGACUAGCAGUUGUGCGUUUUUCUCUAACACGAAGCUUGCUCUUGGUUUUGCAACCCGUGACUCAUCAUAAACCAACUCCAUAUUUUUACGGUUACAGUAUAAAGCUAUAUUCAAUCUAGCCUUGAUGUUGUCCUUUGUCUUCCCCUUCACAUCCAUGACGGUGUUGAAAAUGUUCUCAAACAUGUUCUUUUCGAUGUGCAUGACGUCAAGGUUAUGGCGGAGCAGAUUGGUCUUCCAAUAAGGAAGCUCCAAAAAGAUACUUCGCUUUACCCAAUUAUGGGUCAAACCAAAACCAGGAAACUUUUGCUUACCUGAUUGAAGGCCAAACACAAUGUCACCGUACUCUGAGACAACAUCAUGCAAUUCUUCACUAGAAAGACGCAGGGAUGCAACAUCUUUUUCAACUCUGCCAACAAAGAAAUCUUUUUUGUUCUUUCUGUACCUGUGAUGAAGUGGCAAGAAGCGACGGUGACAGUAAAAAAAAGAAGCUUUACCUCCAUUUGCUAGCGUGAAUGCCUUGUUGUUUUCCAUGCAGUAUGGACAUGCGAGUUUCCCAUGCGUGCUCCAACCAGAAAGCAUUCCAUAAGCUGGAAAAUCAUUGAUAGUCCACAUCAAUGCCGCCCUCAUAAGGAAAUUUUGUUUCCUCGAUAUAUCAUAAGUCAGAGCUCCGGAGGACCACAACUGCGCCAACUCAUCAAUCAACGGUCGAAGACAAACAUCUAUAUUCCGCCCCGGGCUUCUUGGACCGGGUAUGACAGUAGAUAAAAACAUGAACUCCGGCCUCAUACACAUUCCCGGUGGCAAGUUAUAAACUGUGAGUAUGACCGGCCAACAAGAAUAAGGAGCAGCAAAUGACCCAAAUGGGUUGAAUCCGUCUGUACACAACCCAAGACGCACAUUCCUUGAUUCAGCUGAAAAGUGAGGAUGAACACUGUUAAAGCGUUUCCACGCUUCGCCGUCAAAAGGAUGAACCAUCACUCCAUCAACCGCAUGGUGUGCUUGGUGUCAUGUCAUGUGCUCAGUAGUCCUUGGUGACAUGAAUAACCUCUGCAGUCUAGGUGUGAUCGGGAAGUAUCUAAGUUUUUUAUAUGCCACUAGAGUCUUUUCCCUGCUAGUUCUAGGUUUGUAACGGGAAUGCCCGCAUGUCAUGCACUUGGUCAUCUCAGCAUUUUCAAGGUAGUAUAACAUGCAGAAGUUAGGGCACAUGUCAAUUUUUUGGUAUCCUAAACCGAGGGGUUUCAUCAUGGACUUCGCAGCAUAGAAGUUCUCUUUCAGCCUGUUCCCUUCAGGUAAAAUGCUUCUCGCCCAUUCAAUAAUCUUGUCAUACUCGGCCUCACUCAACCCGUGAUCUGACUUGAUGGUGAACAUUUGUGCUACGACCGAUAAUUUACUGUGGUUCGUGCAGCCAUCCCAUAAUGGUUCGUUAGAAUCUUUCAACAAAUCAAAAAACCUAGCUGCAUCUGCAUUAGGUUCUUCUUCUACGAUUGGACAUUGACUGCCAUUACCUUGAUUCAUUCUCAUUGCAUCCAUAACCAUAUUUCUGUAAGGAUAAGUGUUGUCAUUUGCCGCUUCAUGCACGUUGCUAGCACUAGAAGUAGACCCAACCACCAUUUCUUCCAUUCUCCUCUUACUACCAAAUACUUCUCCAUAUGCAUACCAACACUGGUAAUUCUCCAUAAACCCUUUGUGUAGAAGAUGCAUCAUUACAACAUCUGGAUGCAGAUACUUUUUAUUUUCACACUUCCUGCAUGGACACCUAAUACCGCCUCCAAUAAAAUUUCUAGGAAUAGAUGUUGCGAAAUUAAUAAAACCCUGAACCCCGUUACAAUAAUCCAUCCUCCGCAAUCCUUGGGGUGAAUCUCGAUACAUCCAUGAACGAUCAUCCAUGACUUAUAUCGAACCUCUAUAAAAUUAUGAUGACAUCAUGUAUUAAUUAACUAAGUUAGGUAAAUAAACUUGCAAAAAUAUUACUUUACCUCGAGAUUAUCCAACAAACCAAUCACAACUUCUCAUAAAUAUUAAAUAUUCAUUAUUAUUUAUCAACGUCCAUACGAAUUAAAAUAUAUAAAUUUACAGAAAUUACCACUCCGCAAUACCAUUGAUAAAACUUUAAACGGACCCAUUAAGCAAGCUAUUAAUUAUUUCAAAAUAGCACAUGUAAUUCAUAUACUAACAAAAUACAUUUACUAAAAAAACAAUAAAAUUCACAUUUAAUUAAAUGUUAAAAUUUAAAAAGAUAGAAUUACUUACAAAAAUUGAUAAAAUCCAUCGGUAAAUCAGAACACGGAUGCUGUGACCACAAAACUUCAAGAAAUAUAACUUGUUGUGCUGAUAUGAGGAAGAUUUUUUUUUGGGGGGGGAGGGGGGGCUGGUUGUUUGCAGAUGGGGAGAGUUGGGAUUAGGAAGAAGAAGGAGAAAUAGGGGAGGAGAGGGUCAGCAGAGCUGACAUGUAUAUAUAUUAACUUUUUCCAACGGUUUCACCGACGGACACUCCAUCGGUGAUUCUGACGGACACAUAGACACGUCACCAUACGGAUCUGCCAUUUCAAAUCCCUCGGUGAGUCCGUCGGCAAUUUAAACGGCGAACCGGUCACGUCACUGUACGGGCUGUCGUUUUGAUUUCGUCGGAACAAAAUAACCCGCCAAAACCUCCACGUCAGUGACCCGCCUUUUUUUUAAAUUCGGAAACUUUUUCGUCCGUAAUUCAGUCGGUAACUACCGACGGAAAUUUUCCGUCUGUAGUUACCGACUGAAUUACGGACGGAAAAUGGUCCGUCGGUAGUUACCGACUGAAUGACAGACGGAAAAGUGUCUGUCGGUAAUUUCGACCUCAAAUUACCGACAUAAAUAUUUCGUCUGUAAAUCCGUUGGUAUUUAACGAAUUUCUGGUAGUGGAACUAAGCAUAUUGAGAUCGAUUAUCAUCUUACUCGUCAUCAUCUCAAGCAUGGAACCAUUGCUUUGCCUUUUGUUCCUUCUUCCUUGUAGAUUGCAGAUUUCUUUACCAAGGCGCAUUUCAUCUCUCGUUUUCAUUUUCUGGUUGGCAAACUCUCAAUGCUUGUAGCUGCCGCAUCGUGAGUUUAAGGGAAGAUGUUAAAUAACAUUUAUGUAGUCUUGUUUAUUAAGGGUAGAAUAUUACUUUCAGUUUAACCUAUAUAUACUUUAUUUGUUUUUAGGUUAAGACUAAGCACUCAUAAUAUACAGAUUAUUCAGAAUUCUAGCCUCCCUUUUGUGUUUGAUCUUAAUUCAUUUUAACAAUGCUAUUUGUUGAAGUUGUUGCCAGCCUUCAAAAGGUCACUCGAUCUCAUUUUAGAAACUGAUUUCUCAAACAUGGAAACCUGGAAUCUCAAAAUCUUCUUAAUCAGUACAUUCCUAGUGAACAAGUAUGUCAAGGAGAAAUAAAAGGAUUGUCAAUGCAUUUUUCCAGACUAAAGUUGAGUUUAAGGACAUUCAAAAAGGUACAGUUUGCAAGGCCCGGGGGGAUUUCCCCUGAGAAAUUGUUGGAAGAGAGGUAGAGAGACGUGGCAUACUGAAUUAUUUUAGAGAUAUUUUGUGGAAUAGAUCCAAAGAGCUCAUUGCUGGAGAGAUCUAUGCCCGUUAUGCUUGUGCAGUGUUUAAGGCCAAGAGGGAACCUGCCCUUGAGACCCAUAUCCGGAAGUCUGAUAUUCAACACCCUAUUCUCACUAGGAUCGAUGCCACCAUUCAACCCCCAAAAAGGUACAAAUGAAUCCUUCAGUAGAAUUCUCAAAGUUCCAAGAAGAGUUCGAGUAAUUAUCAGGGAAAGGUUUAGCCAGGUUGAGCAACAAUAGUGGUCACGGCUGCAACAAAGUUGUCACUGGCAGCAGCGUUGUGGGCAACAAUGUUGCUGGCACGAGUCAUGAACGUUUCUGUCCAUGAUGGUUAAUUCCUUGAGAUUGUUGGUAAGGACACAAUGGAGGAACAACAUUAAAGAUACUAUCUUUAAAGAUAUUUCCUCUAAAAAAAAAUUAUAUUUAAAAAUUAUUAUUAUAAACAAAAAACACUCAAAAAGUAUAGGUUUUACCUCGUAUAUAAAGGAAACAAAGAUUUUUUUCUUGCUCAACCCAACCUUAAACCUAUUAGAUUUAAAUAUUUCAACUUAAAAAAAAAUAUUAUACAUUUAAUUGGAAUAAAAAUCUUUUAAAUAACUUCUCAAAUUAUAUUAUAUUAUUUACAACAAAUUUUUCAAACCAUUGCAGUAAUUACAAUUCAAAUUAAAUUAUAAAUUAUUAAAUAUUAUUUUAAUAUAUUUUUAAAUAAAAAACAUUUUAAAAAAUAAAAAAAUACUCCUGAUAUACCCUGCUAUGCAGCUCUGCCGCUUGGAAAAUGAGCUAGAAAAGGUUACGGGAGGAGAAAGCAAUGCAAAUUCAUUUGAACAGCCUCCAUGAUUUUCAUUUUUGCAAUUAAUAGAAAAUUUAAAAUAAUUAUGAAAAAUCAAUGUAACUUCCCUCAUAUAUAUAUAUAUAUAUAUAUAUAUAUAUAUAUAUAUAUAUAUAUAUAUAUAUAUAUAAUCCGGGAUGUUCGGGUCAGCUUACGCGUACCACGAUUUAUUUUUGGAUCCANNNNNNNNNNNNNNNNNNNNNNNNNNNNNNNNNNNNNNNNNNNNNNNNNNNNNNNNNNNNNNNNNNNNNNNNNNNNNNNNNNNNNNNNNNNNNNNNNNNNAUUCUUCAAGGAUAGUUUAAUGUUUUAAAAGUAUAAAAUUUAAAAGAAAUUUUAAAAAAGUAAUUAGGAUUUCUGUUUUGAAUACUUCAAGUAUAAUUCAAACUUUUAAAUUUACAAAAUUUAAAAGAAAUUUUAAAAAAGUAAAUAGAAUUUCUGUUUUGGAUUCUUCAUGGAUUGUUUAAAUGUAUUAAAAUUAUAAAAUUUAAAAGGAAUUUAAAAAAAGUAAUUAGGAUUUCUGUUUUGGAUUCUUCAAGGAUAGUUAAAAGAUUUAAAAUUAUAAAAUUUAAAAGAAUUUAAAAAAAGGAAUUAUGAUUUCUGUUUUUGAUUUUUCAAUGAUAAUUAAAAGUUUUAAAAUUAUAAAAUUUAAAAGAAUUUAAAAAAAGGAAUUAGGAUUUCUGUUUUGGAUUCUUCAAGGAUAGUUUAAAUGUUUUAAAAGUAUAAAAUUUAAAAGAAAUUUUAAAAAAGUAAUUAGGAUUUCUGUUUUGAAUACUUCAAGUAUAAUUCAAACUUUUAAAUUUACAAAAUUUAAAAGAAAUUUUAAAAAAGUAAAUAGAAUUUCUGUUUUGGAUUCUUCAUGGAUUGUUUAAAUGUAUUAAAAUUAUAAAAUUUAAAAGAAAUUUAAAAAAAGUAAUUAGGAUUUUUGUUUUGGAUUCUUCAAGGAUAGUUAAAAUAUUUAAAAUUAUAAAAUUUAAAAGCAUUUAUAAAAAGUAAUUAGGAUUUCUGUUUUGGAUUCUUCAAGGAUAGUUAAAAGAUUUAAAAUUAUAAAAUUUAAAAGAAUUUAAAAAAAGGAAUUUGGAUUUCUGUUUUGGAUUCUUCAAGGAUAGUUUAAAUAUUUUAAAAGUAUAAAAUUUAAAAUAAAUUUAAAAAAAAUAAUUAGGAUUUCUGUUUUGGAUUUUUCAAGGAUAAUUAAAAGUUUUAAAAUUAUAAAAUUUAAAAGAAUUUAAAAAAAGGAAUUAGGAUUUCUGUUUUGGAUUCUUCAAGGAUAGUUUAAAUGUUUUAAAAGUAUAAAAUUUAAAAGAAAUUUAAAAACCAAAUUAUGAUUUUUGUUUUGGAUUCUUCAAGGAUAGUUUAAAUGUUUUAAAAGUAUAAAAUUUGAGAGAAAUUUUGCAAAAGUAAUUAGGAUUUCUGUUUUGAAUACGUCAAGUAUAAUUCAAACUUGGAAAUUUACGAAAUUUGAAAGAAAUUUUGAAAAAGUAAAUAGGAUUUCUGUUUUGGAUUCUUCAUGGAUUGUUUAAAUGUAUUCCAAAUAUAAAAUUUAAAAGAAAGUUUAAAAAAGUAAUUAGGAUUUCUGUUUUGGAUUCUUCAAGGAUAGUUUAAAUGUUUUAAAAGUAUAAAAUUUAAAAGAAAUUUUAACAAAAUGACUAUGAUUUCUGUUUUGGAUUUUUCAAUGAUAAUUAAAAGUGUUAAGAAUUAUAAAAUUUAAAAGAAAUUUAUAAAAAGUAAUUAGGAUUUCUGUUUUGGAUUCUUGCAAAGAUAGUUAAAAGAUUUAAAAUUAUAAAAUUUAAAAAAAGAAAUUAGGAUUUCUGUAAACCCCCGUAAAUAAAAAUAAAUAAUAAUAAUAAUAAAAAAAACACAUAGGAUCGAAGUAAUGACAUUUCGAUGAGUAAUGGAUAUUCGGUAUGAAAGAAAUGAAUAAAUAGUAGGGAUGACAAUAAAUGUGUCAUGUGAGAGAGAGAAUGAUCUCCAUAAACAAAUUUAAAGAUAUUGUUGAAGUCGAAAAGAGAGUCAUGAUUUUUAGUUUAAAACUUGUAACGUUAGCGAAACUAGUGACGAGUUUUAAUGGAUAAAAGAAUAAGAAAAAAAAAACCAGAAGAUAUGUAAACCCGGGUCAAAACACGUAUUUUGACAAAUUAAUGAUAAAUGUGGUAAUAUUGAAUUUAUUGAGUAUAAAUUAAGAGGAAAUGUCACGAGGAUCUAAGUAAAUAAAUUAAUGCGUGAAAUUCAGAUUUUAGCGUAAAAGACAUUGAUUGUCUAGUUUUACGGUAUCGAUGAUAUAUCUCAAUCCGACCGUUGGAUCGGGCUGAAAUUUUAUAAGGAAUCUCCAGACAUAUUAUUUUAUAUUAGGUUCAAAUUUCGUGUCAAUCGGAGUUUGGGAAGGAUUUGCGAGAGCACUGAAAAUCGGGUAAAUUGAAGAAGAUGACACAAAGGGCAUUAAUAAGGGCUUUUUUGUAAUUUUAUCAAAACAAAUACUCUCCUCUCCUCUCUUUAAAAACAGAGCACGUCCUCUGCAAAUGGAAAAACAGGAGGGAGACCAUUUGUUUUGUCCCAUUUUCUUCAUUUUCUCUUCAUUUCUUCAAGCUAAAUCAAAAGGGAGUGUGCUUAGGAGGAUUAUAUCCAAGAAAACAAAUUAAAUGACAACUUAGAGAGUUAUAGAGCUUGAGAGAAACAAAGAGAAGAAGCUGGAAAUUGGAAGAGGAGGACAUGAUUUUUGUAAAUUUUUGCAAGAAUUCAUUGAAAUAAGUUAAAGUAGCAAAGGUAAGCAACAUACCCUUUAGUAAUUUCGUUUUUCUCUCUUGUUCUUGCAUGAGGAGAAGAAAACCUCCAAGUUUAAAAUUCUAGGGUUCAUGUAAAUAUUUUGGGGGAGUAAUUGUUCAUGUGAAUUUCAAGAUUAAUUGCAUGAUAAUGGCUUGAUUUGCUGAAAAAUAGAAGGAAUAAAUUGAUUUGAAACUAUGGGUUUUGGGAUUGCAACAGGGCAGGAACUUCGGCAGCCAUAUUUUGACUUUGCACCGUUGGAUUAGAUUGAAUUUUGGAUAUGUUAUUAUACUCAAUGUCACCUACAUUCUGACCGGAGGGAUUGCAAAUAUCCGAUUUCGUUUGAGGGCUGUCACCGGAGGAACAUUUCUGGAAAAUCACCCUUCAAGACAGCUUUGUUCGUCGGCCGUUAUAUCAUCGUUUCACCGUUGGAUUGGUCUGGAUUUUGGACAUGUUAUUCAUCCAGAUGUUAUAUAAAUUCUGAACGGUUUGGAUCGGAAAAGAACACUCCUACCAGAAAUUAUACUUCCCGAACAGCAGGUCUCCAAAUUUCAGGUCAGUCCAGUAUUGUUCUGAUAUCGGGAGGUUUAACCGUUGGAUGUAUGUUAAUUUUGGAUAUGUUAUUCGAAUGAUGAUGAUGUAUAAUUCCACCGUUUGGAUUUAUUGAAUUCUAAAUUUACAGAAUGAUGUUUUAAGUUUGGUUUGAGAAAUAUUGAAUGAGAAUAUGAGGUUUAGCAUAAAAAGUAUGUUUUGGGACUAAGGAUAAUGGCAAUGGGUUUAAUGAUGAUGGUUGUGUUUGUGUUAUGUUUGAGUCAUGUUUGAUGUGUUGAUAAGUGAUGAUAUAGUUAAAUUCUAUAAAGAAUAGUGAUUGACUAAUACUUUGGUUGUGUUAGAAUGGGAAAUCAUGUUGUAAAUUUUGACCAAAACCAUAGCAGGGUAUGACCCCCAGGGUGUAUGGCUGCUGGGUUUGGCUGUGCAACCAUACCCAAUAUCCUUGGGUAUGGUUGCGCAGCCAAACCCAACACCUUUGGAGGGUAUUGGGUCCUGCACCUGAUCAAAAUAGCUAUAGUAUAAGUAAUCCAUCCUAGGGACAUCGGCAUAGGAAGAUUGAAAAAAAAAAAACAAAACGAUUGAUUUCCUUUGGUAGAUGGAUUGGAAAUCCAUGUUAUCACGUAUGUGAGAAUUCAACCCCCCGUACCUCUCUAUAUCUCUGUACAUCGUAAAUAUAUAUAUAUAUAUCUUUUUCACUACAGUAUAACACCACCAUUGAAUAUUAAUGCAAGAUCAUUGAUCAAUAAGGACGACUGGCUUCCAGACCCACCAACCAUACCCAAUUAAAUUUCUUUGUCGUUGCCUUCUCUGAUUUAAAUUUAUGUUUCAAAAUAAAUUGAUGAGAUUUUUUUUUAUAUUGUAUAAAAGUUGAGUGAUAAUAGUUUUUCCCAUUUUAGGUUGGGUUGAAUUUCCUAAUUAAAUCAUGUCUGAUUUUGCAUUUCGAAAAUUCCUUGAAAAGUUUUUGAUAAUUUUUAAGUUUUUUUUCUUUGCUUGAAAUUAAUAUUUUUGUUAUGCUUUUGUAUUUUUUUUUUUAAAAUAUGUUGAGAUUAUGUCUGGCUGCGAUGCCAAACCCAAGAAAUUUUAAAAUUUUUAAUUUUUUUCUUUACUUCAAAAUAUUAUUUUCUCCAUGUUUUUGUAUUAUUUUUUAAAUAUUUUUUUUAAAAAUAUAUUGAGAUUGUGUCUGGUUGAGAGGCGAGACUCAAGAAAUUAAAAAAAAAUUAUUUUUUUCUUUACUUCAAAUUAAUUUUCGUUUGAUAUUUUUUUCUUCACUUCAAAUUAUUUAGAUCAUGUUUGAUUUUGCAUUUCAAAAAUUCUUUGAAAUUGUUUUGACAAUUUUGAAGUUUUUUUUCUUUACUUCAAAUUAAUUUUUUUUUUAUGUUUUUGUUUUUUUUUAAAUGUUGGCAUUGUGUUUGUCUGCGAUGCUAGACCCAAGAAAUUUUCAAAUUUUAAUUUUUUUCUUUCCUUCAAAAUAAUAUUUUUUUUCAUGUUUUUAUAUUUUUUUUAAAAUAUAUAUUUUAAAAAAAUAUUGAGAUUUUGUCUGGCUUGUUUUUGGGGCCUCUAAACCCAAGGGCAGUUAGAACAGACCUCGACGGUGGGUCUGCACCCAGCGCACUGGUCCAGAGGCCAGGAGCGCGGGGUUGCAGACCCUGCCUCGCGGGUCUGCAAACCCUAGGGUCGCAAGGUUGCACACUCGCUCGCACUGGAAUGCAGCCAGGCGCGCGGGUCUGCCCUACCACCUAAGGCAUGGCAGGCCCCGUGCCAGGUGUCUGCAUGCUAGGGCCUUGGCCAACCCUUGUGCCAAGUGGCAGCAGCCUAGAGCACGAGCAGGCGCACGUGGUCUGCCCCACUCCCAGGCCUGACAGCCUAAGCGCCAAGUGUCCCCAGCCUUAUGGGUUGUGCGUCCAGCGAGGCACUUGGGGCCUACACUAAUAUUUUUUUCAAAAAUUAUUUUUUAACAAUAAUAAUAAUAAUAAUAAUAUUUGUUAUUAUAUUUUUUUUUUGCAAUUUCCUUCUAUUUUUAAUAUUAAUACAAAUAAUAAUAUUUAUUAAUAAUAUUUUUUUUAACAUUCAAAGAAAUUAAAAAUAAAAAUAUUUAGAAUAAAAAUAAAAAUAUUUAGACUACAAAUAAUAAUAUUUAUCACAUAUAUAUAUAUAUAUAUAUAUAUAUAUAUAUAUAUAUAUAUAUAUAUAUAUAGCCGGAAGAAAUUAGAAAAAUAAUAGGAGUCUGGAGCGGUCAGAAAAUGGUUAGAAAAAUUGAUUAAGGAGGUUAAAAAAUACAAAGAUUGAAAUUUUGACAAUAUAUACUUGAAUGAUGAGAGCCCUGUUGGAAAAGAAAAUUCAAUUUGAGGAGAAAAGUACAAAAUUAGAUGUUUAUGGACUCAAUUGGAUUUUAUUGAAGGUUUAAUUGAAUUUAUAGAGGGUUUGAUUGCAAGAAAAAUUGUUUUUUAAGUCAAUUUGGGCUUUAAUUGGAAGAAAUUAAAGUUCUGGGGUCAAAUUAUAAUUUUUAAGAGUUGAUUUGGUCAAAUUAGGGGCUUAAUUGCAUAAAUAUUGAAGUUUGAUGGCCAAUUAGGGACUUAAUUGAAGAAAUCCGAAACCAAGGACCAAACUAGAAAAGGCGCGUAAAUAGAGGGGCUGUAAUUAACCAAAUCAGGGCUUAAAUUAAAGAAAUUGGAAGUUUAUUGAUCAAUUGAGGGUCAAAUUGUAUAAAUCGGAAACCAAGGACGAAAGUGGAAAAGGCGGCCAACUAUAAGGGCGGCGAUUGAAGUUGGCAGGGAUUCAAUUGAAAUGAACAAAAGAUAAAUUAAGGACUGAUUUGGAAGUUGACGUGUUGGCGCCAUAUUUAAAUGAAACGGCGCGUUUUGUCCAAAACGACGCCGUUUCAUGUUGAAAAAAAAUAUAACAGAACGGUGUCGUUUUGAGAGACACUGUUCCUCCUUCUUCUUCCCCUGGACGCGCAGCAGGGGAAGAAAGAAACUUUUGUUUUUUCUUCUUUAAUUCUUCAUGCCUAUCUCCCUCCCCGCGUGCUUUGCCAAACAUCCGAAGCCCGAUGCCCCCUCAUAAUGAGAAACUAGCAAAGACGUGCCCAGCAAACCGAGCCCGUUGGUCACCUCAACCGGCGUCGUGACAGGGCAGUAAAGCCCUGCUCCCCAUGCGCAGCAAUAGGGCGGCAAUAGGGAUGCCCCCGCUCCCUUUGCCCUAUAUAUACCACCCAACGCCAGCACAUGACAAAAAAAAGACAGAGGACGAAAAAGAAAACGAGAGGAAAAGAAAAGGAAAGCAGACGGUGGAGAGAGAGAGAGAGAGAGAGGAAGACGAGUUUGAAACAGGGGAGGGUUUGAGAGUAAAAAAAAACAGACAGAGAGGAACAAAAAGAAAGGUAAACAUAGCAGCAGAAGAGGAAAGAAAACGAAGGAGAAGGGAAGAGCAGUAACCUCUCGCUCCGCCGUUUGUAACAGCGACACCGCCACCGGCCUCCACCGCAGCACCGCCAGCGAAGCAGCCAGACCAGCAAGGCACCUCCUCCUCCGCGUCAGGUAACUUUUCUUUCCCCUCCCUUUUUACUUCAUUUUGGGCAUAAGUUUCUCCUGCAUGCAGAAUGAAUAGCGUUCUGCAUGCAGGAGGAGGAGGAGAGGGGGAAAAUAAUUCCCCCUCCCUGUUUUUUCUUUCUGGGCCAGGCCGGUUCUGGCCCAGCCCUUAUGUCUGGGCCGGGUCCGGCCCGGACCCAAAGAAGCAGAGAGAACUGUUGGGCCGAGAUCGGCCUAACCCUUUUGGGCUGAGGCCGGCCCAGUUAACUGGGCGACCCAGCCCACACAAUUAUAAUAUUAUAUAUUAUAGUAUAUUAUAUUAUAUAUAUAUAUAUAUAUAUAUAUAAUUUUUUAAAAAACAAAUUCUAAAAAAUCCUUAAAAAUUUUGUUGAUUUUUCUGCAUAUUUUUUUUAUCAAAAUUAUUUAAUACUAGUUUGUAUUUUUAUACCGUAAAGAUACAGAUCCAGUAUUAAAACAUCCGGUUUUCGUCAAAACAUUGCAAAAAAUUUAUAUAAAAUAAAAAAAUAUUUUGUUUUUCAUGCAUACGGCCAAGUAUUUCAAAGAUAAGAAAAAUCAUCACAUCGUAUUUUCAUACAAAAAAAAAUCAUAUUGUUUUUUUAUACAUAAAACACAAAAUAUUCAAAAAUAUGUUUUAGCAUGCACUUUGGCUUUAAUAACAAGUUUGUUAGAGCCAUGAGAACUAGGCCAAUAUUUCAAAAAUUCUAAAAAAAUAUUUUUGUCUUCUUUUAGUAUCUGGGAUUACGAAUUUAUACGUAAAACGUAUUCCUGAUAUUAAAAAUGUAGUUUUCUUAUAUAGGCGUUAGAACGGUUAGAUUUUUACCCGAUAAGAUAAGGACCUCUUUACUGAGGAGGACUUUUCUUGAACUAUAGACGGACCAACAAUUAGAAAUACAAUAGCACCUUAGCUUUUUAUCAGACAAUCAAACAAUGCAGCUUACCUUAGGUAAGGCGUAUUUGGGGUGCUAAUACCUUCUCUUUAUGCAAUCAAUCCCCGUACUCGAUCUCUGAGACCAGUUAGAGUUCCUAGUGACCAAAAUACUAGGUGGCGACUCCCAUUCUAUUUUCCACCGAUAAAAGACAAGAUUUUCUUGUCUCCCCAUAUUUGCCACAUAGAUAUACAUUUAGAUUGAAGUGGAAUAUUCAUCACGACGCCGCACACGUGUGACAAUAUUAAGAAUAAUAUCUACAGUAAUAAAUUUUUUAUGUUAAUUAACAAUGAGACAAUAAUAAUAAUGAUAAUUGCUAUUGUAUUUUUUCCCCCUACAGGGUCUGCCGAUCCAGCCAUGCGAGCCUCUAAACCCAAGGGCGGUUAGAACAGACAUCGGCGGUCCGGUCUGCACCCAGUGCGCGGGUCAUGAGGCUAGGAGCGCGGGGUGCAGACCCAACCUCGCGUGUCUGCAGACCCCAGGAUUGCGGGGCUGCAGACCCGCUUGCCGUGGGGCUGCAACCAGGCGCGCGGGUCUGCCCCUAGCACCUAAGGCGUGGCAAACCCCGCGCCAGGUGUCUAUAUGCUAGGGCCUCGGCCAGCCCUAGCACCAGGUGACAGCAUCCUGGGGCGCGCGCAAGCGCGCAUGGCCAACCCAACGCCCAGGCUAGUCAGCCCAAGGGGGUGUGCGUCCACCUAGACGCUUGGGGCGUGCAAUAAGAUUUUUUUCAAAAAAUGUUUUUUAAAGAAUAAUAAUAAUGAUAAUUGUUAUUAUAUUUGUUUUUUCCAAUUUUCGUCUAUUCUUAAUAUUAAUACAUUUAAUUAAAAUAAUAAUAAUAAUAAUAACAGUAAGAAUACAAAUAAUAAUAUUAUCAUAUUAAUAAUAAUAUUAAACUUGUUUGACCAAAGUUGAUACAAUAUUAAUAAUAAUAUGAAGCUUGCUUGACCAAAGUUAAUACAAUAUUAAUAAUAAUAUUUAUCACAUAUUUUAUCAAAUUAUUUAUAAAUAAUAAUAUAUUUUUUAUGUUUGAAAAAUCCAUUUUUUAUAUACUCACAUCAAAAAAUUCAUUCGUGUAAAAAGGAAAUAAUAAUAUUAACUAUAUAUGCAUAUCCAUAAGAUCUCAAUGGAUUGCCCCUUACUACAGAAUGUAGCACAUCCUUAAGCUAGAAUAAAGUGCCUUCACUGAUUAAUCUAGCAUAUCUAAUUAUUUGAAAAAAAUUUCAAAUUUCAUUUCACCUUACAUAAGAAUUUAAUACUUAAUAUUAUUUGAGAAUACAUAAAGAUUGCAAGCAGCGGCUUUUAGUGAACUUUUGAUGACAUGAAACUGCCACAAAAUGGGUCCUAUCCGAGAGGGCGUUCUUUUCUGUUCUGUUAUCACAUAGAACUGAAAUCUGUUCACAGUACCCCUCCAAGAAAAUGGUCUCUCAAGGUAAGUCCUGAGGAAUUUGACACAAAUAAAACGAUAUAUCUUGUCCCAGUAUCAAAAAAAUGUUAAAAAAUGUGAGCAUAUGAACACAUGAAGUGGUCUCAGAAUCUAUGUUCCUAUUAUUUUUAACAAUACGGAAAGGCAUAACUAACUGUUUGUACUAUAAUAUUCUUUGGUAUAUUUAUUACCGAUGGACUCACUAGCAGACCAUAAAUUAUUGACGAGAGUUUUUUCGACGGACUGUCUCCAUCCGCGUGAGCCUGUCAACAAAAUACAUACCAAUGAACUGUGAGUGUGAAUAUCGACAAAAUUUUCUGUUAGUAAAACUGUUAAAUUUGGUAGUGAUCGCUUGAUCCGCCACUAGAAGUGAUGACAAGUUAUGACCAUUUUAAGUUGUUAUUCUGGUCUGACACAAUUAGACCUUCUCUUGGACCUAGACUUGUCCUACUAGUCUAUAAAUAUAUAUGUUAGAACAUCCAUAUCAUCUGUCUAGAGCAGAUACUAAUCUAAUUGUGACAGACCCACAUAUGGCAGCUCAGAAUCAUCUGUUAUCGCAAACCCAACUACAUCAUUAAUGGUCUCUCAAGGUAAGUCAUGAGGAAUUUGAAGCAUAUAAAACGAUAUAAGUUGUCCCAAUAUCAUAAAAAUGUUUUAAAAAAAUGUGAGUAUAUGAACCCAUGAAGUGGGAUCAGAAUCUAUGUUCCUAUUGUUAUUAACAAAACGGAAAGCCACAACUAACUGUUUGUACUAUAAUAUUGGGAGUGAGAGGUACAAUGUCCAGAAUGCUUCUAAGGAUAACCAUAUCCAUAAGAUCUCAAUGGAUUGCCCCUUACUGCAGAAUCUAGCGCAUCCUUAAGUAAAUAAAGAAAGCUAGAAUAAAGUGGCCUCAGUGAUUAUUUAGCAUUAUUAAGUAGGCCAAGUACUCUUCACUGCUUAUUUCCUAAUAAUUCCUUACUGUGGAAUUGCACUUACAAAUAAAGAACUUGUUCUUGAUAUUUUCGUACGGAAUUUCGUUUAUUCGGAUUAAUUUGAGGUUAACUAGAAUAAGAAAUAAAGAUAUAGGUUUUGGAAAGAAUAGAAAAAAAGAUUAUCAAAAGAAAUUAGAAAGGAAAAGUUAGUUAUAUGGAAUCAGAUUCACCAUUAAACUAAAGAGUCGGAAGGAAUCAUUUGUUCAAUAAUUGAAUGCGAUUUUUGUCUUAUAUAUAUUUUAGGAACUUUGCACUCGAUCGAAAGGGAACAUUUGUGCCACCAAGUACUAACAAUAACUGUCCAUAGUUUUGCAUGCAUAGACACUUUUUUUCCCGGUGUUAAUAGAUAUUUUCGGACCAACUUGAAAGCAAUUAUUAGAGAUAUCAAUUCAAUCUGAAUUCAAUAUGCAUACAUAUAUAUUACUUUUUUUUAUUUUAUAUUAAAUAUUAAAUAAUGUUUAGGAAAUAAAAAUCUAAAUGGAUCGAUGAAUAUAAUAUUAGUUUCUAAAUGAUGCAACAUAGCUAGAAGAAACUGAAGGUUAUGAGUGGACCUGAUAUAGCUAGAUGAGGGUCAAACCACCAACAAAUUACAUAGAUGACUUAACAUUUAUUUUUAUGGUUUAAUAAGAUAGGAAUAGGUUCAAGAAAAAAAUAUAGUCAUGCCAAACCAAUAAAGUAUCUAAAAGAAGCCAUAACUUGUCAUCCAAUCGUCAGAUAAAUCUCAAAUUUUUACUUAGAUUCCCAAAGCCCAUCUCUAUGGAGGAGCUCUUUGGCAAUCCAUCCUCUAAAUGGAUUUCCUCAAAUUAAGAUGAGAAGAUCCGGCUUAAGCCAAUUUUUUUGUUGUUUUUUUUUUUUUUCAAAAUUUUAUGUUUUAUCUCGGAUUUUCCAUUAUUUUUCAAAUUAAAGAAACCGAGAUAAAAUACCCUGAAUCUUCUUUCAUAAUUUGCUUUCGAGAAGGUGUAGUGUUUUUGCUACUUUUACUUUUGGACCUGACUUGAUUCCUGACCGGUAGAAACAGCAUUAGUCCAAAAGCAGGGAAGCUUUUGUUUUCUUUAAUCACAUGAUCAGAUAUUCUCAUUUAUGCCCAGCACAAAUUCAUAGAAGUGGCUCUAAUGAUUGGCUGACAACAGUUGUUAAUGAGCAGUGUUUGCGUCCCUUAUUUUUCAGUUUACUAAGUAUUUAGAACAUUCAAUUCCAAUCCAAAGUCGAUAAUAAUAAACUCUUGGUGAUGGUUUUGUUAUCGAAAGUGAUCGGACAUCGGACGACAAAAAAACCAGUAAAAUUUCUUGAACACAUCCAAAUCUAACAGUUUUUACUUUUUUUGUGUUUAAAUAUGAUAUUAAUAAACUAUUGAUGAUAAUCUUUUUUUCAUUUUAUGAUGUUUUUAUCGUAGUAGUGAUAAGAUGAAGAAAAGCUAUUGAUUUUUCUCUCAGCAAUGGUUUGUUUUAUCGUACACAAAUGUUGGGUGCUUUUAUUUACAAAAAGGAGUACUGUCUAACAAUAUUCAUUCCACAGCUGUUGUCAACCAAACCUUCCCGAUCUAUAUAAAGGUUGGUUUGGCCUCACACAUAUUAGCCAAGCAAGUAAACCAGCUCGACCUAUAUACAGCUACUUGUCUUGUGUAUUGACUGACAAAUUGUAGUUAACAUGGCACGUCAGGCAGACCGUCUUGCUAAGAUUGGGCUGGAGGGCUUUGCAGCCAGAGAUGAGCACUUCGGCCGGGCCAAGAGGCGGCCACCAGUGCUGAAGGUUCCCUAUGCUCAUCCGACAUAUUACUAUGCAAACCAAAUUCCUGCAACAGAAGUUAUCGACACCAACGAGGCAGCUCAACGCUACAAGGGGAGGGUUUAUCUCGAUUAUCCUAAGGGGAAACCAGUUCCGUUUUAAAGACCUAGUGAUUAAUCACUUAGCUUUCUUGUAUGCAUAACCUCCUCCAGUUGUGUUACCUUUAGUCCUGUACGAUAUUCUCCCUCUGCUAAACGUAUACGAGGAGAGGUUGCUAGAACUCGAGUCAGGAGCUUCUUGUUACUUCUUCAAAUAAACUUUCUGUGAUUUAUAUAUCAUUUUCUAUUUGUAUGUAUUGUCAUAAUUAUCACCUCUUACUUAGCAUGGAAUUGAAAGAUACAAUAUGCUCUUGAAAUGCUUUGAAGCUCUUCAAGGUGUGAUUUCACCGACUAAGUUGGAACUGUACAGAGCUCAAUGAUGAGCCGUAGGAGGCGUCUCUGAUUGUUGCACUGUAAGCAUGAGUGUACGUAUGAAUAUAACCAGCAGAUCCGCAAAGCACAAGUGAUGACAAGCUUCUUAACACGGCUACAUUUAACAGUUUUACCAACGAAAUUUUUUGUCGGUAUUUACUCUACCAUUCCGUCAGCAUGAAUUUUACCGACUGAUUUACGGACGGAAACAGUCGGUCGAUAAAUUCCUCUUGUCAGUAAUUUUAUUAAUGUCGGUAAAAAAAAACCGAUGGUUUUACAGACAGAAAAUGCAAGCCAAUUUUUUUUCCACUGGAAUAUAAAGACAGAAUUAUUUCUUCGGUGAUUGACAGUGGCAUAUGGAGUAAUUUUAUUCCAAACCCUCUAUAAAAUACCGAAGGAAUUAUUCCAUCGGUGAUGUAACAGUUGAAAUGGCAUAUGCAGUAAUUAUUUUUCAACUCUCUGGAAUAUAACGACCAACAAAGUUUGUCGGUAACUCUGUCCGUAAUAAUUAAAAAAUAUAUUUUAUACAAAAUUGUAUAAAAUUCAAGUAUGUGAAAAUAAAUUACCUAUGCUCAUCCGACAUAUUACUAUGCAAACCAAAUUCCUGCAACAGAAGUUAUCGACAGCAACGAGGCAGCUCAACGCUACAAGGGGAGGGUUUAUCUCGAUUAUCCUAAGGGGAAACCAGUUCCGUUUUAAAGACCUAGUGAUUAAUCACUUAGCUUUCUUGUAUGCAUAACCUCCUCUAGUUGUGUUACCUUUAGUCCUGUACGAUAUUCUCCCUCUGCUAAACGUAGACGAGGAGAGGUUGCUAGAACUCGAGUCCGGAGCUUCUUCUUGCUUCAUCAAAUAAAAUUUCUGUGAUUUAUAUAUUAUAAUUUUCUAUUUGGCUGGUCAAGUAUGCAUUGUCAUAAAUAUCACUCUGCUUCCCUGAUUAUUACCUUAUUCACCUAUUACUUAGCAUGAAAUAUUGAAAGAUUAAUGCAGUCGGAAGCACAACAAUAUAGCUGCAAGCAUAGAAAGACAAAAGAUAAACUGAAAUAAUGUUAAAACACUGAGAAUCCUAAAACCUUAUUUCUAAAUUAUUAAUUUGAUUAAGUUUACCUUCUAAAGAGGUUUACAAUCUCUUUCAUAGACUAGAAAAAUAGGCCAAGAUUCGAAACAAAAUCAGAAUCCCAAAACAUAACGGAAAAUAACAUAAAAUUUAAAAAUAAACAAUAAAUCUGCGAAAAUUAAGGAAAAAUAACAAAAUUAUCCCAAAUAAUAACUAAUUAGCCUACUUUAUGGAGAUACAAUGCUCUGAUAACUAUUGAGUUGUUUUUAAUGGGAAAACGGUUUGUAGAAUCUUCUAUAAAAAUUUAAACCUGAUUUAACGGUUAGAAUAUCUCCUGUUAUCAUUAUUUUAGGCUAUUAUUCUGGUCUUGCGUGAUGAUGCUUUCUCUUGGCCUAAACAUCUUUCACUAGUACAUGAACAUAUCUGUUAGUAGUCCGUUUAGGGCAAACAAAUAAUUAAUUUGCUGUUCAAAUGCUUUGAAGCUCUUCAAGGUGUGAUUUCACUGAAUAAUUUCGAGUUUAGAAUUAUCACCUCAUUUUAGAAUUGUCCCGAGCACAAGGAUAAAAUGAUGAGCCAUGGGAAGCGUCUCCGAUAAAGAAAUAAUAAACGGAGUUCAAGGUAAAACAAUAGCUUAGAAAAAAAAAAGUAGAAAUUUACACGAUAUCUAAGAAUAUCAGCGAUCAUGACCAUGAUUGGAUCAUUUCUGAGUUCUACAACCAAAAUUUCCUUCACAUCUCUUUAACUAAGCUGAUAGUCGAUGAAGAUUUAAGGAAAAACAUGAUUCCCAAUCCGAGCCAUAUGAGCAAGUGUAUCUAGUAAAAAUAUCUUAUCUCCCAUGAAAAUCAUAUUAGUAAGCCUCCCUCUGAAGCAUUGCUUUACACAUAUCUUUUACAGAAAAAAGAGAAAAAUGGGAAAUGCUCCGAGUUAUACCUUUUCUUGAUCUUUCCCAAUCCUUCAUUAUAAAUGGGACCCAUCAAAAACAUGAGAUGUGCUUUAACUUCCUCCAUAUUUCAUCUUAGCCUAGAAGGAUAAACAAGAAUAUUAUUGCUUCUGAAACAUAACGAUUGCAAGCAUCGCCUUUCGGUGAACUUUAGAUGACAUGAAACUGCCACAAAUUGGGUCCUAUCCGAGAGAGUUUUCUUUUUCUGCUCUGUUAUCACACAUAUACAACUGAAAUCUUUAAGUCCUCUUUAGGGUAUCCCUGAAAGAAAAUGAUCUAUCAUGCAUGGAAAGUCCUGAGGAAUCUGAGGCAUCACUACAUGAAAUUCAACCAACGGAAUUGCCGACAAACUGUUUCUUUCGGUAUUUUGCGGUGAUAUUUACCGACCGAAUUACUUCCCUUGCUAAAACCGUCGGUAUAUAUCGAGUGAAUCCCAGAUAGAAUAUAAAGAAUUUUAAAAAACAAAGCAGUGCAAUGACGUGGAAGUUUUGGUGGAUGAUGUUACUGAUGGAAUUACAGAGUGAUUCAAACUGGGAUGUUCGUACAGUGACGUGUUUACUUCACCGACAGAAUGGCCGAUGGAUUUACAAACAAAAAUAUUAUGUCGGUAAUUCCAUCGAUAAUAGUUAAUAUAUUGAAUGUUUUUUUAGUGUUUACUUGUUUUAUUACUUUUCUCAAACAAACAUGUAGUAUGGAUUUAUAAUUUUGUACUUGGUAUGGUUUGUUUUAGAUUUUGUAAAAUUAUAUUUGUUUGUAAAUUGUUGAAAUUUAUGUCGAAUUACCGACUUAGGUGUGUUGUGAUGAAAUAAAUAAUGACUUGUUUGAUGGGUCCGUUUUAAUUUUUGUCAAUUUUAUUGCCGAGUUGUAAUUUCUGUAAAUUAAUGUGUCUAAAUUUGUAUGGACGUAGAUAAUUGAUAAUGAAUAUUUAAGAGAAGUUUGAAAGUAAGUUGGAAAUCUUGAGCUAAACCAAUAUUUUUGCAAAUUUAUUUGCUUGACGUAGUUAAUUAAUACAUGUUGUCAUCAUUAUUUUAUAGAGGUUUGAUAGAAGUCAUGGAUGAUCAUUCAUGGAUGUAUCGAGAUUCACCUUAAGAAUUGCGGAGGAUGGAUUAUUAUAAUAGGGUUCAGAGUUUUAUUAAUUUCGCAACAUCUAUUUCGAGAAAUUUUAGUGGAGACGGUAUUAAGUGUCCAUACAGGAGGUGUAAAAAUAAAAAGUUUUUGCAUCCAGAUGUUGUAACGAUGUAUCUUCUACACAAAGGGUUCAUGGAGGAUUACUUGUGUUGGUAUGCACACAAAGAAUUAUUUGUUCGUAACAAGAGCAUGGUAGAAAGGAUGGUUGGGUCAACUUCUAGUGCUAGCAAUGUGCAUGGAGUUGUAAAUGACAAUAGUAAUCCUUACAGGAAUAUGGUUAUGGAUUCAAUGAGAAUGAAUCAAGAUAAUGCUAGUCAAUGUCCAAUUGUAGAAGAAGAUGCUAGUCAAUGUCCAAUUGUAGAAGAAGAACCUAAUGCAGACGCGGCCAGGUUUUUUGAUUUGUUGAAAGAUUCUGAUGAACCAUUAUGGGAUGGCUGCACAAAUCACUGUAAAUAAUCAGUUGUUGCAUAUGUGUUCACUAUCAAGUCAGAUUAUGGGUUGAGUGAGGCCGGUUAUGACAAAAUUAUCGAAUGGGCGAGAAGCAUUCUACUUGAAGGGAACAAGCUGAAAGAGAACUUCUAUGCUACUAAGUCCAUGAUGAAACCCCUCGGUUUAGGAUACUAGAAAAUUGACAUGUGUCCAAACUUUUGCAUGAUGUACUACCUUGAAAAUGCUGAGCUAACCGAGUGCAUGGCAUGAGAGCAUUCCCGUUACAAAUCCAGAACUGGCAUGGGAAAGACUCUUAUGGCAUAUAAAAAACUUAGAUACUUCCCAAUCACGCCUAGACUGUAGAGGUUAUUCAUGUCACCAAAGACUACUGAGCACAUGAUAUAGCACCAAUCACUUGAUGCAGUGGAUGGAGUGAUAGUGCAUCCUUCUGACGGUGAAGCAUGGAAACACUUUAACAGUGUGCAUUCUCAUUUUUCAGCUGAAUCAAGGAACGUGCAUCUUGGGUUAUGUACAGAUGAAUUCAACCCAUUCAGGUCAUUUGUUGAUCCUUAUUCUUGUUGGCCGAUUAUACUCACGGUUUACAACUUACCACUCUUAUGGCAACAGUUGCUCCUUCUUCACAAUACUUAUGGAACAAAGACUUGUUAAGUGCUUGACUAACGGACUGUUUUUCUCAAAGCUUUUAGUUUGGUUGACCUGAAACUUUGUUUUCGUAGCAAUCCCCAUCAACGGAAACUACGAUCAAACUGUGUACAAUUUGGUUAUCUUGAAAUCGCAAUCUAGUGAUUUGCUUAAUCCAAAACCAAAAUCAAUGCCAAAGUUCGGUCAACCUGAGAUCCCAAUUUGGCGAUCCGCUUUAACUAGAACUAAAAUAUGAAAAGUAGCUCGGUAACCUGAAAUCCCAAUCUGGCGAUUCACUUUAACCAGAACCUUGGUCUUUGUCGUUAAGUUGGUCAACCUAAAAUCCCAAUACGACGAUUCUCUUUAAUAAGAACCAAAAUGUCGCCUUUAGCUUAGUUAAUCUGAAAUCUCAAUCUAGAGACCCCCUUUAACCAAAACCUUGGUCUUUAUCCUUAGCUCGGUCAACCUGAGAUCCCAAUCUAGUGAUUUCCUUUAACCAAAACCAAAAUGUCACCUUAAGCUUGGUUAACCUGAAAUCUCAAUCUACAGAUCCCCUUUAAUCAGAACCUUGAUCUUUGUCUUUAGCUCAGUCAACUUGAGAUCCUAAUCUAGCUAUUCCCUUUAAUUAGAACAAAAAUGUCACCUUCAGCAUGGUUAACCUGAAAUCUCAAUCUAGAGACCCCCUUUAACCAGAACCUUGGUCUUUGUCUUCAGUUCGGCAAACCUAAAAUCCCAAUCUGAUGAUUCGUUUUAACCAGAACCAAAAUGUUGCCUUAAGCUUGGUUAACCUAAAAUCUCAAUAUAGAGACCCCCUUUAACUAAAACCUUGGUCUUUGUCUUUAGCUCAUUCAACCUGAGAUCCCAAUCCGACAAUCCUAUUUAACUAGAACCAAAAUGUUUCUUUCAGUUUGGUUAACCUGAAAUCUCAAUCGAGUGACUCCCUUUAAUCAAGCGAUUCCCUUUAACUAAAACCAAAAUGUUGCCUUCAACUCGGUUAACCUAAAAUCUCAAUUUAGAGACCCCUCUUUAACUAGAACCUUAGUCUUUUUUUUUUAGCUCGGUCAACUUGAGAUCCCAAUCUUAUGAUCCCAUUUAACAAGAACCAAAAUAUUGCCUUCAACUCGGUUAACCUAAAAUCUCAAUUUAGGGAACUCUCUUUAACUAGAACCUUAGUCUUUUUCUUUAGCUCGGUCAACUUGAGAUUCCAAUCCUACGAAUCUUGAAACAUCAUCCCCUUCUUAGUCCUACUUUGAUUUGCCAAAAAAAUGGAAAAGAAUGAAUGAUAUGGUGGAGAACUAGACCGGUCUUUACCAUUGGCUAGAACCAACCAUAGGCUGCUUAGAAAGCAACCUUCAACACCUAAAAACAAACCACCACAUAACAACCCUGCAAUUAUCAACAACAACAUCUAGUUCUAGCUACCUAGUCUAUGUCAAAGAAUAGAAUCUGAGGCAACUUUUUGACCAAAAUUCCAUUCUCUAUUAUUCCUUCAAUAUUGGGGUUUAAUGCAAGCAACUUGUUUAUUCGGAUUUGAGAUGUAAAUAGAUUUUAAUUUUGUUAGGAUGAGGUGGUCAGGUUGCGUCACAUUGAUUAUGUCAUGAAGUUAACUAGAGUAAGAAAUAAAGAUAUCAAGUUUCGGAGAGAAUCAAGAUCAGUUAAAGCAAAAAAAAAAAAAAACAGAUUAUGAAAAUAAAUUGGAAACGAAAAGUUUAGUUAUAAGGAAUUAGAUUCACAAACAAAUUUAAGUCUCAUCAAUUCUAGGAAACAAGUUGGAAGGAAUCAAUUUUACAAAAAUUGACCUUCGCACUAGAGAGAACCUUCGAGCCACUUCAAAUGUACUGAAGGCCAUUUGUUUGCCAUAUGUGCUAAUUAAGAACAUAAUUCUAUUCUUUUGUGAGUUAAUAUUCUGUAAAAUAAGCUUGGAAUAGCUUGCGGGGGCUUGGCUCAGAGAUCAUUGAGUUUUUACUACAAAUUGCCUUUUAAUUUUUUUCCACCUGUAAUUGGAUUCGAUAAGUUUCCCUUUUGUUUACAUAUGAAGAACAAACAUUGCUUGAGGUUAUCCAAUGCCGAGAUCAAGGUCAGAUAAUACUAGCGAACCCCUAAUCAGGAUUAAGAAGCAAAAAAAAUGUUAAGUGCAGCUUAUCCAAUGCCGAGACCAAGGUCAGAUAAUAUCCUGAUUGUGCUUAUUGCCAUUAAUUAGAAACUGCAAUAUCGUCACAUAAUUAAACUGAGAUUAUUCUGAUUAGAGAACAGAAGGAAUCUUCUUUCAUAAUUGGCUUUUGCGAAGGUUUAGUGUUUUUGCUGCUACUGCUUUUGGACCUGACUUGAUUCCUGAUCGGUCGAAAAAGCAUUAGUCCAAAAGCAGGGAAGCUUUUGUUUUCUUUAAUCACAUGAUCAGAUAUUAUAAUUUAUGCCCAACACAAAUUCAUAAAAGUGGCUCUAAGAUUGGCUGACAACAGUUGUUAAUGAGCAGUGUUUGCAUCCCUUAUUUUUCAGUUUACUAAGUAUUUAGAACAUUCAAUUCCAAUCCAAAGUCGAUAAUAAUAAACUCUUGGUAAUGGUUUUGUCAUCGAUGGUGAUCGGACGACAAAAAAACCAGUAAAAUUGUUUUAUAUAAAAAGUUUAUUAAGUAUUGAAAACAUCCAAAUCUAACAUGUUUUACUUUUUUGUGUUUAAAUAUGAUAUUAAUAAACUUUUGGUGAUAUUUUUUUUUUCAUUUUGUGAUGCUUUUAUCGUCAGUAGUGAUAAGAUGAAGAAAAGCUAUUGAUUUUUCUCUCAGCAAUGGUUUGUUUUAUCGUACACAAAUGUUGGGUGCUUUUAUUUACAAAAAGGAGUACUGUCUACCAUUAUUCAUUCCACAGCUGUUGUCAACCAAACCUUUCCUUUCUAUAUAAAGGUGGCUUGGCCUCCUACAUAUUAGCCAAAGCAAGAAAACCAACAAAACCUAUAAACAGCUACUUGUCUUUGUGUGUUGAUUAAUUGUAGUUAACAUGGCACGUCAGGCAGAUCGUCUUGUUAAGAUUGGGCAGGAGGGUUUUGCAACCAUUGAUGAGCACUUCGGCCGGGCCAAGAGGCGGCCACCAGUUAUGAAGGUUCCCUAUGCUCAUCCCACAUAUUACUAUGCAACAGAAGUUAUCGACAGCAACGAGGCAGCUCAACGCUACAAGGGGAGGGUUUAUGUCGAUUACCCUAAGGGUAAACCAGUUCCGUUUUAAAGACCUAUUGAUUAAUCACUUAGCUUUCUUGUAUGCAUAACCUCCUCCAGUUGUGUUACCUUUAGUCCUGUACGAUAUUCUCCCUCUGCUAAACGUAGACGAGGAGAGGUUGCUAGAACUCGAGUCAGGAGCUUCUUCUUACUUCUUCAAAUAAACUUUCUGUGAUUUAUAUAUCAUUUUCUAUUUGUAUGUAUUGUCAUAAUUAUCUUUCUUACUUCCUCAUUAUCACCUCUUACUUAGCAUGGAAUUGAAAGAUACAAUAUGCUCUUGAAAUGCUUUGAAGCUCUUCAAGGUGUGAUUUCACCGACUAAGUUUGGAACUGUACAGAGCUCAAUGAUGAGCCGUGGGAGGCGUCUCUGAUUGUUGCACUGUAAGCAUGAGUGUACGUAUGAAUAUAACCAGCAGAUCCGCAAACCACAAGUGAUGACAAGCUUCUUAACACUGCUGCAUUUAACAGUUUUACCAACAAAAUGUUUUGUCGGUAUUUACUCUACCAUUCCGUCAGCAUGAAUUUUACCGACUGAUUUACGGACGGAAACAGUCCAUUGGUAAAUUCCUCUUGUCAGUAAUUUCAUUAAUGUCGGUACAAAAAAACCCGAUGGUUUUACAGAUAGAAAAUGCAAGCCAAUUGUUUUUCCACUGGAAUAUACAGACGGAAUUAUUUCUUCGGUGAUUGACAGUGGCAUAUGGAGUAAUUUUAUUCCAAACCCUCUAUAAAAUACCGAAGGAAUUAUUCCAUCGGUGAUGUAACAGUUGAAAUGGCAUAUGCAGUAAUUAUUUUUCAACUCUCUGGAAUAUAACGACCAACAAAGUUUGUCGGUAACUUCGUCCGUAAUAAUUAAAAAAUAUAUAUAUUUUUAAAAAUUAUUUAUUGAACAAAAAAAGAAAAUAAUAAAAAAUAUAAAAUUGUAUAAAAUUCAAGUAUGUAAAAAUAAAUUACCUUAGUAUAAAAGCCAAAUAUUCAUUACAAAUUUAUAUGUUCAAAUAAAAUUAAACUAGAAAAAUGGCGGCGUUGGAGGAGGCUGAUCGUUCCCGGGACCAUAUGGCCAAAAAGAGUGUCGCACGUGACCCGCGCGGCGUCCGAUGGUGAUUUUUUCGUUAUGCGUUUGCUUGAUUGGUUCGUUGGGAGUCGCCACCUAGUAUUUAAUUGAGGGCAACUAGGAAACCCGGGUGUACUGGUCUUGUCAGAGAUUCACGGGUAAGGGACUGGUUGUGGUUAGGGAAGGUAUUUGCACCCCUAACGCACCCUACCUGAGGUAAGCUGCUUCGUGGCUUUGAUGUGAUAAAGAAGUUUUAAAAAUUUUGUUCUUUCAUCGGGUAUUAGAAAUACGACUUACAUGUAAGUUCAUAAUUCUUGACCGUGAUCAAAUCAAAAUAUUAAAUUCUUCUUUAUUCUUUGCAAUUUUAUCAUAAAAAAAAUACAUUUAUAAAAAAAAAACUACAAACAAACACAUUCACUUUCACUAUAUUUUUUCUUUUCUUUUUCUUUUUUUUCUUUUUCACAUCUAUAUUACAAAAAUUCAAAACUAAACAAAAAUUACAUUAAAUAAUUUGAAAUUACAAAAAUAGCCCAAAAACAAGUCCAUAACAGUGCUGGGAAGCUUUCUGGAACUGCAUGCAGUGUUGAAGAAGGUUCCUGAACAGUUGAACAGUGCGUCGCCACGAGAAAUUCCAGGCAGCAGGGGGCGCUGCUGCGGCUUCCUCCCCUCUUCACUUCCCUGCCGGCGGUUAGGGUCUUCAUCACCUGCAAAAGAAUAAAACACCCAAACCAGUUGAUUUUAAUUUUUCUUUCUUUUUCGGAUCUGUUUCGGUCUUCUCCUUUUCAGAUCUACUUCACCGCAGAUCUUUCUUUGGUUUACAUCUUCUUCUCCUUCGCUUCAGGUGGCCGGUAGUUGGGCGGCGACGGCGCUGGAUUCAGGUUGUUGCUUUGGCCGCUGCAAUUGGUGGCUGAAGGAAAUGGCGUGGAUCUGUGGGCUGCCGUGUGCUGGCUGCUGUGGCUGACGGUGUGGGCGGCGCUGAUGGGAGGAGGAAAUGAAGGAAAAAGUCGGGGGGAAAAGGGAGGCAAAUCUGUUCUGGGGUUGCAGGUCUGCAGCAAUAGUGGAAGGAAAUGGGGGAGAUCGGCUGGCUGGGGGGCUGGUCUCUUUCGGCCGGUUCUGAUUUGCUUUUGGAUGAGGGGCGUGAGUGGUGGCUUCUGUUGAUAAGGGGAAAGGAAGGCUUGUGCGGGGAAGAUGAAGAUGACCGGGAGGGGAGCGGCCAAGGAAGAAGAAAAAAAUCAAAAACCAGCGGGGGGCGGUGUCUGCUCUUUUGUUUUGCCAAGUGGGGAGCGCUGCUGUUUGGGUAAAGAUAGGUUUAGGUUUAGGGUUAGGGUUUCUUGUAUCUCUCAAUGUGUAAAAUUACCCCCCUUCUCCUUUUGUGUGUUGUGGAGACCAGUAUUUAUAGGUAAAAAUAUUGUUUGGGUUUUUUUUUUUGUAAAUUUGAUUUUUCUUGUUUUUUUUGGAUUUUCUUAUCAACAUCGCCUCGAAUGAGGAAAAUCAGUGAUUUUAAAAAUAACGCGUUAAAAGUCAAACGCGUUCCAAAGAUCUUUGAAAAUUUAAAUUCUUUUGAGACGAUGUUGAAAAUGCUAAAAACGAUGCAAAUAUAUUAAAAAAACAUAUUUUUUUGGAUUUUCGAUGUUUUCGCUAUUUUUGGAUUUUUCUGAAAAUUUAUCAAAAACAUGGGUCAAAAAUUGGGUAGCAACAAAGAGGACGCACAUGUACCACCCAUCUGUGAUCUUAUAUCCAUCGCCAUUCUACGGAGUUCAUAAUAAUCUGCAUAGAGUCGUUCAUAUUCUUCAAUGAGAUAGGUCGUAUGUUGUUGUAAGGUCACGAACUCCUGAGACUGGGUGGUCAAUAUCGAUUGCAAGCUCCCAACGGUUGAGACACUACGGGCCAUCUACAAGUUGGUCGUGGUGUUGGAGAGUUUGCACACCUGAUUUCUAUCUGGUCUACCAGAUGAUCCUACCUCCAUCCACAAAUCUGGAUCGAAAUCCAGGUGGGUCGAAGGAUCGUUCCCGUAUCUCUCCCUUAAUCGUCUGUUAUAUGUCUCCUGGAAAUAAAAAAACUGAAAUCAUCAAAUUUAAUUCAAGUAAAUAAUAAUUUACAAAAGAAAAUGGUUGAACGAACAUACCACAAAGUGUUGAGCGCAGUAGUUAACGAACUGUUGCACCUCUUUUUGGCAGUCUUCACUCUACACGUGCGUCUCCACAAAAAGCUCCAUUGGGCUUGGCUCACGUCUAAGAGCUGUAGUCUGUAAGAAAAAAAUGUUGCAAGUAAAAUAAAUUUAUAAAUAACAACAAAUUAAUUAAAGAUAGAUGUGAUUAAAAUUAUUUUUUUUGUUAUUUUUUUAAUUUUUUAGGCUUUGUUUGGAAAAAAAAACCUAAUUUUUUUGUAAUAAAACUGUCGAAACAAGCAUAAGGGGGUGUUUGCCAAACACACCCUUAAACCAAAAAACCCUUUUAGCAAAAAUAUUGCAAGCUAAACAAGGUCUUAACCCUUUGACCCAUUCUUGACCCAACUGGGUUGACCCAAUCGAGUUGACCUGACUGGGAUGACCUAAAAUCUUUGGUUUCAACCAUAAACCGAACCAAAGAUCCUAGUUUGACCCGAAAACAACUCAAAAAGAAAACAAAAGCCAAAAAACAGAUUAAACACCAAAAAACAUGAAAAAACUUGAAAAUAACGAAUCAAAUGCAAAAAAUAAAAAAAGAACACGAAUAACAUGAAAAACAUUAGAACUCAAAUUCUAGCAACAUGAAUUCUAAUCUAGACCAUAUUUCAGGAAAUAAAAAGCACAUAAAGGAUGGAAAUCAAUCAUUGAACAAUAAUUAAGCAUCAAGCAUCGAUGAUUAUCAACCAAUAAUCACGAUUGAGUCAAAAUAAGUUUUGGUUCAAAACCAAAACCCUAUGAUUAAAACCCCCAUAAAACUUGUUAUUGAUACAAAUGAGCUCUAGACUACUAAUUAAUCAAGUCCAAUGAAGUGUUUAAUGCAAAGGAAUGGACCAAAACUGGUCCAAAACAUAGAGAUAAGCCAAUGUUAUUCCCAAGAACAUAGAACUCUGCCUUAGAAAACCCGGCUAUUGUCAAGCCACCAAAACUGGCAUUUUCAACCACUAAAAAAUGCUUUCUUCAUUUCAAAAAGUCACACUACCAUAACCAAACAUGUUUGAAUAAAAAAUAAAUAAAUAACAUCAAAAGCAUGCAAGAGGUUCAAAACUACAAACUUAAAAUAGCCUAUAUAUUUAUGCAAUUUGGAUUCAAUUUUCUUCCUAAACCUUCAAAAAAACCCAACCAAAACCUAGAAACUAAGAACAUGCAUUAGUCAACAUAAAAAACAUCAUAACCUUGCUGCCACAUCUAGUAGAUUUCAAAAGUACUUUAUUUCAUCAAAACUCAACCAACAAACAUCACUUAAGUAUUCAGAGACAUUAACAAACAACUCAAAGCAGGAUUUAAACAAUAAAACAACCUUUUUAUGUAUUAAUCAAAAUCAAAACUAAAGAACAUCAUAACAGUAAAGCAAGUUUGAAAACAUCAUUAAACAUGUAAAAUAAGUUAGAGGUAUGUCUCAUGGACAUCACCUAUUAGGUUAGUUAGGGAUUAUAUCUUUCAAAAAUUCAGAAUAGUUAUUGCCUUUCUUCCUUUUGAAAAUCCAAUCUUUUUUCAAUCUUUAACUUAUCCUUUUAGCUUUUGGAUGCCAAGUGUCGCAUGUGGGCGCAAGAUGUCGGGGGGUCAUGGGAGUCACCACCUAGUUUUUUGGUUCAAAGUCGCUAGGAAACUCGGGUAUACUGGUUUUAUCAGAUAUUCCAAGGGUAAGAGACUGAUUGUGGUUGGGUAAGGUACUAGUACCCCUAAUGCACCCUACCUGAGGUAAAGUGUAUUGUGUGGUUUAAAGGUUUUUAUGGAUUCCUAAAUGGUGGUAUGUCUAUGACUUAAGAUGGGGAUUUAUUCAUGUGAAUAAAUCUGGUUUUUUUUAAUUUAUUAUGGUUGUAGACAAGAUCCAUAUAGGUGCCCUAACAGGGUUCACCUAUCUUUAAAGGUGGAACGACUUUCCACAACUCAUGUAUUGUGAUGAAAAAUACUCCCAAUUAAAAUUGGUGAAUGUUUAAAAUAAUUUUGAGAAUUUUCUCGUCAACUCAUGAUAUUUAAAUACCAGCAUACUUGUAAGUUCAACAUUUAUACCAAAAAAUUGACAAUUAUUUCUAAUGAAUUAAUUUUUUUUAUGGAUUUUUGAAAUAUUGACAAAGUUCUAAUGAAUUCAAUAAACUGGUUAUUAAACCCAAAAUGCAUGGAAAUAUACUAAACAAAGUGGUAUUUUUUGGCCAUGUAAUAUCAAAGAAGAGUAUCUAUGUGGAUCCAAAGAAGAUAGAAACAAUAUUGAAAUGGGAAAGACCUACAACUGUGACUGAAAUUCAUAGUUUUCUAGGCUUAGCUUGAUAUUAUAGGAGAUUUAUAGAAGGAUUUUCAACGAUAGCCUCUCCAAUGACUCGACUAACUUGGAAGGAAGUUAAGUUUGAAUGGUCAAAAGAGUGUGAAACAAGUUUUCAAGAGUUAAACUCCAGGCUAACUUCAACCCCAGUAUUGGCUUUACCAAAAGGACAGGAGGGAUUUGUUAUGUAUAGCGAUGCUUCCAAUAAGGGUUUGGGUUGUGUAUUUAUGCACCACGGAAGGGUAAUCGCUUAUGCAUCUAGACAGUUGAAACCAUAUGAGAUAAACUAUCCGGUACAUGAUUUGGAGCUGACAGUUGUGGUGUUUGCUUUGAGGAUAUGAAGACAUUAUUUGUACGGGGUACAAGUGCAGAUUUUUACAGAUCACAAAAGUUUAAAAUAUUUGAUGUCACAAAAAGAAUUGAAUAUGUGACAUAGGAGAUGGAUGGAGCUAAUCAAAGAUUAUAAUUGUAUUAUUGACUAUCACCCGGGGAAAGCAAAUGUGGUGGCAGAUGCUCUGAGUCGAAAGAAUAAAGCUUUUAUUAGUGGUUUACUAGUGCUAAGUGAGCUAAAUGUGCUUUUGGAUGUGACUUCAGGAGGAAUAUUACUAGCAACGUUAGUGCUAUAAUCUAAAAUGAGAGAAAAGAUUCGAAAAGCUUAAGGUGAAGAUCCUGAAGUGAUGAAAGAAAUGAACAUUGUAUAAGUAGGCCAAGACUCUUUAUUUCGUAGUUAUGGGAAACAUAAUAUAUUUACCUGAUGAUAAGGUUUUAAAAAGUGAAGUCUUAAAAGAAGCUCAUGAGUCUAAAUUGGCGAUCCAUCCAGGAAGCACGAAAAUGUAUAGAGAUUUGAAGGAGAGUUACUGGUGGCCAAAAAUGAAGAGGGAGAUAGCAUAAUACGUGGUCAAGUGUGCCAUAUAUCAGCAGGUGAAUGUAGAGCAUCAAUGGCCAGUUGGAGAAUUACAAUCUCUUUCGAUUCCAAAAUGGAAAUGGGAGAAUAUCACUAUGAAUUUUGUAUCUAGGUUACCGAGAAGCAGGAAAGGACUUGAUGUCAUAUGGGUGAUCGUGGAUAGACUGACAAAGUCUUCUUUAUUUUUGCCUAUGAAGAUGGGGGAUUCGGUUGAAUAACUAGCUCAAUUAUAUAUUAAAGAGGUGGUGAGAUUGCAUGGUGUACCAGUUUAUAUAGUUUCUGAUAGGGAUCCUUGGUUUACAUCAAGGUUAUGGCCGAGUAUACAACGGGCUUUGGGUACCAUAUUGAAUUUAAGAAUGACUUUUGAUCCACAGACUGAUGGGCAAUCUGAAAAGACAAUUCAGAUUUUGGAAGAUUUGUUGCGGCUUGUAUUCUAAAGUUUGGAGGUCAAUGGGAGGAUCACUUGCCAUUAGUAGAAUUUACUUAUAAUAAUAGUUAUCAAUCUACUAUUGGCAUGGAACCAUAUGAAGCAUUGCAUGGAAGGGGAUGUUGAACUACAGUAUGUUGGGAUGAAGUUGCGGAAAGAAAAUUAUUAGGACCUGAACUGGUGCUGAUCACGGUUGAUAAGGUGAAGGUGAUAAAGUAAAUGAUGAAAGAAGCUCAAGACCGGCAAAAAAGUUGUGCUGAUAAUUGACGGAGACCUCUAGAGUUUCAAAUUGGAGAUGUGGUAUUUUUAAAAGUUGCACCAUGGAAGCAUGUGAUUCGGUUUGGAAUGAAAGGCAAAUUAGCACCCAGGUAUAUCGGGCCAUAUAAAAUUAUAGAAAGAAUUGGGACGGUCCUAUCGAAUAAUACUGCCACCACAUUUAGAUAUGAUACAUAAUGUGUUUCAUGUUUCGAUGCUGCGGAAAACAGACUUGGAUCUUGCAUGAAUUUUGCCACAAAUUUCGAUGGAAGCACGGGAAGAUUUAACUAUGGAGGUACAACCAGUGCAAAUUAUGGACCGAAGUAUAAAAGAGUUACGAAAUAAAAAGGUGUCGUUAGUAAAGGUAUUGUGGAGAAACUCUCGAAUAGAAGAAGAAACCUAGGAGAGAGAGUCAGAAAUGAAGAAGAAAUAUUCUAGAUUAUUUUUUUACAUAGGUAUGAAUUUAGAGGACAAAAUUUUUUUUAGGAGGGGAGAAUGUAAACCCCCCGGAUGAAAAAUAAUAAAUUGACUAGUUUUAUGUAAAAUAAAACAUUUCAUAACUGUUGAUCGGGUUAUUAGACAAUUCUAAAAAUUUACGUGGAGCCUUCUAAUAUGAUGCCUUAGCUUGGGUUAAAAUUUCAGAAUUGUUGGAGAAAUUCAGAAAUUUGACAAAAAAUCACAAUUUGACAAAAAAUCACAAUUUGACUAGUUUUACGUUAUUGGACGUAAUUUUCAAUCCAAUCCUCAGAUUGAGCUGAAAUUUUACGAGGGACUUUAAACUAUAUUGAAUAAAAUUUGGUUAAAGUUUUAGGAUGAACGGAGCUCGGUAUUGCUAAAAAACAAUAAGGACCGUCAAAUAGAAGUAAAAGUACUCAUUAAGGGUAAAAUGAUUAUUUGCCAUUAAAAAAUAAAACAAAUCAGCUCUCCUUUCCUUUUAUAUGCUGCCGACUGUGCAGAAGCAGAGUGGGAAAAGAAAGAAAAGAAAAAAAGCAAGUGAGAAAGAGAGAAAAGUAAGGAAAAAAUAAGAAAAGUGAGAGAAUAACCUUGUAAACUUACAAAGUCCAACUUAUAAAACACUAAUCUAAGGAAGAAUCAAGUGAAGGAAGGAGGAAUUGAGAGAGAGAAUUUGGCUAACCUUGGGAGAGAAGAGAAAUUGGAAGAAAGUCAAUUGGUAAGUAUGAGAAGUUUGGAUUUAAUGUUUGAUUUAGAUGUUUUUAAGCUAAAUUGAUUAAGUUAGGAAGUAAUUUCAUGAAAUUUUACUUUAAUUUCCCUUAAAUCCUUGAUUCUUGAACUUAGGGUUCUUAUGGGAAUUUGGGGGAAUUAGUAAGGGAAGGAAAAAUGAUGAAGUUGAAGUGGAAUAGCAUGAAAACAAGUUGAAAUAACAAGUAAAUGAAGAAAAAUUUGGGGGAGGAAAAAGAAGAUGACAUUUGGCCAAAUGAAGGAAAAGUGGAGGAAUGAGUUUUGAUGUUAAUUUUUAGGAAACUAUGUUUAAUCAUGAUAUUUGAAAUAUGCAAGAAUGACUAAAUAAAGAAAUAACAUUAAAGUUGAGAAAAAUAAGUAAAUUCAAUUUAAAAGAGAAUUGAACUAGUUAAAAAGAAAGUAUGAAGACAAGAUGUUUAGAUUGUGUUUGAAUAUAGUUCUUACAUAUGUUUAGAUAAAAUAAAUAAUAUGAUGUGAAGGCAUAAAGAAUAGAAGGAUUAUUUGAUGGAGGAAUUAUGAACAUAAAGCAAGAAAAGAAGUCACUUUUUUUUAAAUAUGUGGUUGUAUGUGAAAUGAUGGUGUUAUGUUUGAGAAUGAAUUUUUAUCAGAAUGAAUUAAAACAAAAUGUGCUUUGCGUUUCGGCACGUAAGAAAAAUAUUGAUGUACUAAUGAUAUAAUGAUAUUUGAUUGAUUCAGGAGUUGUGUCUGGAGCUGGUUAUCAAACAGGAGGAGCCGGGUCAUCACGAGCACAAGGUAAGUGAUUCGUCACCUUAUUUGUAAGUUUUCCUUAAAUAUCUAUGUUGUUUAUUUAAUUGAUGUUAAAAGAAUGAAGCAAAUGAAUAAAUUAAGUGAUUAUUACAACUGAAUAAUUGGUAAUUUAUGUGAAAUUACCGGAAUUACUAUUUGGCUUACAAAAGAGGUUAGCCGGAUGCUGGGCAAUUCAUAUGAAAUUACCGAAUUGAUUUUGGCAACCAAAAUAGGUUAGCCAGAUUCCUUGGGUAAUUAUGAGAAUUACCGGGUUUAUUGGUUAACAAAGAGGUUAAUCAGAUAUGGGGUAAUUCGUAUUGAAUUACCGGAUUGAUUGGCUAACAAAAGAGGUUAGCAGGAUGAUGGGUAAUUUAGAUGGAAUUAUCGGAUUUAUUGGUAACUGAGGAAGGAUAACCAAAUUUGUGGGUAAUUAUAUGAAAGUGUUAGAAUUAUUGGCAAUCGAGAUGAGUUAGCUGGAUAUUUAAUUUUUGAAAAGAUUAUGUAAAUUAAUUGAAUGAAGUUAGAAGUAUUAAAUUUCAGAGGUUAAGAGUAAAAUAAUUAAUAUAUGACUAAGAUAUUGAGUAAAUUAAUUAAUGUGGUUAUUGUUGAAACAGGUACGCGAGGUGAUGCAAAUCGUUAGAUGUAGGAUUUUUCUGUUUAUGAAUUAUUAUUUUGGAAUGUAAUAUUUAUGUCUUUGUUUUCUUUGAAAACCCUUAUGUUGUCAAAAUCAGAUAGAAGAUGUGUAGUAUGUAAUGAUUGUAUUACCUUCGUGUUGUAAAAAUCAAAUAGAAGAUGUGUAAUAUGUAAUGGAUGUAUUAUAUAUAUGUAUAGAUGUUAGUAUGGUAAAUCAUUUUCAGAAUGAUAAGAUAAGUUUAUAAUAUAAAGUAGUAGAAUACAUUAUAUGUUUUAAGACAAUAUGACUCUUAAUCUUAAUAUUUUAUCCAUUUAGUCUAAAUGCAUAUAUGUAGUUAAUUAACAUUUAUUACUUUUUAGUGAUGAAAUUGUUUAUCUUUCAAUUUGUUUUAGUAAUUCUUUUAUGUUGACUUGUUAAUUCAUAUUAUGAGACUUGAAUAUGUUGAUAACUAUAAGUUUUGAGAGAUUGAUUGAUGAAUGGGAUGUGAUCCAGGAUGAUUGGAUCAAGAUGGAAGUUGUAAUGGCAUAUAAUAGAAGUGUUGUUGAUAACUUGAUACCAACAAAAAUAGAGGAAACUCUGCCAAACUUUUCAAAAAAUAAAAUAAAAAUCCAUAAUCUUAGACAUAUUAUUCAAUACUUGACAUUCGUAAAGAAAUGUUUGAGAUUUUAUGACAUUAUAAUUUGAGGAUGUUAUAGUUUGGUACUAAGACAAACCAUGUAUUUUAUAUUUUAAACAAGAUAUGAUUUUUAUUUUUAUUUUUGGAAGACUUGGUCGUAUGUUAUUUAAGAUAAAAUUGUAUUUUUGAAAAAAGAGAUUUUUUUUUUGUUGUUUUUGUAAAAGGUAAAACGAUUCGUUUAACAUCGAAGAAGCGUCUCGUGUGUGUGUCACGAUUUUAAAUAUUAAAUACGUGAUGAUUGGAAAAUAUGGAGAACUCAAAAUUAAUUGCAAGAUGAUCUUCCAAAGAUUUUGAAAAUGGACGAAGAUAGUGUUUAGUAAAACACAAAUAAAUUAUUUUUAUGAAGGCUAUUUUAACCACGAUAUUAAUUCAAAACAAAAUAUCGUUCAUCAACUUGAAACGAGCAACACCAAAAAUCCACAUGAAUCUUAUUAAUUUCACAAACUUUGUUCAAACUGCGUAUUAAUUCAAAGGAAUUAACACAAACCCAAACAUGCAUCAAUAUUUAAUGUCCAAAAAACAAUCACAAUCUAAUAAUAAACUCAUAACUCACCACAAAUACUCAAAUCACCUCAAAAUCAAUAAUACACAUCAAACCAAAUUAAAAGUGUCCAACAGUCCAUAAAAAAUACACAAUAAUAAGCAUUUUUCCUAAAAUUUCACAACAUUGUAGCAAUUUAUCUGAAACAAUAUUAGUAAUUAAAAAACUUCAAUAUAGAAAAGCGGUGAUGUAUACAAGUGGAUUUGUCUAAGCAUGAAAGCCGUUCAAGAGAGGAGUCACCAAUAUAUAUUCCUUUCUUAACUCUCAAUUAUAUAUAUUUCUUAUCACUUUAUUCAUGAACUCUUGAUAAAUCAUCAGACCACCGCCAGGACCUUAAAUCCAGACCUUUGCCUACCGCAUUAAUUGACAAGAAUAUUUCAAGCAUUUAGAACCUUAAAGAUACCAACACAAAAUUGGGGCAGAUUUUUUUUUUUUUUGAAAGAUGUGUAUAUUAUUUAAACGCCAAAGCCUGGCGGGAGUAGUACAGAAACUACAUAAUAUCUUACUAUGGCAAAAAGCCAUAAAUAGGAUAAAGCGCAGUAUAAGAAAAACAAAAGCAAAGAAAACCUUAGAAUAGCCAUCCGAAUGAGCUCAAAGCUAAACAAUCCUCUACAAAACAAAAAUGAAAAUAACGCAAAGACAUAGUGGGAGAAGACACAAGAGCAAGGCCAUAGAAAAAAAAGUGUAGUCAAAGCCAGGCAACAAAAUCACUUGAUCUUUGCACUCCUUGUUUAGCCAUGCAAUCUGCCAUGCAAUUACUUUCACGGAAGAUAUGGGAGAAGGUGAUUGAACCAAAAUAUGCUUUCAGCCUAUUAACAGAGGAGAACAGAUUAUGAUGCUUCCAGGGACGGUUGUGAGGCUUAUUCAUCCAGCUAAUAGCAUUGACAGAGUCAGAUUCUAUGAUGAGGUGUUGAUGGUGGAAGAGACAAUUAGAUGCUGAAAGUUCAAUGGCUUUGACAAUAGCCCUUAACUCAGCAAUAUUAGAGUCUAAAAUACCAACUGAAACAGAGAACAUACCGAGAAGAUGUCCAUGAUGAUUUCGCAGUACACCACCUAUUCCAGAAGGGCCUGGCUUACCAAGAGACGAGCCAUCCAUGUUCCAUUUAAGGCUAUUAAUCAUAGGAGGAGACCACAUAUUAUGAAUCCUGAAGGAGUGGGCAUUGGACCACCGAAGUAAGCCAUUUGCCGAUCUGAUCAGAUCUGAAGGGGAGUAUGGGAAAUCAGAAUGGAUAGCUUUUAGCCAUAGACAUAGACAGGUGAUAAUAAGAAAGAAUAUUGAAUCAUAGUCAGGUGUCUUCUGUUGGAAGAUCAGAUCAUUUCGAAGUAGCCAAAGAGACCAUGCCACUGAGAAGAACAACAUCAGCCACGCCUUCCUCUGAAAAUGACCAUGCACCAUGGAAGUCCAUUGAGACCACAAAUCUGAGAAGCUCUUUGGGCAACACCAAACUAAACCCCACCACUUAAUGAUUUUGGACCAAAUCAGCCAAUGCUUAUGGCAUUGAAGCAGGAUAUGGUCCACCGAUUCUGCCUCCACUAGGCAGAUAGGGCAAUUUGAUUCUGAGCUACUCAAUAUACCCCUUCGAACCAACAUGCAUCGGGUGUUGAUUCUGUUAAUGAUAGCCAUCCAGCAAAAGAUCUCUACCUUAGGAGGGACAAUACCUUUCCAAAUUCCAGCAAACGAGAAGGCAUUGUUUGUGGAAGGCUUUGGGCUUAACAAUCCAUAGAGAGAUUUAACUGAAAAUCUUCCUGAAUUAUUGUCCUUCCAUAUUAGUCUAUCCUCUCCAUCUUUGUCCAUGAGUACAGUCGAUAGGAUUGCAUAAAGCUGAUCGAGCAAGCCAAUGCUGCGCCCCCGUAGCGGACGUAUCCAGGAAAAAAACCAAAUCCACUCAUACCCUUCCCACAUUCCCAUUUUAGCAAUGCUGGCAGCUUUGUCAUUGGAUAAUUGGAAAAGAGUAGGGAAGUGCUCUGCUAAACAGUGGUUAUUAAGCCAGCAGUCAAGCCAAAAUUUAGUCUUUUUGCCAUUUCCGAUAAGAACCAGAGAUUGCUCUUUCACAAUAUCCUGCAGGUUAUUAUUUCUCACACAAUGAUUGACAAUUCGGGACCAUGUAGUUGCAGCUCCUGGAAUAGGAGCUUGCAGCAGCAGAUUAGAGCAAUUGGUGAUGUGGAUGCUUUUGAUCACAUCCUUCCACAAACUUGAUUCCUCCGACCCAAACCUCCAUAACCAUUUAAAGAGCAGAGCUGUGUUUUUGUCCCUUAAGGGACCAAUCCCAAGGCCACCCGCUUGUUUUGGAAGAGUAACAGUGGCCCAGCUGACAUUGCAUAUUUUGUGUCUUUCCUCAUUUCCAGACCAGAGGAAGGAUCGAAGUUUGUGAUCAAUUAUGGAGGCAACCGAAGCAGGCAUAGGGAACAUAGAUAGGUAGUAGAUGGGGAGAUUGCUGAGCACAUAUUUAAUCAAGCACAAACGACCCCCAAUAGAUAAGAACCUGCAUUUCCACGAAGCCAACCGGAAACUGAUAUUAUGUAAAAUAGGAUUCCACAUUGUAGCUCUGCCCAGGUUUCCAUCAAUGGGGAGUCCAAGAUACAUGAGAGGCAGCUGAUCCUACUUGCAUCUAAGAAGCUGAGCCGUGAAGUUACAUGUAUGAGCUGCUACACCCACACCGACAAUGCUACUUUUAUAAAAAUUGACCUUCAACCCCGAGACAAGUUCAAAGCAUAAUAGGAUACGUUUAAUGUUCUGCAUGCUAUGUAAAGAGUCUGAACUGAAUAUAAGGGUGUCGUCCGCAAAUUGUAAGUGAGAUAUGACAAGCCCUGCAUUGCCGAUGUUUAUACCUGAAGUCAAACCCAAAUCACAGCCACGCUGCAACAUACAACUCAACCCCUGGACUGCAAUGUUGAAGAGAAACGGAGAGAGAGGGUCUCCUUGGCGUAGGCCUUUAGCUAAGCAGAAUUCCUCCGUGGGAGACCCAUUAACAAGCACAGACAUUUUUGCCGCUGAUAUGCAUUGCAUAAUCCACCCUCGCCAUCUAUUGCCAAAGCCCAUACUAGCCAUGAUUUCAUUAAUAUAUUCCCAUAACACCGAAUCAAAGGCUUUGUGAAAAUCUAAUUUGAAGAGAUAAGCUUUACCCUUUUUCUUCUUAAUGAAAGAAAGGACCUCAUUUGCAAUCAAGACGCUGUCUAAAAUUUGCCUCCCUUUGAUGAAAGCAUUUUGAUGAUGAGAGAUGACCUCUGGCAUAACAUGUUUCAACCUGGUUGCUAGAAUCUUUGAAAUGAUCUUGUAUAGGCUGCCAACCAAACUAAUAGGUCUGAAAUCUGAUAGCUUGUUAGCACCUUUAAUCUUCGGAAUAAGAGUAACAAAGGUGCUAUUGAUACCAGCAGGGAGGAGAUUAGUCCGAUAGAAGUCAUCAAUCAUCUGGAUAAUAUCCUCACCUAUAAUGUUCCAUGCUUUCUUGAUGAAAAGGAAGUUAAUACCAUCAGGACUUGGAGCUUUAUUUCUAUCACAAUCCCACACAGCUGUUUUAAUCUCUUCUGCAGAAAAUGGCAAUUCAAGAGCAGCAGAGGAUGAAGGCUUCAGCCUUGAGAAUUCCAGGUUUGAACAUGAAGCUCUAGGUCUGUUCUGGUGGGAGUAUAGAUUGCGAAAAAAGUUAAAGACAACUAGCUUCACAUCGAUUGGUUUAGAUAGGAUCUGUCCAUCAACCUCCAGGCAUGCAAGCUGAUUCUUUUUCUGUCUUGUUGUUGCAGCUAAAUGAAAGAAUCGAGUAUUUUUAUCUCCAAGCUUACACCACUGAAUUCUUGAUUUCUGAUGCCAGGCAGACUCUUGAGCUCUAUACAGGAUUUUGAGUCGGGAGGCAAUGGAAUUACUUCUAAUCAGUUCAUUAGCACUCAAGACCCUGCACUCAUUUUCACGAUCCAUUGAGUCAGCUUCAAGUUCCAGUUCGGCAAUUCUGUUAUUCAUGCUUCCUAUAUUAGCUUUACUCCACUGCCGACAUCUCUCUUUCAACAUCUUUAGAGCUGGGACCAUUUUCCUUGUGCCAGAUUUUGAAACCAUGAUUGAACUCCAAAAGCUCUGAAUCAUAUUCCUAAAAUCAGACACAAGCCACCAGCAAUUCAUGAAGCGAAAGGGUUUCGGGCCCCAAUUUGUAGAGUCUAGCAACAGAUGCAGAGGCCUAUGAUCAGAUGAAUAUUUUGAGAGACCAAAUAAGGUAGAUGAUGGGAAAGUCUGCAACCAAUCCCCCGAUACAAAUAUUCUAUCAAUACGGCUCGCCGCAUUACCUCGAGACCAUGUAAAUUUCCUCCCAUUUAAGGGGAGCUCCAUAAGAUUACAAUCAUCAAUGCAAUUUUUGAAUCGUGUCAUGGAAGAUGUUAUUUGUGAGCUGCCUUUCCUAUCUGAUGGGAAUAAGGUUUCAUUAAAAUCACCCGCAAGACACCACGACUUGCUAACACUAUCCCUGAAUGUAACAAGAUAAGUCCACAACUCAUUCUUCAGGUUCCCACCAUUCGGAGCAUAUACAAAAGAGACUAGGCAAUCUAGAUUGGACCGAGUGAAGCUGCCUUCAAUAUGCAAAAUACGGCCAUUCAUAGCAACAGAACAGCUAGAGACACAAAAAAGAUCCGGAUUCCAUAUACAUAAUAUUCCCCCCGAAAGGCCUAAUGAGGGAACUGCAUACCAAGCCCUAGGAUGACGACCCCAUAUAGCAGUAAUAGUGAAAUCAUUCAAAGUUUCCAAUUUUGUUUCCAAAAUACCCAGGAUAUGAAGAUCAAAUUUUCGACCAAGAUUCCUCAAACAUCUCUUUUUUUCUCUCCCCCCUAAGCCACAUACAUUCCAUACAAUUAUACUACCCAUAGGAGUGAUUACAGAGACCAUACCUGCAGACUAUUUACGGAAGCAAAUCACGGCUUCUUCCUUAGGAUCCACUCUUCCUGUUCUCGGUCUAGGAAUCCCUGCAGUGUCUGAGUCAUGAGUGUGCUAUCGUCAUGCCCUUGGAGAAUAGCUUGUCCAACUUCCCAGCAAGCAGUGGCUUCUGCCCUAUUAUCAGAAUGUGCAGGCUCAGUUGCUUCAUCACCAGCAUUGGUGUCGGGUCUGUAUCUUGAACUACUUGCCUCAUCCUCACCAAUCAAUUCCUUACCAGCUUUGAUAAUAGCAUUUAUGUUCUUUAUCCCAUUAUCAGAAACUGAGUAUUCAACAAUUACGGUCUCUGAUUGCUUACCGCUUUGUUUUCCCAGUUGACGUGAUUUCCUCCUCCUAAGAGAGUGUGAUCUGCGUCUGAGCUUCGUUGCUUUUUUUCUGUGGGUUUUCCUGUCUCCUACUUCCAGAGCACUAAGCUCAUAUGGAUCAGCAAUAGGAGUGAUGAAGGUUGUAAAAGAUGGCCCAAUGCUCGUUGAUUUCUGCUUUUUCUUACGCCCCAUCUGCUUUAGGAGUCCACUGUCAUAAUUUAUAUGUUGAUUCAGCCCAUCCUUAGCAGUAAAACAAGAAACUUUUUGCAUAGCCACCCCUCUGCAUGCAACUGAAUCCACCUCAACAUAUACGUAAGGUACCAAGGCUAACUGGUUAUCGCCUUCGUACGUACUCUCAUCAAAUAAAACCGCAUGUUUGCAGAUUUCAGUAAUUUCUGGGUAAAGGUACCACGGUGAAACUUCAGACGUGGUGAGUGUGCUAGCAAGCUGAGUUUGGGUGCCCAACAAACCAGUGAAUUCGGAUUCAAAUUCGGGUCUUUGUUUUGUCUCUUUGUGAGUCGUUGCAGCUUUAUUAGUUUCCUCAAAAAAAUCAUCUUCAUCGUCAUCGGAUAGCACAGAUGUUGAGCACAAUGAUACAUCCAUGGAGUGUUUGACUGUUGUGAGAGAGGGGAUAAACUCACCUUUGAUUUCUUUCAAACUGACCUCAACCUGCACUCCAUCAAGCUGGAGCAACACUUGAUCAUGUAAAGGUUCCAGCUUUGUGGUUCGAAUAAGAACCCUAAUACCUGAUAUGGACCCCUGACUAACACAAGAAGUGUCGUAUCCUACAAUAUUUCCCCAGUUCUGAAGCAAAAUAUUGAUACAGUUUCUGUUCCACCCUUCCAUUGGCAAACCAAAUAUGGAGAUCCAAGCAAAUCUGUCAGAUGCUCUAGUCCUUGUUUCCCACUGUCUGAGAUUGCUGAAUAGAGAAUGCAGCACAGAUACUUUAUUCCUUUGUUCUUGCACUGAGGCUAACUGAUCCACAUAGGUAAUAAUCACCUGGCUAGCUCCCAAAAAACGAAAGCUCACAGCUUUGACACUUGAUUUUAAAACCGUUGCCUCCAGUGUUGCUACAUCCACAUUUGGCAAGAUAUUUCCCACUAAGCUCCUAUGCAGAUUUUUCAUACCAUGAAAAAUUGGGGCAGAUUUUUCAUACCAUGAAAAAUUGGUCGUAAUAAGAACCUUUUUUUUUUCCUGGUCCUGCUCGACUUGGAAAGGGGUCCUUGAGGAUCCAAUUUGGAGUAUCUUGUGGGUUUAGUCAAAAAGGUCAUUCUCAGUCUUCACACUUCAUGCACAAGGAAAGAAUAUGUUUAAUUCGUCAAUCGACUCAUAGCUAACUCUGUAACAAAUGUUUGGGAUGAAGGGAAAAGUAUAGCUUUUUCUAAUUAGAGAAAGAAAUUGCAUAAACUGUGAAUGCUGUAAUUAUUUUCAAAGAACUUAACCAUAAAUCUACCCUUCUUGCAAGGAACAAAGCCUUCUUCUCUAUAUUUUCAAAGAAUGAUAUAAUUAUUAUGGUGAAUCAUGCAUGCAUAUCCAGAAUUUGAUAUUUCUUAAUUGAAUUUUGGAAAAGUCGUAAUACUUGGUAAAGCCUUUGGAUCGAUAGUUUCUCUGAGAUGUGAAUGGAAUUAACAACAUAGAGAAUAAUAAAAAAGAAAAAGCAACAGAAUCAAUCAUCAGAAGUUGUGAGAAUUAUAUCUUUCUUUGAAGAUUUUGAUUUUGACCACAGUGAACCUAUAAGCUUAACUAGAGAGGCUUCUAUGAUUUCUAUAUAUACGGACUAGCUUGGCUUCAAACCAUAUGUACAAGUCAAGCUCAAACUCAGAACCUCGUUAAACUGUUUCUUCUUAUUAUUUUUUAGUGUCAUUUUGCAAAUGGCUCGCCAAGCAGAGCGCCUUUCCAAGAUUGGGUUGGAAGGACUUGCACUAAUAGAUGAGUGGUACGAGUGCCCUAGGAGGUCUUCAACUCCUCAAGAACACCAUCAGCAACGAUAUGACUAUUGUGGAAUCCAAGUUCCCAUGAUGAAAAUGGAUGUUAUCAACAACAAGGAGGCAGCUAAACAUUAUGGUGGGGUGGUGAUUAUGGAUUAUCGAAAGAAAAAGUUACUCUAUUGAGCUCUUUAGUGAUAAUGUAUUGGGCCUUGCUUUGCUUGGUUAAGUUAAUUACCAAGCAUAAUUAAGUCGUUUUUAACUUUAUUGUUUUCUUCUUCUUUUUCCUAUGUUUUAGAGUCAGCUACUCCAAAAGAUGAAAAAGUAUGAGUGCCUUAAAGUGAUUUGCUGCACCUCUUAUUUCUCUAUGAUUUGUUGGGUUUCUUGAAAUACAUGACAUAGUGAAAAUAGUUUUUUCAAGUCUCAUGGAUCUCAUUAAACAACAUAAAUUUAUUUAGGAUUUGUGCGAAAAUUAUAUGAAGAUAGUUCUUCGUCCUAGAAUUUGAUCAACACUUGAAGGCUGUGUUUUCGUAAAUCAAGUCCUUACUUGAUUUUUCUAAAUCUAGAAUUUUAAUCUCAUGUUCUAAUUAUAUUAUAGUUUUCAAUUUCAAAAACUUAUUUACAAUCAAUUUGUUAUUACCUACUUUUGACUCCACGAAAAAUCAAGAAAAGAAAAAAGAAAAAAUAGAAAGAGAAAAUCCAAAAUACAAGAGGAUAUACAUGAAAAAAACCUAAAAGAUUACUCAAGUUGAUGGUGAAGGACCAAAUUACUAGUGGAAAAGUUGGAGGACUAAAAUGUUCAAAACUACUAUAAUUAACAACCCAAUUCUAAUUGACAAGGUUCCUUUUGGUGAAAAUAUUUCUAUUAGGGUAAAGAAAUACAAAUUUGGAUAGGUAAGGACUUAAUGAGAAUUUUGCAAGGCUUAAUUAAUUUUAUUGAGGACUUGAUUACUGGGAAAAUCAGUUUUUAGAGUUAAUUUAGGUGUUAAUUGAAAUAAAUUAAAGUUCAGAGACUUAAUUGGUUUUUUAGGAGGUUUAAUUGGAUGAAUCAAGGGCUUAAUUGUUAGAAUAUUAAAGUUUGGUAUGCAAUUAGGAACUUGAUUGAAGAAUUCUAAAACCAAGAACAAAACUGAAAAAAAAACGCAUGAAGUGGUAUCAGAAUCUAUUAUCCUUUUAUUAUUAACAAAACGGAAGCCAUAACUUACUGUUUAUACUGUAAUAUUAGGAUCUUCUCUGCCUUCUCCUCUCCAAAGGCCAUUGAGAGGUACAAUGUCCAGAAUGCAUCUAAGGAUAACCAUAUGUCCAUAUCCAUAAGAUCUCAAUGGAUUGCCUCUCACUACAGAAUCGCCUCUCACUACAGAAUCGAGCACAUCUUUAAGCUAGAAUAAAGUGCCUUCACUUAUUAUUUAGCAUUAUUGCGCAGGACAAGUCUUCACUGCUUAUUUCCUUAACAGUUUUGUCACUAUAAAAAAUUCAAUGAAUACAAACGGAUUUGCUGAUUGAAUUUUUCUAUCGGUAUUUUAUGGUGUUAUUUACCAACCAAAUUUUUUCCCUUGCUAAAAGGAUAAUGUCCAGAACGCUUCUAAGGAUAACCAUAUAUGCAUAUCUAUAAGAUCUCAAUGGAUUGCCUCUUACCAUAGAAUUGUAAAUAAUGAAGACUAUUUUACAAGGUUUUUAUCCUACAUUUGAAAAAACACAACUUAUUUCUUGUAAACAUAGAGUCUAUAUAAGGUUUUAUAUUACACAUUGAAAAAAUAAAAUAUUUAUCUAGUAUUUAUAUAGUAAACUUUGAUACGUGAUAGUAACCAAAACAAAAGGGGUAGUGGGCUUGCGUGUAUAAAGUUGAGCCGAGCAGGAGAAAAACCUCUGAUUACUCUCCGACGUGUGAGGCAAUGCCUUUCUGAACCUUUUGUCUCUAGCAAUAAUUUGUUUUUGGCUCUUAAAUUGAAACCACAAUUUUUUUAAAACUUAGAAUUAAUUUUCUAUUAGUCACAAAAUCCUAACAACUCUUUUAUUUUAAAACGUUUUUAACAUUUACAAUUCUUUAACUUCCUAACAGCUCUUUUAUUUUUUUGAAUUGUUGUAAAAACUCUUUAAUUUUCUAAUUUAUUUUCUGCCUAGUUGUUCCAUUUUAACAACCUAUAUAUGUCAUGCACUCUUACAAUCAUAGUGUGCUGAAAAAACCAUAGUAUUUUUCUGUGUUUGCAAAACUUGCUGGCAUUUCCUUUCGAUCUUGGUCUAGCUGUUUCCGUAACCCUUGUUUUAGAAAAAAUCUUGUUGAAAUCUGGAAUAUAACCUUGUGUUGAGAAAAUAUAUUUAAGGACAAUGUUUGUGCAUGCCUCAAGUUUUAUUUUAUUUCUAUUCUUCAUCUUAUUUUAUUACAACAUCCAGCACAUCCUUAAGUAAAUAAAGAAAGCUAGAAUAAAGUGGCCUCAGUGAUUAUUUAGCAUUAUUAAGUAGGCCAAGUACUCUUCACUGCUUAUUUCCUAUUAGUUCUGUAUUGUGGAAUUGCACUUACAAAUAAAGAACUUGUUCUUGAUAUUUUCGUACAGAAUUUCUCUCUCGAAUAGUCGGUCAAUAAAGUCACUUCGUUUAUUCGGAUUUGAGGCCGGCCAUGAGAUGGAGAGGUUGUGUCACAUUAAUUAUGUCAUGUUACUUAGGUUAACUAGAAUAAGAAAUAAAGAUAUAGGUUUUGGAAAGAAUAAAGAUCAGUUAAAGAAGGAAAAAAAAAAAGAAUAGAAAAAAAGAUUAUCAAAAAAAGAAUCAGAUUCACCAUUAAACUAAAGAGUCUCAUCGAUUCUACGAAACUUGUCGGAAGGAAUCAUUUGUUCAAUAAUUGAAUGCGAUUUUUGCUUUAUAUAUAUUUUAGGAACUUUGCACUAGAAAGGGAACAUUUGUGCCACCAAGUACUAACACUAGAAAGGGAACCUUUUUUUCCCAGUGUUAAUAGAUACUUUUUUUUAUAUAUUUUUGACAUUUCUCUUCUUGAUUUUUCUUAUUAAAGCAUGUUUGUUUUUGCAUUUCAAAAAUGCUUUGAAAACAUUUUGAAAAUUUUUAAUCGUUUUCUUUACUUCAAAUUUUAGGGGAGACUUUUGAUAAUAUUUUCAACAUUGUAGCCGACUUUUGGUUGCUCAAUCUUGGUUCUUGAUUGAACUUUCAACUCUUCAAAGAAUUGACCAUUCUUUGUUGUGAAUUUAUACUUCUUUUGCUCGUCUCCAGGUGUAGGCGUUGUGAUCGAGUUGGUUUAUAGUCUUGUUGCCUUGGAGCAAGUCUUUUAUUGUGAUAAGCUCAUUCAAAUCUCAACAAACUUGGGUUAGAUUGAUCUUGGGGUCGCGUAUACCAUUAAAUUCCGCUAGGGUUUGCUUCACUAGACCUUCUCUUGGAUCUAGACUUGUCAUACUAGUCUAUAAAUAUAUAUAUUAGAACAUCCAUAUAAUCUGUCUAGAGCAGAUACUCAUCUAAUUAUGGCAGACCCACAUAUGACAGCUCAGAAUCACCUGUUAUCGCAAACCCAAUUACAUCAUUAAUGGUUUUUCAAGGUAAGUCAUGAGGAAUUUGAAGCAUAUAAAACGAUAUAACUUGUCCCAAUAUCAUAAAAAUGUUAAAAAAAUGUGAGUAUAUGAACCCAUGAAGCGGGAUCAGAAUCUGUUUUCCUAUUGUUAUUAACAAUACGGAAAGCCAUAACUAACUGUUUGUACUAUAAUAUUGGGAGUGAGAGGUACAAUGUCCAGAAUGCUUCUAAGGAUAACCAUAUCCAUAAGAUCUCAAUGGAUUGCCCCUUACUACAGAAUCUAGCACAUCCUUAAGUAAAUAAAGAAAGCUAGAAUAAAGUGCCUUCACUGAUUAUUUAGCAUUAUUGAGCAGGCCAAGUCUUCACUGCUUAUUUCCUAUUAGUUCUGUAUUGUGGAAUUGCACUUACAAAUAAAGAACUUGUUCUUGAUAUUUUCGUACAGAAUUUCUCUCUCGAUUAGUCGGUCAAUAAAGUAACUUCGUUUAUUCGGAUUAAUUUGAGGCCGGCCAUGAGAUGGAGAGGUUUUGUUAUAUGGAAUCAGAUUCACCAUUAAACUAAAGAGUCGGAAUUAAGGAAUCAUUUGUUCACUAAUUGAAUGCGAUUUUUGUCUUAUAUAUAAUUUAGGAACUUUGCACUCGAAAGGGAACAUUUGUGCCACCAAGUACUAACAAUAACUGUCCAUAGUUUUGCAUGCAUAGACCCUUUUUUCCCGGUGUUAAUAGAUAUUUUCGGACCAACUUGAAAGCAAUUAUUAGAGAUAUCAAUUCAAUCUGAAUUCAAUAUGCAUACAUAUAUAUUACUUUUUUUUUAUUUUAUAUUAAAUAAUAAAUAAUGUUUAGGAAAUAAAAAUCUAAAUGGAUCGAUGAAUAUAAUAUUAGUUUCUAAAUGAUACAACAUAGCUAGAAGAAACUGGAGGUUAUGAUUGGUUAGAAGGGACCUGAUAUAGCUAAAUGAGGGUCAAACCACCAACAAAUUACGUAGAUGACUUAACAUUUACUUUUAUGGUUUAAUAAAAUAGGAAUAGGUUCAAGAAAAGAUAUAUUCAUGUCAAACUAAUAAAGUAUCUAAAACAAGUCAUAGCUUUUUAUCCGACCAUUAGAUAAAUCUCAAAUUUUUACUUAGAUUCCCUAAGCCCAUCUCUAUGGAGGAGCUCUUUGGCAAUCCAUCCUCUAAAUGGAUUUCCUCAAAUUAAAAUGAGAAGAUCCGGCUCAAGCCAAUUUUGUUGUUGUUUUUUUUUUUCUUCAAAAUUUUAUGUUUUAUUUCGGAUUUUCCAUUAUUUUUCAAAUUAAAGAAACCGAGAUAAAAUACCCUGAAUCUUCUUUCAUAAUUUGCUUCCGAUAAGGUGUAGUGUUUUUGCUACUUUUACUUUUGGACCUGACUUGUUUCCUGACCGGUAGAAAUAGCAUUGGUCCAAAAGCACUAGUCCAAAAGCAGGGAAGCUUUUGUUUUCUUUAAUCACAUGAUCCGAUAUUCUCAUUUAUGCCCAACACAAAUUCAUAGAUGUGGCUCUAAUGAUUGGCUGACAACAGUUGUUAAUGAGCAGUGUUUGCGUCCCUUAUUUUUCAGUUUACUAAGUAUUUAGAACAUUCAAUUCCAAUCCAAAGUCGAUAAUAAUAAACUCUUGGUGAUCGGUUUUGUCAUCGAUGGUGAUCGGACGACAAAAAAACAUCCCGGUUUUGUCAUCAAUUAUCGGUUUCCAAUCCAAAGUCGGUUUUUUAUAAAGUUUUCUUAUAUAAAAAGUUUAUUAAGCAUUGAAAACAUCCAAAUCUAACAGUAAAAUUAAUAAACUUUUGAUGAUAAUCUUUUUUUCAUUUUGUGAUGCUUUUAUCGUCAGUAGUGAUAAGAUGAAGAAAAGCUAUUGAUUUUUCUCUCUGCAAUGGUUACUUUUAUCGUACACAAAUGUUGGGUGCUUUUAUUUACAAAAAGGAUCACUGCCUAACAAUAUUCAUUUCACAGCUGUUGUCAACCAAACCUUCCCGAUCUAUAUAAAGGUUGGCUUGGCCUCACACAUAUUAGCCAAGCAAGUAAACCAGCUCGACCUAUAUACAGCUACUUGUCUUGUGUAUUGACUGACAAAUUGUAGUUAACAUGGCACGUCAGGCAGACCGUCUUGCUAAGAUUGGGCUAGAGGGCUUUGCAGCCAUAGAUGAGCACUUCGGCCGGGCCAAGAGGCGGCCACCAGUGCUGAAGGUUCCCUAUGCUCAUCCGACAUAUUACUAUGCAAACCAAAUUCCUGCAACAGAAGUUAUCGACAACAACGAGGCAGCUCAACGCUACAAGGGGAGGGUUUAUCUCAAUUAUCCUAAGGGGAAACCAGUUCCGUUUUAAAGACCUAGUGAUUAAUCACUUAGCUUUCUUGUAUGCAUAACCUCCUCUAGUUGUGUUACCUUUAGUCCUGUACGAUAUUCUCCCUCUGCUAAACGUAGACGAGGAGAGGUUGCUAGAACUCGAGUCCGGAGCUUCUUCUUGCUUCAUCAAAUAAAAUUUCUGUGAUUUAUAUAUUAUAAUUUUCUAUUUGGCUGGUCAAGUAUGCAUUGUCAUAAAUAUCACUCUGCUUCCCUGAUUAUUACCUUAUUCACCUAUUACUUAG